CAGGAUUAUCAGCCUUAAAUCUGACGGUUGCCCAUCCAUUCUUUGGUACACCAAUGGUGUUUACUUCAGGUGGAUCAACCAAAUUGUAGGUCUUAGGGGCCUGAUUAGGGUCGAAAUUCCCAGAACCAAUUCCAACCAAAUAGAAGUUGAAACCAUGAAGAUGCAUCGGAUGGUUCUCAGCGGCAAUCAUGUUGGUCCCUUGAUAGAUUAUCUCAACUUCUUCACCAUAUUUAAUCAUCCUCACCUUCGUUCCAAAGUAAGGAUAUAUUGUGUCGUUUCGCACGUGUCCCGUGAAGUUGAAAAUAUAAGGUUUGUGUGGGAAAUUAGCUGAGUAAACUCCCUUAAUUGACCUGUACAAAGGCAAUAAGGUCAUUUAAGUUAGAUAUUUUUAAUUAAAAAACAAAAAACAAAGUUCUAGUUUUGCAAAACAAGAACAAGUAAUAAGACGUGGAUUAGAGAAGCCAGAGCCCCUCUUGCAUUUGAGUCCAGCGAGUAUAUUAAUUUAAACUAUUAUUUGUAUUUAAAAACGCACGCUUUUGGCUCAGUUACCAUUUUACUCUUCUACGCGACUAUUCAUUUCCUUUCAGUGAAGUGUUUAAUUGGGAAACGUUAUCUACAUAGAAAACUCUCAUUAACGUAUACAAUAAUUUGACAUUAACCAAUUAAUUUGAGCAACUAAUUCAAAUUACGUUACGUACCCGUGAUAGGCUUGCAGUAUAUCAAUCGAUGGAGUCACAAAACUGAUGUUGUUUAAGCUUGCAGCAAGUGCAUUGUUAUCUGGGCCAUCACAAGAAGAAUUGGGACAAAUUCUUUCAUUUACGGAAACAGAGAUGAAGAGCGUGUGUGUGAUGUUUAACGGGACACAAAUGGGGUAGUCUUUGCUUGCCAAGGCCCUUACUUGCGUAGUGAAGUUUGAGGCAGCCGUUCCGUCGGCCGGAUUGGGAAAAGUCGGAGUGGGAAUGGUUGAGGGGGUGGUGCUGCCGUUAUAUUGAAGAAUGGCAGAGGUGGUGCUGUUGUUGAAUGCAACAUCCCCAUCAACAAAAGGAGCGGAAGCUACGUGAUAGGAGCUGGGAGACUGGUUUGCAACUACCAAAAUGUCCAUGGUUUGGCCUGGAGUUAUCACGAGGUAGGAGGUGGUUAUAGGUUUAAGGUAUGCAGCAUCUUGAGCUACCACUGUGAGGUUGUGGUUGGCAAUGGCGAAGAACAUUUCUUCGUUCAACACCGCGUUGAUUAAGCGGAGAAGAUACGUAUUGCCAUAAUCAACCACCCAACGGUAUGUUGUUGCUGCAACAGGAAAUCAAUCAGUUGUUAGCAAAUAAAUGAUGUCAAAGUAUGUUAGUUGUUAGAAAUAAACAGUGUUCAUAGUGAAUCAAAUAUGAAUAAAUCAAACACUAUAGUAGAGUAAUGUUUGAAUGAAAUAAUAAUGUCUUUAGUAAAAUAAUUGUAGUUGAUAUAAUCUUCCACAAACAAUAUUUUAUUUGAGAGUAACUUUUGAAGUCUCCUACGAAUUUUAUUUCGUAGAUCCAAACAUGAGAGAGAAAACUCCGAACGGUCUAUAUGUGCCUAAUUGCUAAACUAUAGUCAAAUAUAAUACUCCCUUCAUAACUCAGGGUGACCCACCAUUAUCCCAACUGAGAUUUUGAGUCUCACUUUACAACUAACCAUCAAGUCGGUUAAAAGUUAAAUUAAAAAUGUUGACAUGAUUUUCUCAACAACAAAAAAAUGUUGACAUGACAUGGGCGUACUUAUGAAACGUCUAACACAUGAGUGCCAUGUGUGCCAAAAAUAAAAUAAAAUAUUUCAUUUUAAAAAAGUUUAAUUUAAGACCCAGCCCUAGCCCCACCGACUUCCCUCACCGCUACCCUGUUACCAGCUCAAAUGGGCCUCCGCCCCCACUGCGAUACCCAAAGCAAUCCCUCCAACUGAUAACAUCCCCAAAGCAAUAUUAAAAUCUUUGCUCAGGGUUGCACCUGUACCAUCAAAAUGAGGGGGACUUAUUGUCCUACUUAACUGGUUUAAUACACGUCGGUGUUAUAUUUUAAUUUUUAUUAAACGGGUUUCAAAUCUGAAAAAUCUCACAUCGAGAAAAAAAAUACCACUAAAUAGCUAUUUUCAACUUGCUUACUACAUUUGGCCUACACCACAAGUCAAUAAAGUAUACCGCUUUGCAUGAUACUCCAUAGACACCUAGAAGUUUCUUCAUUUACGCGGGAAUGUUACCAUCCUCCUUUAUGUCAACCCCACUGAGAAAAACACUCAAUUGCUUUUCUCGCGUCCACAUAUAAUAACAAAAGAUAAUCAAAUGAGAUUAGGUUUGGAUAUUUGAUUAUAAUUACCAUUGGAACACGCAUUAUACAAAUCUCCCGGCUCUCCGUUGAUUGUGAAGGCAUCUGAAACGUUUGGAUCGGCACCUGUUGCGAGAGCAUUUUCAAUAAUUUCAUUCACGUCUCCUUUGUACCAGGAUCCUGCCAGCGAACCAGAUGACAAUGGAAAAUAAUUAUUGAGAUUCGAUGAUGUAACACCUUUUGUUUUCAUGUCUGUGGUUGUGGCAUGGACAGCAGUCCUUGUAAAUGGUUAAUAACUGAUGCAUAGAAAUUUUUAUUAAAAUAAAAGUACCUAGAGCCAGUGUUUCUUCUCCAUCUGGUUUUGUAAAAGGAUAAGUGGUGUUGAGAGCUGGUAGAAUAAUGAUGGCACCAUAGACUGUGGCACGUGUCCAAUCGCUAUGAGCAUGCCACCAUAAUGUUCCUUCUUCAAUGGAGAAGAUAACCUCAUAAGUGAAGUUUGACCCUGCUUGAAUAGGGCACUGUGUUAUGUUCUCUGGUCCAUCAUACCAUGGAUUUCGUGGUUGCUUCACUCCAUGCCUGUAAAUAUUAAACAAGAUUAAAAAGUUUGUCUGCUAGCUUGAUUUUCCUUUUCUUCUUAAGGUGGAAAACUAAUUGAAGCAGUCAAAAUAAAAUCGAAGGUAUUAUUUUUGUGUUUAUUAAAGAAAAAGACUAAAGACUAAGCAUGCCCGUUCAAACACUAAGAUUUGCAUGACUUCUAGAUUGCUGGUUUUAUGUUCGAAUCCUUAAAGCACAGUAUAUGUGAAAACCCUCCACCCUCUCUAGUUUAGACUAUCAUUUACAUUUUUUUUUUUUUUAAACACACACACAUAAGAAAUACCCAACGUUAAGGAAAAGAGUUGCUUACAAGACAUACAUAUAUUAGACAAGGAAAAAGAGUUCCCUACCCCACUCCCUUCCUCUAGCCUUUUAUUUUUCUAAUCUUUAUAAAGUUAUUCACACUUUCACUUUCUCUCUCUAAAAGACUAGGACCAGGUCACAGUCAUGAUCUUUCUUCCUGUAAGUAAGCUAUUGGAAUUGGCCAGAGAGCCCAUCAUAAGAUGUAGAAGAGAAUAUUCCAAGUGAAGGCUAAUUUUCCACCAAUAAGCUUAAUUAUCCAUCCAGCUUAUCUUUAAACAAUAGUUAAAAGCAGUUUUGGACUAUUGGUCAAUGCCAAAAAUAAAAAUAAAAAAUCUAGAGCUAAGCUAAUGAGAUUGGUAGUUUUUACCAAUGAAGGGUGACACCGUAUGAGCCUUGGUUGUGGACAUUCACAAAAGCAGUGUCUCCCUUCCGGACGGUGAUGGUCGGCCCCGGCAAAGUCCCAUUCACAGUUAAGAUGGUCUUUGUUUCGCAAAGCCUUGUAAAAUUCAAUUCUGUCAGCUGCAAAACAAAACAAAGCAACGGAUGAUGAUGAACAUUCGAAGGCUGUAAAAAUGGUGUUAGUGUAAUGCAGGAAGCACUUACAACAAAAUCAUAAUAAUGGGUAUUUCCAUUAGCCUUGCAAAGACCCAAGAACAUAAACCCUACACAGGCUAAGACCCAACUCAUUUUCUUAAACUCCAUUUCCAGGUCUUGGUUUUUCCUAGUGUGUUCUUCAGGUUGCCCUUGAAGUGUUGUGCGGUUUUCGGUCUCAGGUAAAGACCUAUUUAUAGACAGACUUCAUGGCAAGUUGCUUCUAUUAUUAGUAGCCAAAUUACGCAAAGUUAAAAAAAUAAAAUAAACAACUUAAAUAAGUUCAGUGCACGACAAAAAUAAGUUGGUCCAGUGCACGACAAAAAUAAGUUCAGACACUAGUACCGUGUAUUAGAUAAACAACUUCAUGAUCAUUACUGAACAGGAGAACGUCGACUUUUUCCUUAAGUUGUUCAUAUAUCCUGUCAUCAACUGGGUUUUUGUCGGUAAGUAUUGUUCUGUGCCUCGAUUACCAGUAAGAAUAAUAAAGUAACGUCAAACUAGACUGACUAGAUUUUUAUUUUAUUUUUUGGAAAAUCAGAUAUACUACAAGUUUAUCCUCUCUUGUUUUUCCAACUAACGUCCCAGGUUUUAUUGUCGGUUUGAUGAAUAAAGUUCCCCAUAACGUUGGGGGUACUCUAAAAACUUAGUUUAUCUUUAUACCAUAAAAGCAACAACUUCCUUUACUUGUAUCCCAGAGUUUUGAUCCAUUUUGUAUUCUACACACAUCUUACGGGUUUGGAAAAGUUACAUAUUAGGUCAUCUCUAAGUAAGGGCUAUAUCCUCAAAUCUAGUUUAAAAUUUCUAAAACUAAUCUCUAAAAGUGUGCUCAAAGGGGUAUAAAAAAGAAGAGGGCUACACAAAGGGCUAAUUCCUAACCCGGGUUAAAUACUUGGAUGGGGCUCAGCUGACGUCACCUAGUCGUUAGGUGACAUCAGCUAGUUUAUUUUUUAAAUCCGAAAAAAAAAUGAUUUUUUUUUCACUUUCAUACUUUUACAUAAUUUCUCACAAUCUCUUCAUUUUUUUACAAACUAUCCUUCAUCUUUUUCUAUUUAAAUUAAUUUUUAAGUUGGUUUUAGAACAAGAAAAAAUAUAAUCAUAAAUCUAUAGGGCUAAUCACGUGGAUGUCAAAAAUCAUAUCCCAAAGAAUUUUUCUCUUCUAAAAUGUAUUUUAAAUAGAAUAUAAAUAGUAGUUAAAUUAAAUUAACUCAUACACUAAAAAUUAUUAAAAUAUUAAAUUUAGUCAUUUGCUGUUGGAGACGGUUAAAAUAGAGCCAGUCACUAUUCUUUAUAAAAUUAUUUUUUACAAGGUUAAAUAUUGACACGUGAUUAAAAAAAUGUUAUUAUAGUAACACUGAUGACAAGUGAUUAAAAAAAGCCUUACUAAACACGGAAAAACACUAAAUAUUCAAAUUCCUUGACAAGUCGACUCCUAUAUUUGCUUUGAAAUAUUCCAUGCUUCUAUGUUCUAGCAGCAACCUUUUUUUUUCCAUGAAGCUCAAUUUUACAAGGGAAACUUAUUUAAUAUUAUCCUAAAACCAAACAAAAGACUCCAAACUAGACAAAUCAAGCAAACCUCGCAAGUUGAAAGGGUUUAAGGUGGCUUCAGAAGAAACAUGUUAGGAAUCCGUUAGACCUUAUAAGUAGUGUAGCAUACUCAUUAAGAACCAUAAUAAGAUGUCUCAGACUCUUAAUUAAUGUCUAAAAAUCCAAAUUUGAUUUGCUUUCUCUAUGAAAUUAUGUAAAAGAUACAUGAUGUUUGUUUAAAUCAAUUGACAAUACUUAAGGAGGAACUCCUUCUUGUUGGCAUGACUUGUGACUUUCCUUGCACCCCAACGAUUCCCAUAUUAAUUGUAAUUGAUUUCCCUUUUAUUUGUAAUUUUCUACUGUAAAUAGAAUUAGGAGUUAUUACUUGGCCUUCAAAAUUUUCUUGUACUAUAAAUAUGACCUCCAACAAGGAGAAGAAUACAUAGAAAAUUCUCACAAACAAUAUUUUCUCAUAGGUUUUCAUAUUUGAGCACGGUAUCAGAGCCCAACUCACAAUUGGAAGCCCAAACGCAGUUGGAUAGCCCAAAGAGUAUUUCACAUCUCUUCGUCACAUACGCGCCAUGCAGAAGUUGGGCGACAUUUGUGGGAGCAUAUAUUUUAGCGACCAAUGAGUGGGUGACACGUGGAAAAGGAAAAUUCCCUAGGUCAAUUAAUUACCCUAAUUAAAUCUUAUUUAAUUAGGAAAAUUAUAAUUGAUUUAAGAUGAGAAUAUCUCCCUAAAUCAAGGAUGAGAUUUCCACCGAAUCUCCUUGAUUAAUUCCAAUCUCCUAUUUUUGAGUAAGAAUAAACCUAAUUAAAUAAGGAUUAUUCUUCAAACUCUAGCUAACAAGGAGCACUAUAAAUACAUGGCUACAUCACACAUAUGAGGUAAUCUGAUUUUGACACGAGAAAUCUCUCCCUCUCUCACGCCAUUCUCUCUCUCUCUCUCUCUCUCUCUCUCUCUCUCUCUCUCUCUCUCUCUCUCUCUCUCUCUCGGCUCCGGCCACCUAGUUCUCUCACCGAGAGAGAACUCCGACCACUUUAGCUAUUGUCAUCUUCUUCAAGGUCCAAUCAAACUAACUUAGGUAUCGGAGGGUCUUUGGCCAACACCUCCCGGGUGUGGUCUAUUUAUGACAGGAACCACCCCGAAUUCCUCGUGACGAAGCCUGUGAUUUUUCCGACAUCCAACUGAUGUCGGGCCUACUUACAAAUUUCAAACAUCCUCUUCCCCUAAAAUAAAGGAAAAGAGGGCCGAGACUUCUACCGAAAUUUUAGCAGAGUCUCCCCUGAAAAAUGAACUUUACCAAAUUUUCCAAUCUAAGACUUCUACCGAAAUAAAGAUAUACACACCUCACACCAUCAUCAUGUACCAGGGGAAAAAUAUCAAAUCCGGGAAUCGUUUGACUAGACCACAUAGAGGAAUCCUCAACAACCAUGUGGCCAGCGACGAGCCGUCCAACAGGGGAACUAGGCUCCAAGCACACACAACAGAAUCCUCAAUACUCGUGUGCCUAUGACAAGUCCUACGCACACAGACUACCCUACUAAGGGUCUACAAAACACCCCGUCAAAGGUGCCUGUGAAAGGACCUACCCCGAAUUUUUCAAAACCCGAGGCGAACCCUUUGAAAUUUCCGACAUCAUCCCGAUGCCAGGCCCACUUAGGCUGCCUACGUACCCUCCUUGAGGGAUCAAGCCACACGUAGUUCUUCCCUAAAACCCAAUUCUACACUUAGGCGAUACCUUAUUUCAUUUCUCUGUAUUUCACAUAAUCUCCCCAUACGCCGGUACAACCAACGCCACGUAUGGGGUCUGUCAACACGCCGGAUAACCUACGCCACGUGCGACCAUGCCAUACUAUCAUAAUAUCUCCCCAUACGCUGGUACAACCAACGCCACGUAUGGGGUCUGUCUCAACGCCGGAUAACCUACGCCACGCGAAACCUGCACAUCAUAUCACAUAACUCCCCAUACGCCGGUACAACCAACGCCACGUGGGACCUCAACAUCAUAUCACAAAUCUCCUCAUACGCCGGUACAACCAACGUCACGUAUGGGGUCUGUCGACACGCCGGAUAACCUAGGCCACGUGAGACCAUGCCAUACUAUCAUAAUAUCUCCCCAUACGCCGGUACAACCAACGCCACGUAUGGGGUCUGUCUCAACGCCGGAUAACCUACGCCACGCGAGACCUGCACAUCAUAUCACAUAACUCCCCAUACGCCAGUACAACCAACGCCAUUUAUGGGGCCUGUCCCAACGCCGGAUAACCUACGCCACGUGGGACCUCAACAUCAUAUCACAAAUAUCCCCAUACGCCGGUACAACCAACGCCACGUAUGGGGUCUGUCGACACGCUGGAUAACCUACGCCACGUGCGACCAUGCCAUACUAUCAUAAUAUCUCCCCAUACGCCGGUACAACCAACGCCACGUAUGGGGUCUGUCUCAACGCCGGAUAACCUACGCCACGCGAGAGCUGCACAUCAUAUCACAUAACUCCCCAUACGCCGGUACAACUAACGCCACGUAUGGGGCCUGUCCCAACGCCGGAUAACCUACGCCACGUGGGACCUCAACAUCAUAUCACAAAUAUCCUCAUACGCCGGUACAACCAACGCCACGUAUAGGGUCUGUCGACACGCCGGAUAACCUACGCCACGUGCGACUAUGCCAUACUAUCAUAAUAUCUCCCCAUACGCCGGUACAACCAACGCCACGUAUGGGGUCUGUCUCAACGCCGGAUAACCUACGCCACGUGAGACCUAAAUUUCACUUGGUGGUACUUGUAGUAUAACCAAAAUCCGGGGAGGUACCUAAGGUAGUGCGUACAGCACUCCAAACUGACAUUCUAGACUCUUUUGUACCGUUGUACAAACAUAUAUAAUUAUAUAUAAUUAUUAUAAUAUUGUGUAACCCUCCGCAAUAGUCUAGCUCCCGAUAAUCCACCCUGGAAGGGUGAGAUUACUCUGGGAAACUCGCGGUCAACCAAGGGUCAAACUACCCUAACCCUGGUCAAACGGACCUGCGGAGCCUACGACCUCCGAUUUACGAUCCGAAAGUCCCUAUGGGUUUUACAAGGUAUAGGACACUCGGCCUGCAAGUUUGGUUCAGAUCGGACGGUCGGAUCGCUCACGAUCGCACGAUCUGACGGUUAAUAUAAAAUAUAAACUUUAAAUUAUUAUUCGGAACAUCUGGGGCUUCGAUUCACAAUCCGUGAAUUCCUACACUAUCCUAGAAAUACCUAGAUUAACAUAUAUUAAAUUUGGGACCAUCCAACGGUCCCAACCUAUCGAACCCGGAUAACCACAAUAUGCGAUCGUCCGUUCGAUAGUCAAACGACGUCCGAAUUGAGAUCCGCGAAAUCCUACACACUCGUGACAACCUAAGGAUCUCAUCGAGACACAGUGCCACUUUUCUACAGUGCCCACGCGCCGCUGCACGUGCCGGUAGCGCGUGGGUGCCCAAAGCGAUAAAGCUUCACCGGAAAAAUCUCAACACCACGGCUCCAAACUCCUACCCUAGGUAUAACACCCUAUUUGGAGCCACUUUUGUUCUUGGGCCUACCCCAAAAACUAACCGGAAGUGGCCAGAAUCGCGAUCCCAAAACCGGCCGAAUUUCAAUUCGAAAAUCGAAUUGGCUACGGUAAGAAUCAAUCCAAUCCUACCCAACAGGCAGCUAGAUCAUGCAGAAGGGAUGAAUUUCCAUACCUUGAUCGCCAGAAAUGGCGGCCGGAGGAGGGAGAUCGGAGCCGGCGAAGUUCGGGCGACAACCGGGCGAAAAUCUCCAUUUUCUAGCGGCUGGAGCGGCGGCCGAUGUCGGGGGAGGGCUGGGUCGUGACGCCGAGGCUGAGCCGGUCCUUUUGGCACCGGUCCCGUCCGCAGCCGCGGCCGGUGGCCGGAGAUACGAGGAGAGAGAGAGAGAGACCGACGGGAGAGAGAGAGAGUUCACGGGAGGGAGAGAGAGAGAGAGAGAGAGAGAGAGAGAGAGAGAGAGAGAGAGAGAGAAAAAAAAAUCUGAGUUUUUAUAAAAAAUUUCAUUUCGAAAUAUUUGCGAUUGUGCCAUUGGGUUUCUUUUGACCAUAUCUCUCUCAUUACAACUCCGAUUCGAGCCUACUGCGUGUCUAUGAACUCGUCUCAGUACGACCUAUCCAAAAAUACUAGUCAUUACCCCAAACUCUCUCCGGUUAAAAAUAUGACUAAAAUGCCCUUAUCUCAAGGGUAAAUUUAUAAUUUUCCUUAAAUAAUUAAAUAAUUUAAAUAAGGGCUAAAUUUGGGGUCGGGGUGUUACAGCCUGGGUUCCGACAUAUCCAAGUAUCCAUGUCUGAGUAUUCAUAUCCAAGUUUCCAAGUACCGGGAAGGGGAAACUAUCCAACUGGGGAUCGUUUGGUUCAACUACACGGAGGAAUCCUCAACAAUCAUGUGGCCAGGAACAAGUCGUCCAACUGGGAGAUUGGACUCAUCAACACGAACAAUAGAAUUCUCAAUACUCGUGUACCUGUGAUAAGUCCUACGCACGUAGACUACCUCACUAAGGGUCUACGAAACACCCCGUCAAGGGUACCUGGGUUCCGAUCAUAUCCAAACCAUAACCACCGUUUCCAAGUAUCCAUUAUCCAUCAAUUCCAAUAUUAGUAUCCAAGGGGAGUACAUGAGAUGGUGUGUCAUCUCCAAGAUCCAAAAUCCACUUUCAUAAACUAAUAAAUAAUAAAGAUAAUACUCUCCAAAUCCAAUUUUCAAAACAAAUCGUUUCUAUAUAAUAAAUAUAUAUAUAUAAUACCCAUUCUGCCUUUUUGAAAACCAUAUUAAAAUCAUAAUUAAGAAAACCAUCGAAACUAAAUAAGCUCAUUCGAUUUAAUUAAUAUUCAAAUCACUAUUCAUAUAUUUAGGAAAUACACCACCUCUAAAAAUCCCACAAGACAAUAUAAUAAAAUCCAACACCAUAUUUAAAUUUCCCAAAACCAUAGCCCAUCAAUAUAUACAUACUACUUCCAACAUUUUCAAAGAUAUUGCAAUUCAAAGUCCGAUAACCACAUAAACUGAUGCACCAAAACCAAAAUUCAUAAUAUACCCAAAGUCACCAUAACCCUUUAUAAAUAAUAUUAAUAGCACUACUAAUAAUAGUAAUAAUAAUACGCAUUCCCAAAAUUUCCAUAAUCACGUAUUCCAUCCUAAAAAUUCACUAGUUUAAAUUAGAUCACCCAUAACUUUCAACAUCCGUUCUCAACAGAAUUUCCACACACAAAUAACACACCACUCAGCAAACCAGAAUGCGUAACCCUUAUUAUUCACUUUCCAAGACACCUUUUUUAAAACCCGCAUCGAUAUCCAAUGUACCCAUAACCCAAAUACAUAGACAUAUAUUUGAGUGUAAACAUAUAAUCAACAUUUAAUUUGUUCACCCGUUUCGUGUCACUACUACAAAAAGUGAAAAAGACGACCAGAAAACAACGACGGUCUAAGUGAAAACCGUCGUGGUUUUUAAAAAGACGACGGUUCUAAAAACACCGUCGUGUAAUACAACCUUAGACAACUAAAAAUGGAGAUUCAAAUGGCUGUUCAAAAACAACGACGUACCUAAUAAAAAAACCGACGUCUAUUUGAAACAGAUUUCCGCAGUGUAAAAUCAAAGCCAACAAAGAACGGCAGAAGUUAUGAAUCGACCGACGUAGAAAGUAAAGACGACGAUUUCAAUAAAAGCCGCCGUUUUUACUCAUAAAAUAACACGACGAAAUUUUCGUAUAAGACGCCGUAUAAUUACAAACAAAUCGACGGCUUUAAAAUACAAAAUGUCGCCGUAUUAAAUUAAUUUACAACGAUGGAAAAUAUAAAUAUAUCGACGUCAUUCUCGUAUAGUUCUACGACGUUAUCUUUAAAUCGUACUAUAAAAUUUAACGUCGUAUUUAUUCAUUUUAUACGUCGUACCUUUAAUUUAAACCGUCGUCUUAAUAAGAAUUUUUGUUAACAAUUUUUUCCUUUAUUUUCUUAUCCUACGUCGGUAGAUCUACUUAAUGACAAGAAUUGAAAUCUGUCAUCCAAAAAAGAAACUUUACAUAUUCCAGAACAUUAAUUUCCUUCAUUUUAAAUUUCCUCCGGAAAAAAAAACUCUAUUUAUAACGCACUGUAAUUGAAAAAUAAACUGAAAGGUCACGGGAAAAAAAUUUCUAUUCAUAAUUUAACAAUUCAAAUCCACGUCGGUUAUAUUAAACCUAACGACGUUAAAUGAAAAGAUUCCACGUCGCAAAACAAAUAUUGCGUCGUGUUAGUUUAUGGUUUCUUUAAUAGUUUCAGUUUCUUUAACAGUUUGGUCCUUUAUCUUUCUGCAGGACUUGUAUAGUUCAAAGCAUUGACUUGUAUAGUUCAGAGUAUAGUUCAAAGCACUGAUUCGAUUGCUCAUGCUUUAUCGCAUUCAUGAAGCCAUUUCUAUUCUUUAUCGCAGUCUUGAAACCCAUCUUCUUUUUCUGAAGCUCUACGGAUAAAGGAAGAGGCUAUCACAAAUCUGACGGAUCUUCUUAGCCAAGAAAAUCAAGCAGAGGAUCAGGCACAUCUGAUCUUCAGAUUUCCCUGAGAAGCGAACUUUCCUUCGACAGCGAGUGGAGGGCAGGCUUGCAUCUCUUUUGAUGGAAAGCAAGGAGUAUUCAGAAGCACUAAGUGUCCUAUCAGGCUUGAUCAAGGAAGUGAGAAGGCUAGUUGACAAGCUUCUUCUUGUGGACAUAGAUUUGAUGCGAGUAAGCUCAAUUUCUCUUUGAGAAAGACAUCCAAAUUACUGUCUUUGAGAUGUGAGAGACAGUGUCUCUGAGAGAGGAAGAACUUGGAACCCUAAAUGUAAACCGAAAAUGAAUGAAAGCGACAAAUUUAUAGAAUAAAUUUUUAAAACCAACGGCGGUCCUUACAAAAAAACCGCCGUUUAAAUUUUAAAAUCAACGUCGGUAUGACCGACGUAUAUUACAUAAAUCCACGUCGGUACAUUAAUAAAACCGACGUGUUAAAUGAUCUACCAUGACGCGAGUUAUUACUUAUGUACUUUAAUUUUUGAGUUUACUACGACGGUACCUACAACACUACUGUCGUACUUAUUUACCACGUCCGAAGUUAAACGUACUGUCGUAUUUUGUAAUUUAUACGUCGUAGUUAUAUGUAACCGCCGUAUUAUUUUUUGAAAUGGUUUUAUAUGUAAGCAACUUUUCGUGUACCUGACUUACACAUGCAAUGUUUCCAAACCCGAUUAAAAAUUUCAAUCUCCCAGAGAAAACUUUUAGACUUUUUUCCUUGUCAGAGCACUUUCAGAGUAUCUCAUCGUCUUCCUCUCGUCUUCUUCGUCGUCUCUGAACUUAAACAUCGAUCGUCUUCCUCUUGCUUUCAUUGCACGCAAAAGGUAAGCUUUCAUUUUCACUAUUUUGGUUGCUGUUUUGCAUGCUCAUACGUUUUUUGUUUGAAAAAUAUUUUUACCUUUUUUCUGGCCAAAAUCAUUUUACUUCUUUCCAAGUUCGAUAAAAUAUACACACAAAGAGGGAAAGUUUCCAACUUUGAAGACAACUACCUCAACUAAAUAAGACGACGGUAGCUUCUUAUUUACGUGGUUAAAUAUGUAGACCACGACGGUUCGUCAGUCGUUCUAGCGUCGUCUGAAAAUUGACAAAGUUGUUUUUAAAAUUAUAUUCUUUUUUUUAUUUGCUUGUUUAAUUGCAGGUUUGAUUUCUCUGAACAAUGGUUUUUGUUUUUCCCUAAUUUGAUAAAAUAUAAAGAAAAAGAAAUUAGGGUUGGUAUCUAAUAUAGACGACAAUAUCUUAUUGUUUUACGUCGUGUGAAUGUUAAUACCACGACGUCAUAUUAAAAUACCGUCGUCUAUAUAAGAUUCCAAAACUUUCUUUCUUGACCUUGUAUUUUAUCAAAUUAGAAAACAAAAACCAUGGUUCAGAAAAAUCAAAUCUGCAAUCAAACAUUCACAGAGAAAGAAAGAAGGGUUUUGGAUCCUUAUAUAGACGACGGUAUAUUAAUACUGACGUCGUGUGAACAUCAAUACCACGACGUUAUAUAAAUAUUCCGUCGUUUAUAGUUAAUUAUUACGUCAUUUGUAGUUAAUUAUUUCGUCGUUGUUUAAUUACCUUGGUUUUAAACAUUUAUUACGUCUGAUAUUAUUUCAUUGCGUCGUUUAAAAUCAUAUCAUACGUCGUCUUUUAUUAAUAACCGUCGUUUGUGUUCUUAAUCUUUUCUUGAAAUAUUUUCACUUGCAGUUUUGUCUGUAAAAAUGGUUUCUCACCAAGACCAAAGUAAGGAUUCUGGCUCCAAGAAAAAUGGAGGUAAGGAGCAAGUACCUCCUCAAGAGAAGUCUUCGAAGAUAAUGAAGUCUUCGAAGAAGAUGAAGUUUGCUUCAUCAUCUGCUGAUACAGAACCAACCAGCGCGACAACAAUCUCUGAUGAUUCAAAGGCUGGUCGAGGUAUGAGCACAAUGCCUCGUGUUGUGAAGAGAAAACUUCAGAAACUGAGGCCAAUUGUUGAGUACAAUAAAAGGGGGAAAGGAAUUGGCCAAGCACACAGUGAGAUGCAGUCCUAUAUUGGUGUGUUGGCACGCUCCAGAGUUCCACUUGUGGACUUGAAAUGGGCUCAAAUCCCCAAGGAUAUAAAGGAGCAGAUUUGGGAAGCAGUUGACAUUGCUUUUGUAGUAGGUCAAGGGGGCAAGAACUUUGUCUUAACUUCUGCUGCCAAGAAAUGGAAGGAUUUCAAGUCUACACUAACGAGGCAUUAUAUCCUUCCAUACACCAAUGACAGGGAGAGAUUAAGCCAACCCCCUGAAACAUAUAAAUUCAUAGAGAAAGCACAAUGGGAUGCCUUUGUAGCUUCAAGGUUAUCCAAAGAUUUUGAGUCUGUGCAUUCUCAACAUGCACAGAUUAGGGAGAAACUCGAGUACAAUCAUCGAUUGUCUCGAAAAGGAUAUGCUGGUUUGGAGGAUCAAUUAGAGGAAACCAUGCCUGGGGUAGAAAUUGAUCGAUCUACCUUAUGGAAGAGAGCUAGACAGGACAAACAUGGUAACAUCCAUGAUCCAAAGGUGGCAGAGAAAGCAAAAUUAAUUGUAAGCCUACUCACUCUGUUUUAAAUUUUUAUUAAACUGUGAAUAAUUCUUAUUACGUCUUAUGUUAUAUUUUGCGUCGUGUGAAUGAUAUUACCACGUCGACAUUUUUUAAAACACGUCGUUAAAGGUCUAAAUUGGAAUCACAACUCUGUUUUCUGUAAUUAUAGCAUAAGAUGUCGGUGGUUCAAUUUCGCGUCGUCUGUAUUAAAUUACUACGUCAAAAUGUUUUAAACAACGUCGUUAAAGGUGUGAAUAUCAUCCUGUAAAUAAAGCAUAAGACGUCGGUGGUUUAUUCAUUCCGUCGUUUUAAAAACUAACCACGUCGGUUUAAAAACUACCGUCGUGAUAAAUUAUAAUAACGUCGAUUUAUAUGUUAUUGCGUCGUGUGAAAUUAUAUAAUACGUCGUUUGUAUAUAAAUAACCGUCGUGUGUUUUUGUUCUUACUUUUUUAUAUAUCUUUGUUUUAGGAUGAUUUGCAAAAACAAGUCUCGGAAGGCAAAGUCACCGUCUCUGGCAGCAAUGAUGUGCUGACUAUGGCUUUGGGCCCCGAGCAUCCAGGCAGAGUCAGAGGAGUAGGUGCUGGGAUCUCACCAAAGCAAUAUUUCAAUUUACCCAAACCACAGAGAGUGAGCUUUGACGACCGUUUGAAGGACAGUUUAAGAGUUCUCCUUCAAGAAGAGACUAAAAAGAUGGAGGCUAAGGCAAGGGAAGAGGCUUUAAGGAUGGAGGCUAGAACGAAACAAUUGGUAGAGGCUGAGAGGGAGCAUUUCCUGAGUCAGCUUUCCCAAUUAAUUCCCAAUUUUGAUCCAAGCAUGCUUAAACCCAAAAUUAGCCAAAGUCCCAAAAAUCCAAUGUCUGACAAAGCAAGCUGCUCUGGAGGUUAUGUGAGAUCCCAGCAUUUUGAGGAUGAUACUGCCAAAAAUGGCAAACAUCAGGAAGAAAAGGUAACAAAUCUGAACUUUGAAUUCUCUGUUUUUUUAAAAACCAUUAGACGUCGUUAUUAUUAAUAAAACCGUCGUUUGAAAUACAUACCACGACGAUUUUAAAAAUAAACCGUCGUUUGUAUUUCAAUACCACGUCGUAUUUAGUUUACUUGUUUUACACGCCAUUAAACGUCGUUAUUUUUAAAACUUUGUGGUUUUUAGACGACGGAGGUAAUCAUUCCCGACGUCAUAGAUGAAGAGAAUAAAGAAGAAAAACAAGAUGAAAAGGAGAAAGAAGAUGACGACCAGGUAUGUUCACAUAACUUUGCCUUUUUUAUUUGUUUUUCAAAAUUCCAGACGUCGAUAUUUUUCUUUAAACCGUCGUUUGUUUACAACUUAGACGGCGGAAUUGUUUUCUAAGACGUAAUAAAUAAUUUACCACGACGGUUAUUUCACCGUCGUUUAAAUUCUUUUCAGACGACGUUUUAUUCUUUAAACCGUCGUUUUUAUUGAAUUACCACGUCAUUUUUUUUAUUUCUUUAAACAGGUUAUUAAAGUUGUUGAUUAUUCAAAUAUGGAGGCGCCAUCUUCUUUAAAAACCCUUUGUCGUUAUGUGGAAACGACACUCGUGCCUCAGGAUAAGACACUGCACUUUACAAUUGAUAAGGAGGUGUUUGGUCUAGAGCGCGAUACCUUCCUCCUGCCUGAAGAUAUUACACAAUUUGCAGGCAUGAAAGAAAUAGGAGCCACUGUCAUUGCUGUAUAUAUGAGGUUUGUCAUUCUAAAAUAAUACGUCGUUGGUUUAUUUAUUGCGUCGUCUUAACCGACUAACCACGUCGUUAGUAUGUACCGUCGUGAUAAAUAUAUUAUAACGUCGUUGUCUAUUUCAGUACGUCGUGUGAAAUUUUAUAAUACGUCGUUUUGUUAUACAUAACCGUCGUGUGUUUUUUUUGUAUAUGAGGUUUGUCAUUCUAAAAUAAUACGUCGUUGGUUUAUUUAUUGCGUCGUCUUAAAUAACUAACCACGUCGUUAGUAUGUACCGUCGUGAUAAAUAUAUUAUAACGUCGUUCUCUAUUUCAGUACGUCGUGUGAAAUUUUAUAAUACGUCGUUUUGUUAUACAUAACCGUCGUGUGUUUUUUUGUGCUGACUUGUUUAUAUUAAUUUAUAUAUUUAGGUACUUACACGAUGUUUUGAAAGGAGCUAAUAUGUGUAUCAUGGUUGGCUUUAUCGACCCUGCUACAGUUAGUGCCAGCUCUGGCACAAUAGCUGACAGAUCACGCCUACUGGCAGCUUGACUUCAGAGGACUGACGGUGAACAGAUUUUCCUGAUGCCUUACAAUCCAGGGUUAGUCUCCUUAACAGGAUUUUGUUUUUAUGAUUUUCAAUAAAUGACAGCGUAUAAACUAACCACGUCGGUGUUUUAUUUUAUUGAGUCGUUUGAAACGACUAACCACGUCGGUAGUUAUUUAUCGUCGUGAUAAAUAUAUAAUGUCGUCGAUUGCUAUUUUAUUUUGUCGUGUGAAAUAUUAUAAUACGUCGUUUUUGUAAAUAACCGUCGUUUUUAUAUUAAUUUUGUGCAGCCGUCAUUGGAUCUUGUUGAUUGUAAGAGCAAAGAGGGAAACAGUCUAUUUUCUGGAUCCUCUGCCAGGAAAUCGUGUGGUCGAUGAAGAGGCCAAAAACAUCGUGAACAGUGCUAUAAAAAUUUAUAAUUCCCACAUAGGCAGAUCAGGCCGUAAGGCAGUCAUUUGGAAAACUCUGUCAGGCACACCAAAGCAACCCAGCAAUGUCGAAUGCGGGUAUUACGUGAUGCGCUUCAUGAAGGACAUCAUCAUGGAUCCUUCCUUGGGGUUUGAGAAGAAGGUAAGAAGAAAUAACCUUCAAACAUUUUACGUCGUUUUUUGUAUUAUCAACGACGGUCAUGUAAAAUUACCGUCGUUGAAUAGAUAUACUACGUCGGUUAUGGUUGUCUGUGAUUGAAUUUUCUUUUAUUUAUAAACCCUAAUAGUCAUUGUUUAUGCAGUAUGCGAAAGGAAAACAGGAAGAGCCAUACCCCCAAGAAGCAAUUGAUGAAGUCCGGAAUGAAUGGGCAGAGUUUGUUUGCCUUCACCUGGAAUAGGGGAAUUAUUGAACACUUGAUAUUUAUGUAUAAUGUACAAAUUUUGUCUAUAAUAUAUAAUGUAAAAAUUUGUUGAGGUUUUCUUAAAUUAAAAAAAAAAAACAAACAUACAAAAUGCGUAACCGACGUGUAAUACUUGUCCAACGACGUAAUAAAGUCAAAAGCCGUUGUUUUUUGUGGUUUCGUUUUAAACAAAUCCGACGUAAAAGGAUAUUUAGACGACGUUCUUUGAACAAUGGAGUCGUUUAUGGUUUACAACGUCUUCAAUUUCUUAAAGGUUCAGGGUAGUACUUUGUAACGACAGCGGUUAAGUCGUGGAAUAUAUAUUUUACGUCGGAUAGUUAAAUAUCCGCCAUGGUUUCUCAUUUAAACGACGUCAUUUUAACAACUUAGUCGUCUAUUACAAUUUACAACGUCUACAAUUUAUUAACACCGACGUGGUUUGUUGUUGUGAUAAGAAUAUUUUAUUAUUUUUAUAUCAAAAUAUUCAAAAUAAAUUUAAAAUAAAUCAGAAAAAUGCAAAGUCAACUCCUAUGAAGUCAUUGAUAUAUUAUCUUCCCCCUAAACCUUGAAAAAAUUCAUUUUGAAUAACAAAAAUUUAAAAUGAACAUCCAAAACAAAAUUGUUUUGAUGAGUCAUAAAAUCACUUCUAGUUUUAUGGUUUAGGGUUUAGAGUCUAGGGUUUAGAGAUUAGGGUUGUUAUUUAUUGGGGUUUAUUUUUAAAGUAUAAUUUUUGGGUAGUCUAGGGUAUAUAUUAGGCUGUAAAACCAUAAACCCUUUUAUAAACUUAAUUUUUAAAAUUAUAUAAUUUAGUUUUAAGGGUUUAGGGUAUUAAUUGUUAACGACGGUGGUUGAGUCGUGGAAUACAUAUGUUACGUCGUGCAGUAAAUUAUCCGACAUGGUUUCUACUUUAAACGACGUUAUUUUAAUAUGUAAGUCGUCUAUUAUAAUUUACAACGUUUUCAAUUUCUUAACCCCGACGUGGUUUUUCAGUCGUCUUUAUAUCAAAAUAUUCAAAAUUAAUUUAAAAUUAAUUCGAAAAAUGAACGUCAAAAUAAACGGCGUUACGUUCGGUGUUUUCGUCGUGGAAUAUUACAUUUACGUCGGUUUUUGUAGAACUUUCGCCAUGGUUUUUCUUUCGACGUUUAAAAGAGCGCGCGCUCUAAAAAUAUUCGCGCGCCCUAAAUUUUUUUAUAUUUGGCUCUUAUUCUUAUACUUCUAACACUGAACCCUAAAAUUUUCAGAUUUCGCGCAACAUAACAUUCGCUCUCUCACUUCUGCUCUAAUUAAAAGUUGCACUCUCCAGGCUCCGUCGAAUCUGUGAGCUCGUCCAACCUGUAAGUACAAACCCUAUCUUCCCCUUGUAAAUUCAUUGAAUGAUAUUAUGUUGUUUUGUUAAAGGGUUUUAGGUAUAUGCUUUGCGAUCUGUUAAUAAUGUGCUUAUAGGUAUGGGUUCAUGGAUUUUCUGUUUAAUGGGUUCAUGGAUUUUCUGUUUAAUGGGUUCAUGGAUUACAUUAUCUGUUAUGUUGAAUUGGGAAUGGAUUUAAUUUUGUCGGAUCUUUUAAUCACCCUAUGUUAUGUUGAAUUGGGAAUGGAUUUAUUGUUUUCAUGCUUGGUUUCAUGUAUAUGUUGGUUUCUUGCUUGGUUUCAUAUAUAUGUUGUGUUCUUAAUGGGUUUUGGGUUCUUGAAAAUAAACUGAGACACGACGCCUUUUUAGGCAUACGACGACGAUUACACGACGGUUUAUGAAAAAACCGUCGUUGUAUUACUUAUACACGACGGUUUUUUCAUAAACCGUCGUUUGUAUUACUUAUAUUAGACGACGUCUGUUGAAUAUCCGUCGUCUAUAUAUGCCAAAUACGUCUGUUUUUGUUUAAAACCCGUCGUCUCUGUUGUGUAUUACUUGCUAUUAGAUCUUUGUAUAAUCUGCUAUAGUGAUGGUCAUUGCCUGUAUUUUCACUUUAUUAUAGAUAAUAGGUUAUAGUGUCGGAGAUGGAUAAGUCAUGGAUGCACUCGGAUAGAAGAUCGAAGGCAUAUGAGUUUGGGGUGGAAGCAUUUUUGAACUUUGCUGUAGAAAAUCUUCUAACUACAACACAUAUUCGUUGUCCAUGUGUUAAAUGUGUUAAUUUGAAGUUGUUUGGGGUUGGAAUUAUAAGGGAUCACUUAUACUUUAAUGGAAUUGACCAAAGCUAUAAGAAUUGGACAUUUCACAGAGAACCUUGGGAAGCAACUACUAAUUCUAGUAGAAAUGUUGAAGAAGAUGAUGGCCAUAGUAGGUACAGUUUUGUGUCUGAAGAAAUUGAUAUGGAUGAUAAUGAUUUUGGUUCCGAUCCGUAUGAGUUUGCCAAUGUGAUUGGGGAUGGAGAUCAACCAGUAUACCCUGGUUGUAGAAAGUACACGAAGUUAUCGGCAUUAGUGAAGUUGUAUAAUUUGAAGGCAAAAUAUGGGAGGAGUGAUGUCUGUUUUACAGAAUUAUUGAUACUUCAAGGCGAUUUGCUUCCAGAAGGAAAUACAAUACCAACCUCUAUGUAUGAGGCUAAAAAGACUUUGUGUGCAUUGGGGCUGAGUUAUGAGAAAAUGCACGCAUGCCCCAAUGAUUGCAUCUUGUAUAGGAAGGAGUAUGAGGAUUCAACUAAUUGUCCUACUUGUGGUAUCUCAAGGUGGAAGGAAGGCAAAGAUUCAAUCUUGAAAGAGGGUGUGCCAGCGAAGGUGGUGUGGUAUUUUCCUCCAAUUCCAAGGUUUAAAAGGAUGUUUCAAUCACAUGAGACAGCUAAGAGUUUGACUUGGCAUGCUGCUAGAAAAUCAAUUGACGGUCAGAUGUCUCAUCCGGCGGAUUCCCCGUCUUGGAAACUUCUUGAUGAUAAAUGGCCUGAGUUUGGUAAUGAGCCGAGAAACUUGAGAUUGGCUCUUUCAUCUGAUGGAUUCAAUCCCCACAGUUCUCUAAGUAGCAGAUAUAGUUGUUGGCCGGUUAUCUUAGUUACAUAUAAUCUCCCUCCAUGGCUGUGCAUGAAACGAAAGUUCAUGAUGUUAACCUUAUUGAUUUCCGGUCCUAAACAACCCGGAAAUGAUAUAGACGUCUACUUGGAGCCUUUGAUUGAUGAUUUAAAAUCUUUGUGGGAUGGGAUUAGAGGAGUGUAUGAUGCACAUAAUGGAGAAUACUUUACACUCAGAGCUGCAUUAAUGUGGACAAUUAAUGAUUUCCCCGCCUAUGGAAACUUAUCUGGUUGUGUUGUUAAAGGAUAUAAAGCUUGUCCAAUAUGCGGCGAUGAUACACCUAGUCACAGGUUGAAAAAUGGCCACAAAAUUUGUUACAUUGGGCAUAGAAAAUGGUUACCAAUCAAUCAUCCAUAUAGGAGGCAACGUGCAGCUUUUAAUGGGAAACCUGAAUAUGGCAUACCUCCCGAGCCAUUAACCGGAGAAGAAGUGCUGCAUAUGGUUGAAAAUGGUGACAGAGUUUGUUGGAAGAAGAAAUCAAUAUUCUUUGAUUUCGAGUAUUGGAAAUACCUUCCUGUGAGGCAUGCCCUAGAUGUUAUGCACAUUGAGAAGAAUGUUUGUGAUAGUAUCAUUGGUACAUUGCGGAGAUCACUAGAAAAAAUAAAGAUGGGAUUGCUGCUCGAUUAGAUUUAUUGAACAUGGGGGUCAAAACUGAUUUGCAACCCGAGUAUGGAGAAAGACGUACUCGUUUGCCUCCUGGGCCUUGGAAUUUGUCAAGAGCAGAGAAGAGAGAGGUUUGCAAUUCUUUUUAUGAUAUGAAGGUCCCUGAAGGUUAUUCUUCAAAUAUUAAAAAUCUUGUAUCUUUACAAGAUUCAAGACUUCUUGGCCUUAAAUCACAUGAUUGUCAUACCUUAAUGCAACAAUUGCUCCCUGUGGCAAUUCGUUCUGUUUUGGAGAAGCCUGCAAGGUAUGCAAUAACUCGUUUGUGCUUCUUCUUCAAUGCUAUAUGUGCAAAGACUGUUGAUGUUUCCAAGCUAGAUAAGUUGGAAGAAGAUGUAGUAGUUACUCUGUGUUUGCUUGAGAAGUACUUUCCCCCUUCAUUCUUUGAAUAUCAUGGUUCAUCUAGUAGUANNNNNNNNNNNNNNNNNNNNNNNNNNNNNNNNNNNNNNNNNNNNNNNNNNNNNNNNNNNNNNNNNNNNNNNNNNNNNNNNNNNNNNNNNNNNNNNNNNNNUCAUCUAGUAGUACAUCUGUCAGAGAGUUCGUCUAUGUGGGCCAGUAUAUUUUAGGUGGAUGUAUCCGUUUGAAAGAUAUAUGAAAGUGCUGAAGGGGUAUGUUCAGAAUCGUACUCGUCCCGAAGGUUGCAUUGCUGAGCGGUAUAUAGCUGAAGAAGCGGUAGAGUGUUGUACUCAGCAUUUAUCUGAUGUUAGUACAGUUGGAGUGCCUUCAAGCCAAAAGAUGGGAGUUUCAAAGCCAUUAUCAGGUUGCACAGUGAGCGUAGUUGAUCAGGACCUGUUGAAUCAAGCACAUCUAUAUGUCUUGGAGAAUACGGAGGAAGUCCUACCUUAUAUCGAGUACGUAUGAGCUUUAUUCUUUAAGUUUCCAUUUUAAAUUAUUUCUUAUGUUUAUCUUCUAUAUUUAGGACCGUAAUGCUUGAAUUUUUCGUGUCAUGUAGGCAACAUAUGAUCCACAUCAAGACUGCUUAUCCAAAAUUUAGAAAGAGAACAAAGUGGCUGCAGGAUAAGCACAAUAGCACUUUCAUUCAAUGGCUACGCUUCAAGGUAUAUGUUGUUGAAUAACAUAUUUCUCUUUUAAUUUUCUUCUUAUUUAUAUGUUAGAUUGAAUUAAGAUAUGAUUAAUUUGCAGGUUCAAAGUGAACUUGAGGAAGACAAUCAUGGCGUAUCAGAAAAUUUAAGGUGGCUAGCAGCUGGUCCAAACAUGUCAGUGCCAUUAUAUAGGAGCUAUCUUAUUAAAGGUAUUAAAUUCAAUAUCAAGGCACAAGAUGAUGUGCGGACAACUCAAAAUAGUGGAGUUUAUUUACUUGCACAUACCAUGCAAGUUGCUAGUGCCAAGGAUAAAAACCCAAUUCUCUCAAAUAUGGGUUUCUAUGGUGUCAUUCAAGAAAUUUGGGACCUUGACUACCAAAAGUUUACAAUCCCAGUCUUUAGGUGUGAUUGGAUAGAUAGUUCUGGUCUUGUAGUCGACGAACUUGGAUUUACCCUUGUAGAUUUGAGUAAAAUUGGACAUAGGAAUGACCAAUUUGUUUUGGCUUCUCAAGUCAAACAAAUAUUUUUUGUUGACGACCCGAUGCAUCGUGGUUGGUCGGUAGUGUUAUCAAUGCCUAAUAGAGAAUAUAAUGAUGUUAUUGGUGAUGAAGUCUUAGGUGAUGUGAUAAUUGAGUGUGAGCCAUUUACUAGAGGGAUGCCAAAUGUUGACACAUUUGAUGAACUGGUGGGUGAGUUAGGCGGUCAAAAUAUUCGAGAUGGGUGUGAAGAUAUAUGGAUUGAAUGAUGCUUAUGUAAUUGGCAGUGUAUGACAUUAAUUUUGUAAUAUAUUGUAAUGUGAUUUCUUCACUUUCUACGUUCAAAUAAAACACGACGUUAUUGUGAACCAGUUAUUCAGCAUAUUUACCGACGUCUUAAAGCAACGUAACAAUGAAGAACCACGACGCUAUUGUGAAGCAAUUAUUCAGGAUAUCACGUCGGGGAAGGAUUAAGAACCGCCAUGUAAUUCAAAAUAACACGACUCCAAUCCCAUAAUACCGACGUCUAAAAAAUGAGAUAUAUAAUCUGAACGUUAAAAAAUUCGACGUCAUCAUACAUUUUCCACGUCGCAAGUUCUUUUAUAAACGAAGAGGAACGAAAUGAAUUCCGACGGAAAUUCAUUAUAACCGUCGUCUAAUAACAAUUAAACGACGUUAUUUGUAAUACGGCUCUCAUCAUAAUCUACGCCGUCUAUAUGUUCUGUAAUACGGCUCUCAUUUAUUUAGAACCGACGUUGUUUAGAAGUUCAACGUCGUCUAUAUUAUUAAGUGCGUCGUGAGUAAUGAAUACAUAUAAAUACAACGUCGACUAUAUAAAUGCCACCGACGUUGUUUCGCAUUUCAACGUCAACUAUAUAAAUACAUACGUCGUAAAUAAUGACACUGACAACUAUUUCCACGUCAUCUUUUUUAGAAAAAUCGAAGUGGAACAUUUAUUUCACGACGGUUCUUUGUAAAUAAGAGACGUAGUAGAUUUCAAUAACGUCGUCUUCUCAUGUAUUUAAAGACGUCAUAUUUUUUCUUGUCGUGUAAAUUGUAUUUAACGGCGUAGUAUUUUAGUUGUCGUCGUUGUAUGUAUAUCUUGCAGCCUUGUUCUUUUAAUAUGUGUCAUAUUUUUCCUUUUUAACGACGGUGAUUUGUUUGAGUUGGUCGUCUAUUCUCAUCCUCGACUAUUUUCUAUAACUUUAGCAGACUAAACACGUCUGUUUUUAUUUUUCCUGACGUUGUUUUAUUUAACAACGUCUAAGAUUUAUCGUCGUUGUUUGUUUCUGAAAAUAGGACGUAUAAAUUUUGUAAUACGACUCUCAUAUAUUUGUAACCGACGUUGUAUUGUUUUUCAACGUCUACUCUAUAAAUACAUACGUCGUAAAUAAUGACACUGACAACUAUUUCCACGUCAUCUUUUAUCGAAAAAUGAAGUGAAAAAUUAAUUUUACGACGGCUGUUUUUAUAUAUGCGACGUAGUAGGUAUCAAUAACGUCGUCUUCUAAUGUAUUUAAAGACGUCAUAUUUUUAUUGUCGUGAAAAUGAUAUUUAACGGCGUCGUAUUUUUAUUUUCGUCGUUGUAUGUCUAUCUUGCGGCCUUGUUCUCUUAAUAUGUGUCAUAUUUUUCCUUUUUAACGACGGUUUUUUUAGAGAGUUGGCCGUCUAUUCUCAUCCUCGACUGCUUUUUUAGAUCUUUUUGCAUUACAAAGACGUCGUUUUGUAUUUGUUGAUGACGUUGUAUAUUUUAACAACGACGGUGAUUUAGCGUCGUGGUUUAUGAGGGAAAAGAUGACGGUGGAUUCCACGACCAUUGAAAAACCGAAUACACGACUGUGAUUUACCGUCGUCUUUUUGCUUUUUUGUAGUAGUGUGUUUGUUCUCGUGAUGGUAGGCUGAAGUUCCUCAUUGCCUUGAAAACUAUUGCUUGGUCAAAAAGUUAACUUUUCUUUAGUGUGCGAGUGUGCCACUGCUAGUAAUGAAAAAUCCUAACAGACUUCGAAAAUAGAUAACUUGCGCCCCAAGUUACUGAUUUCUAAACAAGUGAAUGUGAAUUUGGGUGAGGAAUAUCUCCCAAGUAAGUUCUUUUCUUGCCUCAGACUGGUGAGCACUUCACAAUUUUCACAGUACAAUAUUGGUAGUUCUGGCCAGAAUAAAUGAUGAGAAAAUGAACUGUUUUUUAGGCAGAACUGCCUUUUACAAAACUCAAAAGGGAAAAACCAACUCUAGAAAGACAAAAAGAAUGCUGGACUUCCAUUUCUGCAUGGAUAGAUGCUUCUGAUCCGAGCUGGACUUGGUAUGUCUGUGCUGAACUGGACUGUCAGCAACUUUAAUUGUCAAGUUUCAGCUGUAAAUCGAUACCAACGUUCGAGUUUGGCAUAGCUUUAAUCUAUUUCAAGUCCUAUGAGACUGUUUGAACGGUCAGAAUUGCAGCAUCUUCAGUCUGAAGGGGUAGAAGUCACUGGAUUAAAGGAUUACUGAAUUGGAACUACACUGUGAUGCCUGUUUUGCUUUAUCAGGGCUCUCCAUAAAUUUGUUGAGGUUUUCAUAUUUGUAAAAACCCAGGCUCUGCUUGUUUUGGCUUUUGCUGCACCAAAUUUGCAACGAAAGAAAUCUCGUUUUUUAGACUUUUCUCUAAGUCUGAAACUAAUUUGUAGCUUGCUUCUUUCUUGUGGCUCAAUGAGCUUUUGGUUGCUUCAGUGUUUUGAAGGUUUUUGAGAUCAAGGGAUCAUUUUGAGUUUUUGCUGUUGAUUGAUUUUUUUGGUUGUUUGAUUGAUUGUCUUUGUUCUGUUCACCCUUUCUUAUAUUUAUAAGAAAUGUUUUGGAGUAGGAUUUCUAAUUCUUUUAAUAGUGGGUGGUAAAAUUUCUCAAAAGAUCUCUCAUUUUUAAAUGCAAAGAAAAAUGGGUUCUAUCAAUUUCUGGCAGAUAAGCCCUCAAUAGUUAGUUCCUAAGGCAGUCACUUCCCUAUUUUUCUUGAAAGAAAACCUAACCCUUCUUCCAAUUUAACUGCUCCUUGUAAGAAUUCAAACUGUGAUGGUUAGUUUUGAUCUUCCAGAUGAACAACUCCAUGCACCCUACUUAUCUCUUUUAGAAAAUAUAGCCUGCUUAUCUCUUGGAAAUGGCACCUGUUUUGGUGCAGAACUUCUCUAUAAUAUAUAAAAUUCUGACCUUCUUCUUUUGGCUGAGCAAAUAUAGAGAAGUCCUUCUGUAACACCUGCCCUUAUUAAUUUCCUAUCAACCUCUCUGUAAUAGUUGAAAAUUUUGACUUUUCAACGUUAGUUAGUCACGUGGGUUUGUUUAGGAAAGAUCUUUUGAUUUUGUCAACCUUCUAAGGGUAGAUUUUUUAGAUGGUAAAGAAAGGUUGGGCUAGUCUCUUUUUAGUGGAUAAGAAAGCCCCAAAUAUUUCCGUCUUAUGGCCCUUUUUUUGAAAAAGAGAUGGGCCCAGUGUGCUAGAAAUUGGCCCAAUCUUAAAAGACUCUGAUGGCUGCCCAUUAUUUUGACAUGGGGUUUUUUGAUUUGGGCUAUUGAUUCCAAUUUUGAACAAAAAGCCCAAAUUGCUUGGAUCCUGGGUUUUGUCUUCCUGGGCUUCCAUCGCUGAGCUGGGCGUGCAUAUUUUGGCCCAACAUAAUUAGAUCAUUACAGACACCAAACCUCUCUAUCCAGCCAUGAGUGAAUUAUAAUAAUAAUCAUCAAAAUAAAGCGAUAAUAAUAAUAUUAAUGAUAACAACAAUGAUAAUAAUAAUAAUAAUAAUAACAACACUAACAAAAGUAAUCCAUGGAAAUACCAUAAUCAUAUCUUCCAAACGCGUACCCUCAAACUAAGAGCUACGUAAAUAAAUCCCUGAUGUGUUCAAGCUAAUGCAUAGAAAUCUCUUUCUUUCUAGUUUAUCAUAGAAUUUUAGUGAGCCUCUCACCACCUACUUUCCGUUCCAUCUUAUUCACAUUUUGCUUAAACACAUUGUUUGUCCAUAUAUACUCGACUUUGCCUAGCAUAUCAAAAGGCACAAAUACAUCUUGCAUCAAGGGACUUUAAAUUCUUUCUUUCUAGUUUAGUAAUGAAGAUUUGGGGAUUCGAACUUGAAAUCUAUUCCAAAAGACGAGACGGUCUCAAAGACCCGCGGUCAAUGGUUUGGUCAAACUUUACUAUUUUUGGUCAACUGGGCUUGCGGGGCCCAUGGCCUCCGAUUUCAAUUCUAAAGUUCCUAGAGGUCCAACAAAGUCUACUGAACACAUCCUGAAAGUUUGGUCUCGAUCGAGGAGUCGGAUUGCUCGCGAUCACACGAACAAACGGUCACCAUUUUACAUAAUCUUUGAACCAUUGAUUCAGAGUAUCCGGGACCCCGAUUCUCAAUCCGUUCAUUCCUACACAAUCCUAGAGGUACCUAGAUCAACAUAUUUGGAAAUGGAGUCAAUUCAACAGUCCGAAUGUAUCGAACCCGGAUAAGGCCUAAUAUGCGUAAAUCCGAUCGACCGUCAAACGAUAACCAAAUUCAAAUCCGAGCAUGCCAUCAUGCUCGGGACGACACGGGGAACAUUUUAGGACCAAAUGAGCCACCCAAACAUGGCCCACAAGCCACCACACGAACCGACAACGCGUGGGAGUCUUGAGAAAAUUCUAGAGACCUAAAAAUUCUCGAAACACCCAACAAUACAUAUACCUACGUGAUCAGGACAAUGAGUAGAGUAACUUUUGCUCUUGGUUUAGUUUGUAUAAUAAUGUUUUGGAGCAACUUUUGUUCUUGGGCCGCGGUUAAAAAGUGGCCAGAACUUACUGGAAUUUCGAACCGAAUACCGACUGAAACUUUGAAUCGUAAAACGAGUUGCAAAACUUCAAAAUCUAUCCUAACCAACCCAACCAUCAGCUAAAUCACGUUGAAAGCAUGAGAAAGCAUACUUAGAUAGACAAAAAUGGAGGCAGAAAUUGUUGAAAAGUUUGACGAAAUUUAGGCAUGUUUUUCGCCAUUUCGGGCAACGAUGAUUGUCAGUUGCGGCGGAGGAAGGAUGAGGUGGGAAGAGGAAGCUGAGCCAGUCGUUUUGGUACCGGUCUUGUGGCCAACGGUGGUCGAACGUGAAAACUACCGGCCAAAAUGUGGCUAGCUGGAGCUUGGUGGCGAGGAGAGAUGAGAGGAAGAGAGAGAGAGAGAGAGAGAGAGAGAGAGAGAGAGAGAGAGAGAGAAGAAAAAAUCUGGGUGAGAGAGAAAAGAAAAAAUCUUGGUUUGUAAAAUUUCAACUUCGAGUUAUUUACGAUUGUGUCCAAAAUAACCCUACCCCCAAGGGUAAAAUUGUAAUUUUGCAAUUAAUUAAACUAAAUCAUUUAUAUAUAUUAAAUAAAUGGUUUAAAGUUGGGUCAGGAUGUUACAAUUUACUCCAACUUUUUUCGUAGAGAUCGAGGGAGAAGAAAGAGAAGGAAGUUCGAUGGUCAAAGAAUCUAUGUGUAAAUAUUCCCUGUGUGAAAUUUUGCUCAAACAUUAAUGUUGCAAUUCGUCUUUGAAUAAAAAUUUUCAUUCUUUAGCAUGUAUAUAUGUGUAUAUAUAUAUAUAUAUAUAUAUUGUACAAGCAAUAUAUCAUAUUUGGAGAGAGGGAAUUGAAGCAUAAGUCUCAGAAGCAGGGUAAUUAUAUUCUUAACCACUUUAGUGGAGUAUGGAUUUAUAUAGUUGUGUUGUGUGUUGGGCAUAAUAGAUAGAUCAUGUCAUCAUCCAUGCAUUCUUUCCUGGUGUGUCCCAUGUUUUCAAGAACAUACAUAUUUUGUUUCACGUUUCAAAUUUAAAACAAGCUCUUUUUAAGGACUUAACUACUAAAAAAAUUGAAAUAGAAGACGGAGAAAAACCGUUGUCUUUUUUCUUUGAAAAUCAUUGUUAAAUUGACCGUUAUUUUUUGAAUGUUAAAUUACAACAGUGAUCCAUUGUUGUCUAUUAAUUAUAAAAACGACGCUUUUACUAUAAACUGUCGUUUAUUAAAGGUAAAGCUAACGGUUUUGUUAAACGAACCGUCAUCUAUUAAUUGUAAACACAAUGGUGUGUUUGAAAGAAUCGUCGUUUAUUAUAUCUAAAGAUGAUGGUUUUUAACCAACAUCCUAACUCUAAAGACGACGGUUGUGUUGAAAAACCCAUCGUGUAUUAUCUAAAUUUAAAAAUAAAAUAAAACAUAAAGAUUUUCAACUAAAAUGAGGUCGGCUUGACAGCUUUCGGUUUUAGUAUAAUAAAUAUUCAAUAUCUUCUUAGGGUCUCCCUUUCUUAUACAAUUUCCAUGUACAAAGCAUGAUCAUGCGAAUUGUGAGGCUAAUUAGGCUGAAAACGCUUUGACAAAUUUCAAUCGGUAUAAUUAAUUUGGAUUAAUUUGUUCUGUAGUGAGCGUCUUUAAUUUUCUUGAAACUAUAAAUAUAUAUAUAUAUAUAUAUAUAUAUAUUGGGGUGACAUGCUCCUUAUUAUCUUCCAACCAAAAAUAAAAUAAGAUAAAAUAGGAUAAAUUACAGUAAACCCCCCAACCUAUAGGGUCAUUUACGAGUCCAUACCCGAUUUUGGGGACAUUUAUGGGUACAUAAUGUCGCGGAAAACCUACAGAUUGCCCUAUCCAUUAGCGAGUCCGUCAGGAAAUCCGUUAUCUGCCUACGUGGCAAACACUACUACAUUUUACCCUUUGCGCGACGAAUAACAAAACGUCGCGCAAAGUCCCAUUUAGUCGCACUAACUUCAGCGCGACAAAAAAUUCGUCGCGCAUAUUCCGUCGCGCGAAGAUCGUGAAGAAAGCCUUUGCGCGACGAGGUAAAACCAUUCGUCGCGCAAACAUGUGCGACGAGUAAACCAUCGUUGCACCAACGGUAUGGAGACGAAACAACUGUUCGUCGCAUAAAAUUUGCGCGACGAACAAGUAUUCGGCAUACGUAUAUUUGCGCGACGACAAGACUAGCGCGACGAAAAACCAUUCGUCGCGCAAAACUUGUUUGGGAGACGUAGAUGUUCGCCGCAGAACCAUUCGCGCGAUGAGAAAGUUUUCGUCGCUCAUAUAUUUGCGCGACGAAAUUUCUGUCGUCGCGCAGACGAUAUGCGCGACGAACACAUUCGUCGCGCAAAACUUGUUUGCGAGACGCAUGUAUUCGUCGCGCAAGAAUUAAAAGUAAUUAAAAAGUUAAAUUUUUAUUUUUUGUGUGGGUUUGCGCGACGAAACAUUUGCCGUCGCGCAAAAAUAAUAUUACAUUUUUUUAUUUUUUUUAUUUUUUAUUUUAAAUAAAAUUGGUUUUUUUUUUAUUGAUUAAACAAUGAAAUUGCAAUAAAAAUAAAUUAGAAUAAAAUUCUUUUAUAAAAUAAGAUAAAUGUAUUACAAACAUAUAAAUGUUUAUGAUGAAAAUAAAUACACUAAUCAAAUAAUGAAUCAAAAUCAACCGUGUCGUCGCCAGUAUGCUGCUCGGAGGUCUGGGCAUUCACCGGGGCAGUGGUCUGAUGGGGCUGCGCGGGAUGGACGGGCUCGGAGGUCGGCGCAUCAAAAUGCGGGACUGGAAUGCCGGACUGUGCGAGGGACUGCAGAAUGACCGACAUCUGGCUCUGAAGAGUGGCCACCUGUGCUGUCAAAGCAGUGACCUGACUGUUUGACUGCGCCGAUGAACGAGGUCUAGGCUCCCUCCUCCGGGCAUUCCCCAUCCCUCGACAAUAUGUCCCCGGCCUCCUCCCGAGAGUCUGAUCCAACGUCUCCGUCAAGAUCUGAAAUCCAGCAUCCUGUGGAGGAGCCACAGACUCGAUCGGGGUCUCGGGAGGAAGCUGGGAGGCGGACUCCUGAAGAACCAACUGGCUCCUCUCCACCAUCGUCGUCUGUUGAACAUAACAUAAAAUAUAAAUUAAAACAUGCAUAUAAAUUGAAUGCGUAACAUAAGAAUUAAAAUUAAAUAAUACUUACAUGAAGGGACUCGGCCAACUCAUUCCCGGGUCGAACAUAAACGUCACCAAAGACGUCGAUCUCUGGGAACUUGGACCCCUCCUAAAUUGAACAAGAGAAGAAAAAUAUUAGUAUGAAAAAAAUAAAUUAAUAAAAAUGACAUUAAAAAUGAAAUAUAAAUUUUGUGAUUAUUACCCGACGCCGUGCAUCCAUCCUAUACGAAAAGGGUCUGGAGCCGGAAUGGUGGAGAAGGGUCUUCUUCUUCCUAUUACCCUUAUUCACUUGGGCUUUAUUCUGUUAUACAAAAAAUGAAACAUAUUAGUUAAAAUAUAAAAAAUUAAAUAAUAAUGAAAUAAAAAAAUAAAAUAAACAUUAAUAAGUAAUAAGUAAUAAUUAAACAAAUAUAAUUAAAAAAAAUACCGCAAAUUCGGGCGCUUGAAAAUGAGCGCAGAGCCACUCCCAACUAUCCUCCCGCCCCUCAAGCUCCUUCGGGCAACCCUCAUGAAGAGCGACUUGCGGAUCAUCAUAGGCCUGAAAAUGGUGGUGCAAGUCGCUCUUCCACUGCUUGUACCUCUCAGCGAAGAGUCUGUUGAGGUACGUCAACGACUCUUCGUCGAGAUCCUCCAAGUUAUAGUUCGUCUGUAAUCAAUUAAUUAGAUACGUUAAGUAAUAGAAAUAUACACAAUUUUAAAGAAAAAUAUUGAAAAUGUAAGGUACAUACCGACAACUGGCCGCGAACCUCCGCCUUGAUCUCGUCAAGCAUGACCCUCCAAGACUUCCAUUGCAUCGGGCAAUGGGUUCGCACGACGUGGCCAAUGUCGUGGGCCAAGGAGCUAUGCAACUCUGCCGUCGGUGCAGCCCGAUGGCGCUAGUCGUACCCGAUGCUGAUACGACUGUUGGUCACCCGAGUGACCUUCGCCGUCUUCAGCUGACGACACGGUCCUCGGGUGUUCUUCUUCGCUGCAAAGCAAAAGGUAUUAAUGUUAAAUAAAAAAACAUUGUUAAAUUUCAAUAUAAAAUUAACAAUACAAAAGUGUAGUUAUACCUGACUGUGAUCCCGAGGCACCAGUACCGUCGGUCGAUGUCGUGUCGAUGGAGUCGGUGGGCCGGUGCCGCCGCCUAGCACUAGCUGGCUGCGCCACGGAUGACGCAGAUGACGCAGGCGCCUGGGGCGACUGGGACGCCCCGGGACCAACCACCACGUGGUCCAUCAAAGCUGGAGCAGUGGCAGCAGAUGCCGACUGAGCCGGGGGAUCCGAACUCGGUGCAGUCGUCAUCGUCCUACCACGUCUAAUCAAGUCUGACAUCUACACAUUUAAUUUCAUUCAGAAUUUAAACUAAUUAAUUAAAAGCAUAGCAUGACCUAGGGUUUGGAAUUUCGGAGUAUCCGGGACUCCGAUCAACGAUCGGUCGAAUCCUAAACGACCCUAGAAACACAAACGUACAACUACAUGAGUUUCAGUUCGAUCCAACGGUCCGAACAUAUCAAACCUGGAAAUCGCACAAUAGGCGAAAUCCGAUCAAGACUCAAACGGCAACCAAAUUCAAACCGGCCAAAACCUAGGGUUUUAAUUCCUAUUUCCUAUAGCGAAAAUUCACAAAAUCCUAACCAACCAUCAGCUAACCAGUAACAUAUCCAUCCAGCCAAUCAAUCAUAACAAACAUACAGAAAUCAUAACACAAAUACAAAAUCAAAAUCAAAAUCAAAACUGACAGAAAUCAUCAUAACACAAAUACAAAAAUAAAAACUGAAUUAACACAUACUUCAAUGGACACAGAGUCGAUAGAGGCUUACAGUGGCGCAGAGAAAACAGACGCGGGAGUGGCCCAGAGAAAAGAGAAGCGGCAGUGGCUACGGUGGUGAAGGCAGGGAGGCUACGGUUGCGAGGGCGACGGCAAGGAGGCUACGGUGGCGACGGCGACGGCAAGGACGCCACGGAACGAGCGGAGGUGGCUGAGGUGACGGCGGAGAGAGAGGACAUAAUUCAUUGCGCAAAAUCGUUUUAAUGAACCUUGCGCGAUGACAAUUCCGUCGCGCAAAACAGCAUUAAUGAAUCUUGCGCGACAACCUAAUUUAUUCGUCGCGCAAAGUUUUUGUUCACCGCCAAAAUUUUGGGAUUUAGGGUUUAGGGCGAGGCGGAAAUUGAAGGGUCUGCGCCUUUUGCGCGACGAAGUAAAUGAGCGUCGCGCAAAGGAUGAUAUUGCGCGACGGAAACAUUAUAUUCGUCGCGCAAAACACAUUCUCGGCGCCUGAUAUUGCGCGACGGAAACAUUAUAUUCGUCGCGCAAAACACAUUCUCGGCGCCUAAAAAUUGAGAUUUAGGGUUUAGCGGGAGAGGUAUCUGUCUUUUGCGCGACGAAACAAGUAACCGUCGCGCAAUAUUACCUUUGCGCGACGACUAUGUAUUCGUCGCGCAAAACACGUCUGGCUGCAAAAAUUUUGGGGUUUAGGGUUUGGCUGGAGCUGAAGGGCCAUUGCCUUUUGCGCGACGAAGACGUGUUAUUCGUCGCGCAAGUUCAAGAUUGUGAUUCGGUUGAAAUUUUCGCUAAGUGUUCAGAGGGUUGAGGGAUUGCGCGACGAAUAAACUAUGUAUUGCGCGACGUUUUUGUUUUAUUCGUCGCGCUAGUGUAGAAUUUCAUUGGGUUAAAAUUUUCACUAAGUGUUGAAAGGGGAUGGAGGGGUGGACUUUGUGUCCCAGAUUGCGCGACGAACGAAACCAUAUCCGUCGCGCAAUCAUAAUAUCUUUCACUUUGCGCGACGAUAUUAUGUGUUUCGUCGCGCAAAACCUAAACCCUAAAAUGUAAACCCUAAACCCUGAGCCCUAAGCCCUAAACCCUAAACCCUAAAAUAGUUUCAAUGAUCCAACCGGCAAACUUAUUUUUUUUUUCUUGGAGAUCGUAUACGCCAAAAAUCAAAACGACCAAACAUUCAGAUAUCAGAAAACGGGACAAAAUAUUUCGACGGUUAUAAAUGAAAAGUCAUGAUUUAACGGUUAUUUUAAUACCGAUUCCAAUCAUUUUUUAUAGCAACAUUUGUUGACCCUAUAUGAAUACAAUGACUGAAUUUGAUCUUCAAUUUCAGAUUUUUACACUAGGGGAUACCACAUAAACGUUAAGUUACAUUUUGACAAAUGUAUGAACAAAUUUUUGAUUUUUGGUGAAUAUAUGAUUUUGAUAGCACACGCAGUCUACAAAACUAGUUUCAGUCAUCCAGCCGUCAAACUUGUUUUUUGACAAUUCGAGAUCUUGGACAGCAAAAAUCGGCCAAAAAAAACAUUCAGAGAUUAAGUAACGGGGUAAAACUUUUCGACGGUUCGAAAUAAAAAGUGAUGAUUGAACGGUUAUUUGAACUCCGAUGUUGAUGAUUUUUUGCACCAACAGUCCUACACUCCAUAUGAAUACAAUGAACUACUUCGAUCGCCAAUUUCAAGUAUAUAUGUGUGUAUAUAUUAUACUAUAACGUUACGUAAUAUAUAUUUGCGCGACGAAGUCACUCUUAUCGUCGCGCAAAAGUACCAUACGCGACGCACAUAUUUUCGUCGCAACACUAGCUUUAUUCGUCGCGCAAAAUUUACGCGACGCAUUUUUAUGCGUCGCGUAUGGUGUUUUUGCGCGACGAUAAUGAUACUCCGUCGCGCAAGGAUUUGGCGCCAUAACUCCACCUUUAAUUCAAAUUGUGUAUGCUUUGUAUUUUUUGGAAAGGUUUUGUAUUCAUCAUUUUUUAUGCUUUGUAUUUUUUGGAAAGGCUUUGUAUUUCUUCAUCAAAACCAAGCUAAAUUGAUAAUUAAGAUUUGAAUCGACCGAAUUUAUCGGUUUGACUAGAUUGAUGCCACUAAUCAUGAACCAAAGUCAAGAAAAAUAAGUGGCACACAGCUAAUAUUGGAGAAAUAACUUAAAUUUUCUGUUUAAACAUGAAGAAAUAACUAUAUCUCAAAAGAUAAAAAUAAUAAUUGAAGAGGCCUUAAGGCAUGAAUAAAUAAAUAAAUAAAUAAAAACCAAUCAACAAGCAUGGGGUCGUAAUAAGUACUGACGAAAGUAUUGACUACAGUAUUGACAUUCCAAUGAAGUUUGUGAUGAAAUAUGGAGAAUGAAUACACAACUACAUAUGGACGACUGCAUAUAUUCAAAGAUUUGUAUUACACAAAAUGAAUACACUAACAUAAUAAAUUUACAAAUAAAUUCAUUAUUCAUCAUUUGAACUAUAAUAACUUUCGUUAUCGUCGCUAUCAUCACUCUCGGUCUCCCAAUCUUCUUCCUCCUCCUCCUCUAUAACUGCAUCAUCGGCGUUGCUAGGGCCCACUGCAACAUCGUAUCGGGGAAGAUCACCGAGGUCAAUUGUAAUUGACUGAAUCGGUAUUUCGACUGAAGACACUCCUUCUAUUUGAAACGGUUCUUGUAUAACAUUUGUAUCUCGAAGUGUUUCCGCAUCAUUUUCCAUUGAAGAUUCUAAACGUUGGUCAGCCACAUUGUCGACGGCGUUGUCACUUGGGUCUAGUUCUGGUAUAUCAUACACGUUCCUAUGAUCCAUCUUCUGCACAACUUUCCACCCGUUCCCGGCUUUAGGGUCAUCUAGAUACACAAUUUGGGACGCCAUGUGUGCCAAAAUGUACGGGUCGUCAUCAUACCAAGUUCUGUUAAUGUUCACAGACAGUACUCCAUGGUCGAUUUUAACACUUCCCGCCCUAUUUGGGUUGGUAUCGAACCAUCGACACUUAAACAUGAUGACUUGGUAUCGAUCUUUGUAAAGCAAUUGCACGACAGUUGUCAGUUUGCCGUAGAAAUCAAUGUCCGUACUUUCGCCUCCACCUGGGACAUGGACACCGCUAUUUUGCAUACACAACUUGUCAUCUCGUGCGGCCCCCAAAAAUUUGACGCAGUUAACAUUACAACCCGAGAACAAUUCAGCGCGAAUUGGGCCGAACGCCAAGUUAUAUAACUCAUCACUGUAAGUGGGGGAAUUCGAUGAUUUCAAUUUAUUCACCUAAUAGUAUACAAAACCAUUUACAUGUUAGUCAGACAAAAUUAAAUACUACAAUUUAUAUCUGUCAAUUAUAAAACACUUAUAACUUACAGAAUCCAAAAACCAUUGUGGAAAUAAUUCACGGUGUUUCCGGGCAACCAAAUGUGAUGGAUGUUCUCGCUUCAUCAUCUGUUCAUGCUCAUCUAAGUAGGCCAUUAUCUCAUCACAAUUGUUCAGUACGAACCAAUGCGCUACCUCCAUGUCAUUUCUAGAAAACGACUCUCCUCGUCCAGGAUCUCCAAAUGGUCGUGCGCUUUGGGCAAAAACAGAAAGUUUUUCAUUUCUCAUACCUCCGUCAUUAUUGCGUUGAGGACGAUUGAAAACCGUCUCCACAUCUUUUAAAUACAUUCCACAGAAAGUAAGCGACUCAUAUUGAACCCAAGCCUCUAUAAUUGAUCCUUCGGGCUUUGCCCUGUUGCGUACACUUUUUUUCAGCUCUCCGAGAAGCCUGCCAAAAUAAAACGAUAUGAUACAAAUUAGCAAAUUGUCGAUAAUGAUGCAUACACAAAUUAUAAAGAUUAUAUACCUUUCUAUUGGAUACAUCCAGCGAUAGUUGACAGGACCAGCAAGCAAUGCCUCUUCUGGCAAGUGAACCAUCACGUGUAUCAUACUUGUAAAGAAAGCUGGCGGAAAUAUCAUCUCAAACUUGCAUAGGACUUGGACAAUGUCAUGGCGCAACUGAAACAUGUCUGUCCUUCGCAAUGUUUUUGCCGUCAGUUGGGAAAAAAAUCUGGAUAACAAGAUGAUUGGCUUCACCACAUCUUCCGGCAGUAGGUGUCGAAUACCCAUAGGAAGUAGGCGUUGCAUAAACACAUGGCAGUCAUGGCUCUUAAGUCCAGUAAAUUUACCCCCAUCGACAUUCACGCAACGUGCGAUAUUAGAAGCAUACCCAUCGGGAAAUUUGACAGACGAUACAAACUUUAGAAACUCUUUUUUGUCAUUCGGUUUCAUAGAAAAGAAUGCAAGAUCCCUUCUAGCUUUAUCACUGUAUUUCUUCAUCCAUAAACCCCUUCGUAUGCCCAUUCUUUCCAAAUCAAGACGAGCUUUGAUCGUGUCCUUCGUCUUCCCCUCGAUAUCUAGAAUCGUGCCCACCAAUGUGUCGAAUACAUUUUUCUCAACAUGCAUCACAUCUAGAUUGUGCCUCAAUUUCAGUUUCGACCAAUAUGGGAGCUCAAAAAACAUAGGCUUGUGCGUCCAGUUCAAAUGUGUAGAAGGUCUGGUCCGACUAACUGUUUUUCCGAACGGAGCAAAAUCCAAACGGUUCAACUGUUCCAAGAUCUCAUCACCGGACCAUUCUCUAGGUCUGAGGCGACGCUCUGUGUUCCCGUCGAACUCUUUAUCUUUUUCCCGCCAUUCGUGGUCCCAUGGCAACCAUCUCCGAUGACCAAGGUAACAAACUUUUCCUGCGUGCCAACCAGAAGUUACAUCUUCCUUGCAUACAGGACAUGCCAUAUAACCCUUUGUGCUCCACCCAGAAACCAUUGCAUAUGCUGGGAAAUCAUUCACAGUCCACAUAACUGCUGCCCGCAAAGUGAACAUCCUCCCAGUUGAUUUAUCGUAUGUGCGAACACCGUUUGUCCAUAAAUCCUUCAGCUCAUCAACCAGAGGCCUUAAGUACACAUCAAUUGACCUGCCAGGAUCCUCAGUUAUCAAAACAGUCAUCAUCAUGUAUUCUUUUUUCAUGCAUUUCCAAGGCGGCAAAUUAUAUGGGAAUGCGAAAAUCGGCCAAGUGCUGUGGUGUUGGUUUAGAACCCCAUACGGAUUGAAUCCAUCAGUGGCAAGUCCCAAUCUAACAUUUCGGGGAUCAGCAGCAAACUCGGGGAACGUUCGAUCGAACUCUUUCCAUGCCUCCCCAUCAGCAGGAUGCCGCAUCACAUCAUCGUCUACCCAUUUUUCCUUAUGCCAUCUCAUGUCUGUGGCAGUAUGCGUCGACAUAUACAAUCUCUGCAACCUAGGUUUAAGGGGCAGAUAACGCAUCACUUUUUGUGGUAUCUUAGUCGUUCUAUUCUGGGAUGUCAUUUUGAACCUCGACUCAUUGCAUAUAGGGCAUGUAUCCAACGUUUCAUGCUCUUUGUAGAAUAACAUGCAAUUGUUUUUGCAAACGUGGAUUUUUUCAUAACCCAAUCCAAGACCAUGCAACACCUUCUGCGCAUGUUUAUGGUCUUUCGACAAACAAUUGUCCGUCGGAAGCAUUCUCUUGAAAACCCCCAAAAAGUAAUCAAAACACAAGUUCGACAUACGAUACUUUAUUUUUCCGUGCAUUAGCUCCACAAUGGCAGUGAGAACGGAAAAGCUCUCGCACCCCGGGUAUAACUCUUGGUUGGCAUUUUUUAACAGUUUUUCAUACUGUUCAAACUCCGCACUGUCUAUUGGUGUAGGCACGUCAUCUUCCCCUUCCUGAUUGAUGUUGGUCGAUGCGAAUGGAAAAGCAUCCUGUAUAAUACCCAUGACUUGAUCAUUAGGAUCCACAAUAGGUUCAACAUUGUCCACUCUCGGGGCAUUUGAAGAAGAAGCAUGGUCUACUUGUUCGCCGUGAAGGUUCCAAAUGCUAUAUGUUUCAAUCAUUCCAUUCCUUACUAAAUGAAAUCCAACAUUUUCAAUUGUCUCCCACAACGUGUUGUUACACCUCCUACAAGGACAACGGAUUCUAGUUGCACCCGGGUUGUGUCUACGUGCAAACUCAAUAAAAUCCUCGAUUCCAUCCAAGUAUUCGUCUGCGCAUCUAUUCGGGUUCUGUAUCCACCUUCUGCUCAUAAUUCCUGAAACCACAAUCACGACACAACAAUCACAACAACUUCAUACGAAGUUAUAAUGUCACCUUAUGCCUCCGGUAAGGGCCCUAUCCCAUUCGGGAAUGCAUAGUCCUGUCACGUAACCUACGGCUACAUGAGAUUAGAUUUCGACGUGGAUUAAUUUCGGCAGCAUCUCGACACAGUUCUUGAAGUGGGCAUAGGUAUAAAUACCUACGUACCACCCGAAGAACGUACCGAGAUGACACCGAAAUCUCCACAAUCGAAACCUAAUCCUGUAGCCGAAGAUUAUGUGACAACACUAUGCAUUACCAAACUGUCCAAAUAAUGGGACAAUUCAAGAAUUAAUUGGACCUCAGUCAUGCAUUACGCAUCCAUGCACGAAAUCCAACUAAUCUCGAACGGGAAACUACGUGUUACUAAAUAUAAAAAUAAAAGUACGAAGUUAAUUUCAAUUAACUUCGUACAUCACAACACAUUGUGCUAUGUCACGCACAAUUUCACAACAUUAUACACAUAUAACUUCACAAAAAAAUUACAAACAUAACAAACAAACUUUUACAAUAACAUACCUUCUAAAUCGUUCUCCACCAAUCACCAAUCACAAAUAUCCCUAACGAUAACAAAAUUAAUAGCGUUACUAAGAAUUUACAUUAAUACAUUUAAACUAACGACAAAAAAUACAUACCCAAUGAACGUACUGAAUUCACAGCAGAGCAAUGGCAGGGAGAGUGAGAGAGAGGCAGAAUGCAGUGGGAGAGUGAGAGAGAGGCAGAAUGCAGAAACUGCAUUCUGCCUCUGCAAUGGCAGAUACUAAAAUGAAGAAGAAGGACUUUGCGCGACGAACAACCCAAUCCGUCGCGCAAACUGCCGUCGCGAAAACCCACUUUUCCGUCGCACAAAAAAAAAUUUCCGUCGCGCAAUUACCUGCCGACAUCAGGUUUUUUGCGCGACGAAUAAAAUUAUCCGUCGCGCAAAUAACAUUAUUCGUCGCGCAAGAUUUAUAUUACGUCGCGCAAAUAACAUUUAUUUCGUCGCGCAAGAAAGCAACGGCAUUACACUUUACGCGACGAAGGUAAUUCCGUCGCGCAAAAACAGUUUUUUCCACUCUGCAUUUUGCCGCCAAAAUUAAGUAACCCUCGUUUUCUUACGCGACGGUACUUAUUUCCGUCGCGCUAAGGCGUCUUUUGCGACGAAAAAGUUCGUCGCGCAAAGGUUUUUACAGCAACAAAAAUUAGACAAUUUUCUGUCCAUCUUUACGCGACGAAAUAUUUUUAUUGUCGCGCAAUAUUGUCAUGCGCGACGAUUUUUAUCGUCGCGCAAGAUUCUGGGACCAAAAAUAAAAACUGGGUUUUUUUCCCCGACCUUUGCUCGACGAAAUUAGUUGUGGUCGCGCAUAGAUUGUUUGCGCGACGACGAUAUUUCGUCGCGCUAGAGUUCUGCUCUUUGCGCUACGGUAUUUUUUUUUCGUCGCAAUAGUGAUUUUUGCGCGACGAAGAUAUUUCGUCGCGCUAGAGUUCUGCUCUUUGCGCUACGGUAUUUUUUUUUCGUCGCAAUAGUGAUUUUUGCGCGACGAAAAUAUGUUCGUCGCGCAAACAGUAAAUCGUAGUAGUGAAAUGUGGAUUCCAUUUUUUAAUUGACGUGGACUUACAGGUGGACAAAUAAAUAAUAAAAAAUUAUAUACAUGUUAAAAAUAAAUUUAAAAUAAUAUUAAAAUCAUUAAAAAUGAAAAAAAAAUAGAAAAAGGUAAAAAGACGCAAACAGCCCCAUUCCAUCCCCCCCUUCCAGCCCAACCUCCAACCCACCCUCCCCAAACCCUCCGAUUUGAACGCAUUCGAUUUGAAAGAACAAGCUCAAGCCGUUUGAACGCCCAAUUCUGUUUGAAAGAACACCCAGUUUUGUUUAAACGCGUUCGAUUUGAAAUCGUUCUCGGCCAGACUGGACCUAUCCGGGCUGUUCAAAGACCAUUCGUACGGCUCUGCGAAGGACAACGAGCGUUUCGUGUUGGAGGAGAUGAUGAAGAAGGUGGAGAAGGAGAAGACGAUGCCCUCCUCCUUCCUCUGCCGCUUCUUCGUCCUCGUUGCUUGCCCAGUUAAUUGACUGAACAUCGGUAAUCCCAAACAACAGGCCGUUUUCUGCAACCAGCCUAGGUUGCUGGGGAGGGAAGUCCAUUCCUUGAAUUAUACUAAACGAAUUCGGAUUCUGAUAUUAUUCUCAGCCAAGCAUUUUCUAUUUCAUAGGCACUGACGUUUGGGAUGCGAAAUUUGACUGGCCUCGAUGCCGUGAGGCUGAUCGAAAUUUGGGAUGUGAAAUUUGAAGUUGAACUCAACUAUGGUUUGGGGACGGCGACGACCACGACAUUGUUUUGGGGAAAAUGAUCAGAUCUGUGGCAUGAAGGAGGUGUUAAGGCUGGGAUGGGUGGCCUGAGUAAGCUUGGGUGGUGGUUUGGGUGGCUGUGGGCUAGGAGGGGAGGAGAUCGGGAGAGAGAGAGAGAGAGAGAGAGAAUCUUGGUAGGGUUAUUGUAUUUUAUUUUUUUAUUUUUAUUUUAGCCCCACGAGAAUUGUUUGUGCCAAUCCAUGCAAGGGUGAGUACCAUUGAAGGUACGCAGCUGGAGUCGGGGGUCGAUCUUGCGACCUUUGACUCCAUGGACAAAGUUGAUAAGAUCAAAAGGUGACACCCCAAAUGUUCCUUGUUGCUUCAGAUUGCUGUAUCGAAUGAGAAGAGCUCGUGGCAUUCAUUUGGGACCAAAUUUGGAUGUUGCCUGAGGAGGUCGCACCACUCCUCAGACACGCACACAAACUAGGGUUAAGAGUGGUGGGAAGUUCGUUCCACGUGGGAUCGAAAGCAUCUAAAUCUACCGCAGAGCGAUAGCUGCAGCUAGAGCUGCAUUUGAUGUGGCUGAUGAGCUCAAAAUUCCCAAAAUGCAUGUCCUUGAUAUUGGUGGUGGGUUCAAAGCAAAUCAACUGUUUGAUGAAAUAGCCGAGACCAUAAAUGUUGCCAUCAAAUAAUACUACUUUUAUGAUCAUCAGUCAGAUUCUGAUCUGAAGGUGAUGGCUGAGCCAGGAAGGUUCUUUGCUGAAACUGCAUUCACAAUGGUUGCAAAUGUGAUGGGGAAGAGAGUGAGGGGAGAGCAAAGAGAGUAUUGGAUUAGUGAUGGAAUUUAUGGGUCAUUUAAUCUUCCAGCAUAUGACAAAUCCUCUAUGCAAAUCUCACCCCUACAAAUUCUAAGUCCUCACCAAAAUCAAGUGACAUAUUCAUCAACAGUUUUUGGGCCGACUUGUGAUUCAUUGGACAUAGUUGUUGCUGACUGCAAACUGCCUGAAUUAAAGCUGAAUGAUUAUCUUGUGUUCCACAACAUGGGCGCCUACACAACUUCUGCUGGAACCAACUUCAAUGGCUUCUGCAUUUCUGCUAUUCCUACGUACGUGGCAUUUACAAGUGCUAAUAAUUAAACUAGAUUUUGUUGGGGUUCGUAUGGCUGAUGCUAUUUUACUGUAAUUUCUUCUUUUAUUCUCUAUUAAAAGAGAAAAAACUGUUAGAAGUGGGGAAUGGAAAAUAAGUUUUUUUGACUAGUUUCAAAAACAAAAAUUAAAGUAUUGUGUGAUCUCUCUCAUUUUUUUACUUUAAAUCUUGUUUGACUGUUUUGUGUGAUCAAAAAAUUAUUAUAUUAUGGGUAGAUGACAUGGUUUAUAUUUCCCAUUUUUAGUAUAAAUAAAUAUUUACUAAUAUUAUAAUACGUGGAUAACUUGUAUUACGUGUCUGUAUUUUAGUAUCAUCCUAUAUACUCAGGGCUCGUUUGGUACAUCAUACUGUAUUGACUAAUUUAUGUCAAAUAGUAUUAGUUUGUUUCAGAGAGUAUUGACUGUUUAUCUAUAAUAUUAUAAGUCGUUUUAGUUCUGUUUUGGAUCAAUAAUCUAACUAAAUUAUACUGUAUUUGGUACUUCGUAGGAUAACAUCGGAUCAUACUAUUUUUUUUAAUUCUUUGAUAACUUGACAGUCGCGGGGAUGAUGAAUUGAUAAUGUAACCAAUAAAAGACGACAAUAGAUAUCCAGCUAACAGUCUACAACUCAACAAAAGUGAGCAAUCAAGAGCACAUGUUUAACAAGAAAGAACUUGUAACCAAUAAAUCAGUAACACCAAGGGCAUCUGAGGGCUGGAAAACUCAAUCUUGGUACUACAAAUUUCAAGUUUCCAAUCUCACAAUGGAAUUUCAAAUAGUAUUGUGCUUUAUAAGAGAUAUAGGUGCAACAAAUUGUACUAGUAGAGAGAUAUGCAACAGUUCGCAUUAUAUUUGUAACACUUGAAAGAAAAAAGACAAUUAAAAAAAAACGAAACAUGGGAAAACAAGAAUCAAUAACACGUACAAAUUAAUAAUUCCAACUCAAAUGGAUAUCAGCAGAGAAGUUUUUUUGCAACUAAUCCCAGUGUUCCAUGCUUCUUAAAUUAAACAUUUGAUUUAUAAAAAAAUGUCAAAAAGGAAAAACUUAUGACCUAAUUUCCACAAAAAUUGAAUAAAACAUGAAAUAUAUCACUAUAAGAAAAUUGAGUAUUUACUGCGUGCUAUUUAUGGUAUGCAUUUUAUGCACGCUGUAAAUGUGUUUUUCCAUCCUCUUUUUCCGGCGUGCAUUCAUAGCGCAACUUAAAUGAAUUUUUUCUGUCCUUUUUUACGGCGUGCUUUUACAAUGCGCCGUGAUUUUUAGGCAAUAAUGGCGUGCUUUUGAUGACUCUAUUAAUGGCGUGCAAAAUAUGCACACCGUGAAAUCUAAUCCUAUUAAUGGCAUACAAAAUAUGCAUGCCGUGAAUACAAAACUAAUUCUUGUUUUAAAGUCAAGGAUGGAUCCCAAAAUGGUAAAGCCCACUACCUAAUUGAUUGAAGAGAAAUGAUGAAGCUUGUCUGCCAUCAUCGCUUGAGAGCCAACCACAUAUCCAUGGGAGGCAAUAACACUACCAGAUUUUGUUGCCUAUAAAAUAAGGCUUCAUCCUCACUUGUAAUUGAUAGAACAAAAGUCUUAAUGAAAAUAUCAUAUUUCUAUGCUCUCUAUCUCAAUUUUCUCUACAAUUCCUCUAGAUUUAUAACACGUCAUCAGCACGAAUAUCUCUAAAAUACCAACUAGGAUAUUCGAUCAAAACACUCUGCUUCAUUGCUUUUCUUUAUCGGGUUUGAUUGAGUUGCUCAUGCUCUUCUGUGUAUCGAUAUAGCUUAUGUGAAACUUUGUUAUCACUGUCUCAGCUCUUUACUCUCUCUCUCUCUCUCUCUCUCUCUCUCUCUCUCUCUCUCUCUCUCUCUCUCUCUCACUCUAUAUAGCUUCAAAACACAAACCCAACAAAACAAGUUCUUGAGGAAGAUCAGACCAGUCAGCAAGAAUUAUUUUUCCUUGUUUUGUGCCACAAUUCCACCAGUGCUUCAGUCUUCAUCUCUGGGGAUGGAUCAGAAACCUGAAUCGAGCAAAGUAUGCGUUACUGGGGCAUUUGGCUUUCAGGCAUCAUGGCUUAUAUUAAACGACUUCUGGCUAUCAUGUAACUGGAACUGUUAGAGGCUAAAGGAGAGAAAAGAUCAGACGCACAAAACAUGAUAAGAUAAUCUCUGCCUUUUUAUCUUCUCCUUUAAUUUUAUUAAUAUUAUUAAUACCCUACAAGAACAGCACCCACCAAAUGAUGAGCUUCCCAUCCUAUUUUCAAUUAUUAUUAUUCUUCUAUAUUAUUUAAUAUUAAUAUUAGUGCAUGUGCUGGUGGCAGGUCAAAUGAAAAGGCAGUGGCAAGUGUGAUAUUGAUCACUUUCUUUGCUUGCCUGAUUAUAUAUUUGAUAUAACAUGCUAUAUAGCUCACAUAUUAGUAUAUCAAUAUAUUAUAUACAUUAACAAUUACUUAUAUACUAUAUAUAUAUAUAUAUAUUAAUUCUAUGAAUGGUUUCACCUCCUAUAUUUUUUUAGUGGUGGUUUUAUCCUCACAUUUAUUUACUGUAUGGUGUAGGUUCAUUACCCAUACAAUUUAUUUACUGUAUGGUGUAGGUUUAUUACCCAUACAACAGUAUUUAUUUAAAAGUGUAGUGCGGGUUUAUCGUCCACACAACUGCCUUUAAUUUUAUUUAAGAGUAUGUAGCAGAAUUAAUGCUCAUACAAGCACAUUUACUUUAUUAUUGUAUGGUGUGGAAUUAACCCCCAUACAACAAGCAAUUUACUUUUAUUUAAAGUAUGGUGUAGGAUUAACGUCCAUACAUGAGGCAAUUUAAUUUAUGAAUUUAUUUUACCGCACAUUUAAUUUUAUUUAAGGUAUGGUGCAGGAUUAACGUGCAUACAACAAGCAAUUUAAUUGAUGAAUUUAUUUUACCGCACAUUUACAUUUAUUUAAAGUAUGGUGCUAGUUUAUCGUCCAUACCAGCAAUUUAUUUACAAGCAAUUUAUUUUAUGAAUUAAUUGUGCGGUGUGAUGAGUUUUUAUAGUAUACAGAUUAGGACCAGAAGUUCUUUGAUCCUCAUCAGACAAUUACAUCAGGACUUGAAGAUCCUUGAUGAUGAUAAUGAUAUGAGAGUUGGCAGUCUCUCUGGUACUAUACUUGUAAAGAAGAGAUCGGACUUGAAGAUCCUUGAUCCUUGACAUGUAAAUAAGGACCUAGAGUUUCUUGACGAUGUAACAGUAUCGUAUUGGUUAAAAGUAUCGUACACAUGAAUAAUAACUGUACUGGCAAAUGUACUGUACACAUGAACAUACACAAAAUUCAUGACUUGAUGAAUAAUACCGCAUACAUGAAUAGUGACGUAUGCAUAAAUAUUAACCAUUUUGGGUAAACCGUCACUAUAUACAAAAGGGAAUAUGCAGUUCCUUAAAGUCAUGGAUGAGCAAUUAAAUGAGAUGCCAGAAGUUCCUAAAAAUAUGGACAAUUAUGUAAGGGCUUGAAGUCCCGAAAUAUGUACAGAAAAUUGUAAAAAUGUCAAUACCAUGAGAAUAUGUGAUUUUGGCCCGAAGUUCAAAAUCUAAGAGUAUUGAAUGCCCAUACUAUGAGAAUAUGUGAUUUGGCAUAAAGUUCAAAAUCUGACAAUAUUGAGAACUUGAAGUUCCUAUAGUUAAAUGGACAACCCUUGAGGUAUUAUUACAAAUUGUGGUGCGCCACAUAUUUCUUUGGCAUAAGAAAAUGAUGAAUUUAAUAAAGUUCGAUUAUGUUAUAAUCGACAUCUCAAGGAAGAAAUAUAUUUUGUGAAUUCCAGUCAUUAAAAAUACACCGUGAAAUAGAUAAUAUCAGGAUAAACCUCAAAUGAUGAAUUGAGGCUCCCCACAUAUUUUGUUGUAUUUGGGCCGGAAGACAGUGGAUCCAAAUAUGUGAGAGAUCCCGAACCUGAAGUUUUGGGUAUAUAGUAGUUAAUGCUCUUCACUACUAUAUUGCGAUAUUAUCAUGAUUUUUACUCAAUUCAUAUUUCAUGUCCAUUUGAAAAGGACGAAUAAAUUCUGAGGCUGUCUUUAGCCCGGGCCAGAAGUUUCGGGCUCACAUGCAUUGAAAUAUGUAAUUUGAGAGAUUUGAUGUGGUUCUUCAAACCUAUAUGGCAGAAGGUUCCAAACUGUCGUUUUGAAAAGACGUAAAAACUACAGGUGCAAGUUUAAGAAUUUGCAUAAUUAUUAUAACAGGAAAUGAGCAUAUAACAGAUGGAUUUUUUCCACGGGCAAUGAAGGUGCAGGCUCUGUAAAAUUUAUAAAAUUACAUUAUAUUUUGGAAGCCUUUGAAGGAAGAGGACGGCGCCUCUUUAAGCUUAGCCAUGAACCUCUUGUGGUCUCCCAAAAUCUUUUCAUUGGAAACCUGCAGCAUGUCUAGCCUUCUCAGAGUAUCAAUAGAGUACAAACCCACCAAUUUCAACAAGGCAUUAUUUUCUUCUCUAAGUUUCUCAACCUCCUGUUGAGACUCAUGAAGCAUUCUCUGAAGAGACGAAUUUUCAGUAGUCAGCUCCUGAACCUCGUUUUCUUUAGCACGCAAACAAUCAGUCAUGUUAGAAAUAGAAGCAACACUCUGACUGCUAAAAGUCAUUGAGUAAUCAAUAGCCUCUUCAUCAGACCUCACUAAUAACAGCAUUUCAUCCAUUGGAAUGAGGAAAUUCCUAGCCACUAUGACAAUAGUCGCAUCAUUCAUCAUCACAGAAUCAUUAACCGUGAGAUGACGAUUUUGAGAUACAAAGGAUGGACGCCAGACUUUGGCAUCACGAGUUGUGUUGGGAGUAACAUUUAAAUCAAUAUGGUUUGGGUAAGAAGAAGAGAGCCAUUUUUAGGAAAGUUUUAAGAGAAGCUGAAUUUUCAGAAAAUGAAAGGAAGUUGAGUUGAAACGUUCUCCAAUCAGGUCUUGCAGAGGCAAUAUCUAUUAGAGAAUAUAUGGUAACAAUUUCUAGGAUCCCAAUAUUCUCUCGGGUCCCCAUAUUCUCUUUCCCAUAUUCUACAACCUCACGCAGCCUCCAUUAAUGUAUGUCGGCACUUUCGGCAUUCUCAAGUAUUAUUUUCGUCAAAGCCGAUCUUGCUUUGUGGAUUUCACGGAUCUAAUUUUUCAAAAGCACAUCGAGAACCCCGCGAAUUUUUGUGGUUAAUUCGAGAUUCACCGGACCUAACUAUUCCGCUCAUUUAUGUGUAAAUGUGAUACUAACGAAAUUUUCUUUGCAGAAGACAUCCAGUUUUCUCCAUAUCUAGUGAUGCAAAAUCCACUUGUUUUUCCUAUCAGUGAGCACUCGAUGUGCUUGAGAAGCGAGACUAUCUCUAAUCAUCCAUUCAGGAACCGAGACUAUCCCUGAUCACGUUUCAGUUAGAUCAGGGAAUUGUAAGGACGACCACAUACUCUAAUCUCCUGAGAUUCUUCUAGACUAGGAGAAAUGAGAGUUUGUUGUCUGCUCCCACCAACUUCCUUCCUUGAUUGCUUACCUUAUCCUGCAAUUAAUAUCACAAUUUUUUUGCAUUUUUUCUCUUUUUAUAACUCUCUGUUCAUAAGGGAUUUUAUUUCUUUAGAACGAACAUCCAAAGAAAGAAUCCAUGAAGUGAUCCUAACUCUGAGGGUUGUUUGCUUUUUACAGAGAGAAGAAUUGUGAUUUUUGCUCUUGCAGGAUAUAACUAGAUCAUCAAGCGCUACAUUUUAUUUACUGGGCCGAUACGAGCUUGAAUGACACUUGAGAAAAGUUUCUCCCACCUAAGGAUGAGUUUUUUAAAAAAAAAAAAAUUUAUAGAGAUUCUAGAGCGUAUCGUAAUGGGGCCAAAAGGUUUGUUGAUACGGUUCAAGCUAAUAAUGGGGAUCCAGAAAAAAAUUCAAUGCCCUUGCAAUUGUCGUUUAAACUUACAACAUCACCAUCAUGGUAUAGUUUAUGGGCACUUGGUCAUGAAUGGAAUGGACCCUACGUAUACUAGGUGGAUAUUAAUUUCAUGGGGAAGAACCAAGUUCAUCAGUACAAGAUGAAUAUAGGAAAAUGCCAGAGACAUAUUUCAUGUAUAGAGAUGCAUUCCUUCAAGAUGAUGAUGCUGUUGAACCUACACAAGAUAGAGAAGAGCUGAAUUUUAAAAAUUUAGUGGAUGACGCAGAACUUCCCUUGUACACAGGUUGUUCUUACACAAAGAUGUCUGCAAUUGUUGUCUUAUACAAGUAUAAGGCUAGGCAUAGUCUAACUGAUAUAGCUUUUGACGGGCUUCUUCAUCUUCUUCACGGUUUUCUACCACGUGAUAACAGACUUCCAAAUUCUUUGUAUGCUACCAAAAAAUUACUCAAUGAUUUUGAUCUAGGAUAUGAGAAGAUACAUGAUUGUGUGCAAGAUUGCUGUUUAUUUAGAAAAGAUUUAAAGGAUGGAGACAUGUCCAAAGGUGGUUCUUCACGGUGGAAAAUUAAUGAGCGUACCAAAAAUAUUCAACAAUGAGUCCCUACAAAGAUCUUGCGUUACUUUCCAAUCAUACCAAGAUUUAGGAGAAUGUUUAAGUCACCAGAAAAGGUAGAACAAUUAACAUGGUAUUACACUAAUAAAAGUCAUGACGGCAAGAUGCGACAUCCAAUAGACACAUUGGCAUGGAAUAGGAUUGAUAAUAAGUGGCCUUCUUUUGCUUCAGAUCCACGUAAUCUUAGACUCGGCCUUUCAUCCGAUGGAUUUAAUCCUUUCGGUGAUCUUAGUUCUAAAUAUAGUUAUUGGCCCGCGAUUUUGGUUGCAUAUAAUCUCCCCCCAUCUCUAUGCAUGUCCAAGGAGAAUUUAAUGUUGAUAUUACUCAUCCCAGGGCCAAGGCAACCUGGAAACGGUAUAAAUGUAUAUUUGGAACCACUUGUAGAAGAUUUGAAAGAGUUAUGGAUCAAUGGUGUAAGUGUUUAUGAUGCUUUCAACAAGUCCACAUUCAAUCUAAAAGCUAUAUUGAUGUGGACAAUAAACGACUUUCUAGCUUAUGGGAAUUUGUUCGGAUAUUCCACGAAGGGUGAGAAAGCUUGUCCAAUGUGCGGGGUUGACACAUGUUCAAAGUGGAUGACUCAUAAUAGAAAGUGUGUAUACAUGAAUCAUAGAAGGUUUCUUGCACACAACCAUCCAUUUUGGGGAAAAGCAGGUUGGUUUGAUGGAACUAUGGAAUGUGGGCGAAAGACUAGAACAUUAACCGGUUCAUAAGUUCUUCAAGUAGUGAAGAAUUUCAAUAAUGAUUGCGGAAAAGCAAAGAAAAAGAUCAACAAAAAAAGGAAGAGAGAGACAGAUAAAGAUUCUAUAUGGCCUUGGAAAAAGAAAUCAGUUUUCUUUGAGUUGCCCUAUUGGGAGGUUUGUCAUUUUACCUCUGAUUUUUAUUCAAUUUUAUUAGGACUUUAUACUUUCUUUGUGUUUCUUUGGAAGGCUUAUUGCUAAAGUUGAUAUAUCAUUUCUUUGUGAUGUAGGCAUUAUUAAUACGUCACAAUUUAGACGUAAUGCACAUCGAGAAAAAUGUUUGUGACAGCAUUGUUGGCACUCUCUUAAAUAUGAAGGGAAAAACAAAGGACAACUUGAAAUCUCGUAAGGAUUUGAAAUAUAUGGGAAUCCGAAAAAAUCUGCAUCCAGAUGAUGAUGGGGCUAGUUGUAAAGCGAGAGCAUGUCACGGUAUUGUAUAGCUGAGCCUUCACACAUCCAUAUUAUAAUUUAUUUUCUCAUUUCCAUCCAAAGUAAUGUGUAUGUUUUUUUUUUCUUUUUGGUAGCAAAAGUUCAGUCUUGAUGAUUGCCACAAGAAAUAUACUUUUCGAAAGUUACGCGAACUUUGGAGGGACCAUCAAUCCAAUUUAGUGAAAAUGGUGAUGAAGCAAGCUGAAGUGGUUGGCCUACCACACGCUGCUUCUCUCCCCAAACCGGACAAUGCAAAAACUACGGACGAAUGACUCUUAUUUCUCAAAGAACGAACUAGUCAAGAAACUAGAGUAAGUGUGUAUUUACUUUUUCAUCUUUAUUGUGUCUUAAUCUUUGGUGUUGGCUGCCAUUGAUGAUGUUGUAGAUAUUGAUUGAGUGUUUCACAAAUUUGAUUUGAGUGAUACAUCUUAUAUUUGGAUAUUUACCUAUGUUUGUUGGGUCAAAUUGAUUUAUAUUUUAGCGUUAAUUUGUUAUGUUCUCUCUUUGUGUAAGAAAAGUGUCAAAAGUUCAAGGAAAUAUGAGGGCAACACAAAAUUUAGGGCAUAGAACGAGCCGUAAAAGCUUUGCCUGCAUAGAGGAUGAACUGGUAAAAAUGAUAUUAGUUUGAUCUCAAUUUGUAGUGUGAGUAUUGAUUUUUUUUUUUCUUUUUGCAGCAACAGAAAAGUGAGAUACCUGAUGCAAUUUCAAGGACUGAUGUUUGGAUCUAUGGAUACAAAAAGAGAGAAGAAUAAGGAUGAUGACGUUGAGGAUCCAGAUUUAGUGGUAAAAACUGUUUGCUGCAUAUUUUUAGUUUUUUUCCUAUGAUUGAUAUUUAAGUUUUUAUUUUUGUGGUGGUAAAUUUUAGAAAGAAGUGAAAACGUACAAAAAAGAACAAGGACAACAAAAAUGUUCUAUUAAAGAUGAUGCUGUAGCAAAAGUACUUGGUCCUGAUCCACGAGGACGAAUAAGAGGAAUGGGGUUUGGGGCAACCGUUUCAAAGAUUGAAGGUCAAGUUCGUGUUCGUGAUCAAUUCAAUUUAUUGGAAAAUGAGGUUAUAGAAUUGAAAAAUCAAAUGACAGAUCUUCAUACUCGAAUAGCAACAGGGGAGAUUAACAUUGUAAGUCUUAUUCAUAUAACAAAUAUUCUUAGUUGAAUACCAAAUGUUUUGAGUUAUAAAUUUGUUAUUCAAUUAAUGUCUUCCUUAAUGUAAUAGGAGAAGGAAAACUUAAGUGUCCAACAUUUUGCUAAUGAGUGUACAAAGCAAACAAAAGGUAAAUAAUAAUGUUCAAAAUUCUGCUAAUGAGAUGGCACAAAGCAAACAAAAGGAAAAUCCAGCUGAGAAUGCAAAGUGUAAACAGUUAAAUUGGAUUGGGACAAGUGAAGUUGUUGGAAUUUGGGAAAUUGCAUCAACUGAUCCCAAUUCAUUAGUCCAUCAUGUGCCUCUUGGUCACGAGUGCUGGAAAGUUUGGGUGAACGAUUUAAUGGAUGAUAAUAUGGCCUUGUAUCGACCAACACGUGAGUUCUUUCUUCUUCGUGAAGCAUUAGGAACUACGAUUGCAUGGCCGAUCAAGUACAUCAAAUUGUGUUAGCGUUGCAUCUUUGAGGUAAAUUCCUUCUUUCACAUGUAGAUGGUAUAGUUCUCAUUGUAUAAUAAUCAAGUCAUGACUGUGCAUAAUCAAUGUUAAAAGAGCAUAAUAUAUAUCAUUGUAUAUAUAUAUAUAGAGUUUUUUUCUAAUGCGGACGUCUGCAUUAUGUUAAAGUCCAGUCGUCUCUUUUGCAACUUCUUUUUGCAAGUGAAUUUGGUUCUUAGUGGAACCCACUUGGCUUGAGGAACCAUACUGGCUUAGUGGAACCUGUUCAUCACUGACAUGGCUCUAUAAUAAAACAAAAAAAGAAGCCAGCUUACAGUAGCAACCAAUGUUAUUGCUUAUUGUUCUUCUGCACACCUUCCCACUUUUCGGAUACCUUUUGGAAGGCCCAACCCCUAAUUAUAUAUUUAUAUAUGGAGUGCUUACCAUUUUUUUGCUUUAUACACGUAUGAAAUCAAAUCCACCUACAGAAAAGAAGCUGGAAGGACAUGACCGGACUUUAGCACAAUGCGGAUGUCCGCAUUAGAGAAAAACUCUAUAUAUAUAUAUAUAUAUAUAUAUAUAUAUCAUUUUAUAUAUACGUCUAGUGCAUAAUCAAGUCAUGACACUGAUAUAUAUAUAUAUAUAUAUAUAUCAUUGUAAAUUAUUAUGUUUUCUACUGAUUGGGAUCCACCUUUGUUGUGAUUUAAAAAUAAAAAAAAAAGACUUUUUCUAUUUAUAUAUUUGAUAUCCUGCAGGUUUUUCUCAAAAGGUCAAAGAAUGCUCAUGAAUAUUGUCUACUGCUAAAGGACAUUAUUUUAGCAUAGGUUGAUGUUAGAGACUUAUUUUUGUUGUUAUCUUCACAAGUGAAUGGAUUCGAGGCUGUAAAAAUGUUUGGGAAUGUUUGACAGAACUCUUAUGUGUUUCUUAUGUACUCUUAAGAGUUCUAUUUUGAAUUGAUUAUGAUGGUGAUUUCAAUGAUUAGUUUUUUUAUAUCUCGUAUAUUUAUUUGAAUUAAAAUGUGUUUCUUUGUUAAACUCAAAUGCCUGGGUUAAUAAUGAAGAAAUGUAUUGUCAAAGUGAAUAUUGGAAUAAUCAAAAAAUUGGAUUAUAUUUAUAAAAAAUUUAAAUUUAAAAAAACCACAUAGACAUGACGUGCAAAAUGCGCUGUUAAUAAAUAUGAAAUUGAAGCUUUUAUGGCACACUUAAGGAGCCGUGUAAUGUACACCAAUUAAGACGUGAACAAUGUGCAGUAAAUAUGUAUCAAAUAAAGCUUUUAUGGCGCGCCAAAAGAGCCGUGUAAUGUAUACCAAUUAAGGCAUGCAAAAUGCGCCGUAAAUAGUUGUCCAAACCUGAUACGAGAACUCAAUCAUGGCGCGCCUUAUUAACGCUUGUGGCAAGCGGAUGCACACAUUAAAAAGAAAAGGCUUUUUACGGCUUGGCCAUUCGUGACACGCAGUGGCACGUUGUGAAUUAUCAUUUACGGCACGCAAUACACACCGUAAAUACCCGAUUUUCUUGUGGUGUGUAGAGAAAGAUGUAACGACCCGGUCCUAAAUAAAUUGGUAAAUAUUAAUUUAUUCAGAGAAUAUACCAUUUUGCCCCUAGAAUAUUUUAUUAGGUUCAAAGUUGACUUUUUGACUGGGAAGAAAUUUGGGGAUUCCAACUGCACCGUUGCAUAGAGCACGGCGAGAUGAGUUCAUAGACACGUAGUGGGCUCAAAUCGGAGUUGUAACGAAGAAGUUACGAGAAAAACAUCACCAGUGACAAAAUCGUAAAUAUUUUGAAAUGAGUUUUUAAUAAAUAAAAAAAAACCUAAAAAAAAAAAACACACACACACACACUCUCUCUCUCUCUCUCUCUCUCUCUCUCUCUCUCUCUCUCUCUCUCUCUCUCUCUCUCUUUCUCCUGCAAGCAGCCCCUCCCCUUCGAAUUUGUUUGCACAACCGAUGGCUCCAAGAGCCACCAUCGGCCACCACUUGGGGCGGCAUGGGUCCCAAAAGGACCAUCAUGAGUUCCUCUUCUAGUCCCACCUGGUCUCCGUCGCCAACCACCAGCACAGUCGCCGGAAUCUGAAAAAAUCGGGCCGAUUUUUUCAAAAUUUCAAACCGCUCGUUCUCUCUGAUUUCUUCACCGAUCCAGUCGAGUAAGGUAUGGAUUUUCGACUAUUUUCCAUGCUCUAGUUGUUGGUUGGGUAGGAUUUCUUUCAUUUUGAGCCUAGGUCAAUUGAUUUUCAGUUUUGGGUUUACGAUUCCGGUCACUUUUUGGGGUAAGCCCAAGAACAAAAGUGACUCCAAAUAUGGUGUUUUACCUAAGGUAGAAGUCUUUAGCUGAAAUUUUGAGAUUUUCCGAUAAGGCAUUAUCUCUUUGGACACCCACUUUCUGCCGGUGCCUGUGGCGGAGCGUGGGCACUGUAGCAGAGGGGCAUUUUGUCUCGAUGUGAUCCCCCCGAUGUCACGAGAGCGUAGGUGUGCUCGGAUUCCAAUUGGGUUCAUUGAUAUUCCUGGUAUAGUAGAUGCUAUCACACAUACAAUCAUACUCAAUUCGAUGGAAUUGUUUGAUCUUAAAGGGGAUCUUCUAUAAUUUCGCGCGUGAGGGGUUAUUUCUUGGUUUCGUAUGGUUGACGUUUAAACCCCGAACGGAUUUCGCCUGUUGUACGUUAUCGGGGUUUGAUAGGUUUGAACUGUUGAAUAGUCUUGAAUUUAAUAUAUGUUAAUCUAGGCAUUUCUAGGAUCGUGUAGGAAUUCACGGAUAAUGAAUCGGAGCCCCGGAUGUUCCGAUUUAAUAACUUAAAGUUCAGGUUUAUAAUAACCAUCCAAUCGUGCGAUCGCGAGCAAUCCAACCGUCUGAUCCGGACCAAACUUGUAGGACGUGUAUCCUAAACCUUGUAGAACCUAUAGGAAUUCUCGGAUAGGAGAACGAAGGUUGUGGGCCCCAUGGGCCUGUUUGACCAAGUUUGGGUAGUUUGACUCUUGGUUGACCGUGAGUCUUCCCAAGAUAGUUUAACCUUUCCAAGAGGAUUAUGAUGACCCUAGUGACAGGUCUUGAGCGUUGUUGAGUUAAGCUGAUUAUGUGGGAUUAGGAUAUUAAUUUAUUAUUUUAAAUUGGGGAAUUAUCGGAUGCUAGAUUGUGGUUGAGGCUUAUACAACUUUAGAACUUAAUAUAUAUUUAUAAAGGUAAAAAGAGUUUAGAAUGUCAGUUUGAAGUACUAUAGCACUACCCUAUGUACCUCCUCGGAUAUUGAUUAAAUUGUAAGUACUAUUAUGUAAUGGUUAGGUUACACAUGGCAUAGGUUCCCAUACAUGGCGUUGGAUGUUCUGGCGUAUGGGGAGAUUUUGUGAUUGUUAGGUCCCACGUGGCAUAGGUUAUCCGGCUCGUGGAUAGACCCCAUACGUGACGUUCGAUGUUCUGGCGUAUGAGGGAGAUUAUGUAAUGGUUAGGUCACACGUGGCGUAGGUUAUCCGGCAUGUUGACAGACCCCAUACAUGGCAUUGGAUGUUCCGGCGUAUUGGGAGAUUUUUUGAUUGUUAGGUCCCACAUGGCGUAGGUUAUCUCGCGUAAGGACAAACCCCAUACGUGGCAUUGGAUGUUCCGGCGUAUGGGGGAGAUUAUGUGAUGGUUAGGUCACACGUAGCUUAGAUUAUCCAGCCUAUUGACAGACCCCAUUCGUGGCGUUGGAUGUUCCAGCGUAUGGGGAGAUUUUGUUAUUAUUAGGUCCCAUAUGGCGUAGGUUAUCCGGUGUGUUGACAGACCCCAUACGUGGCGUUGGAUGUUCCGACGUAUGGGGAGAUUUUGUGAUUACCAGAUAGAUGAACAAAGGUAUUGUAUGAGAUUGGAAUCAGGAUUUAGUGGACAGAACUACGUGUGGCUUGAUCCCUCAGUAAGGGUACGUAGGCAGCCCAGGGUAGUGCCUAGGUGCAGCCGCUGACUAAACAUUAUAAAUGUUGUUUUUAGGUUUGAUUAUAUGGUAUUAUGGGUCGAGGCCCCUAAGACUAUUUUUGGUAAUUCAUAGAUGGUAGUUGUUGCAGGCUAGAAAUUUGUGGGAAGUCAUUUCAUGUUGACUAUAGUGGUACUCAUAAAAUUAUUUGAGUUCCUUAAUUGCAUUGUUAGUAUAUUAAUUGACUUAAGAGUACUGUUAGCUGUUCUGCCUUGAUUUAUUUGAAGGUUGGAGUCCUUGUCUGUAAAUUGUGUGCUAUUACGUUGUGUGUGCUGGCAGUUGGCUUUUUAAAUUGUGUUUUAUUGCAGUUUGAAAAUUUGGGGAAUGUUCAAUUUACAAGGAAGAAUUUGCCGAAUUUUCGGCAGAAAGUCUCGUGCCCUUAUUCCUUUUGGAAAAUGAGGCUUUAGUUUUAGUGAUUGGGUCCGACAUCAGAGUGAUGUCAGAAUUUCCACAGGAUUCGUCUCGAGUUUCGGAAAAUUCGGGGCGGAUCUUGUCAAAAGAGAAGAUGAAGAUAGAAGAACAAUAAAGAAUAGUAGACUUACUUUGAAUAUGUCUGAGCUUUUCCAAAAUUCCUCUUAGCCAUACUUCUUGACAAGCACAAGAAGCUGCUUCAAUGAAUUCAGCUUCGGUGGUGGAUAAAGUCACCACUGGCUGCUUCCUUGAAGACCACGACAUAGUCCCUGAACUCAUUUUAAAAACAUAACCUAAUGUGCUCUCCUAUCCUCUAAAUCCCCAGCAUAGUCGAUGUCUGUGUAGGUUGUUAAGUUCCUCAUCUUCUCCAUUUUUGUAGAACACACCAUAGUAUGUUCUACCUUUCAAAACCUUAAGACUCUUUUAGCCGCCUGCAAGUGAAGCUCAGUAGGAUUUGCCAUGUACCCAUUGAUAAGACUCACUGCAAACAUCACAUCUACCCGAGUAGCCAUUAAGUACAUUAAACUUCCCACAACUUGUUUUGUAAAAGGUGAUGUCAACCCUUCACUCCAUCUUCCUCUUUUGAAAGCUUACAACCAAGAACAAUGGGAUUAUGAAUUGGAUUGCUUCUGUCCCUUUCAAACCUCUUCAAUACCUCCAGUGCAUACUUCUUUUGAUUAAUAAAUAUUCCCUAGCCCUUUGCAUCACCUCAAUACCAAGAAAAAAUCUCAUCAUCCCAAGGUUAGUCAUGUCAAAUAACUCUUAUGUCACUCACUUAGAGUGUCAUGUGUUGAGGCCCAAAAGAGUCCAUGGUUAGGCCCAAAUAAGUUUCCGGCCCAAUAUAAUACUGUUUUAAGAAAAGUCAUAUAUCGGAGUACACGAAGGCUCGUCAGAUGCAAGUCAUAGUCCACAUGCCAUGCUAAAUAAAUAAUUUGCCAUGCCAAGGACUGAGAUAAUAUUACAAAAUACAAGCCCAUGCUAAACUAGGCACCGUGUCCCUCUUCAAAGACGAUAAAAUUAAAGCACGCCAAGCGACAAGCCAUGCCAAGCAAGGAAUUAUUAUUCUGCACCCAAUCACGCCACAAGCUUAAGUGGGCCUCAAGCCACUCAAAUACCCGGGACUUGCUUGAGUGGGUUGUGGUAUGGAUGGUAAUAAAUUGUCAUGAGGCCCAUUGAUGGGCCGAGAAAUGGAAGUCCCAGGUUGCUUAGGAGCCUUGGGACUCAAGUCCAUUUCAUAGGCCCAAACAUGUGGGUGAGCACAAAGAGAAAAAUAGCCCAACCAAAAUAGCCCAUUAACUCAACCAAAAAGCCCAAUGCUUGAUAAGGAUAGCCCACUUACUUGGUAAAUCAACUUGGCCCAUACAAUCACAAUAAAGAGCUGCAAAACCCCAGCACUUGGCUGGAAAAACAAAAGCCACGAAGGGGAAGUCUGAAGGUCCAUUAUACAAAGCUGCUGGGAGGUUCCAGCACAUGGGAAAGGAGCAAGUUUCAAGCAAAAGAUACCCAAGGGACCAAAGGAUAUUGGCACGCAGCCUGCUAGGAGAGGAAUCGCGUUUUGAACCAGUAUGCAUACCCAUUCUCUUUCCCUCAUCAGACCUGGCCAUGGAAGAAGGAAGAAAAGAAAAGAAAGAGAUGGCUGGAAAUAGAGGCAGCUGUGGGAAAAAGCAUUAAGCUCCCAAAAAUCCCCGAUUAUAUGAGAUUGGACAGAGAAGAUUUUGCUAGAAUAAGAUAAGUCAAAGAAGGGGAUGAGAAAGGAAGGAAAAAGUUGGCCAAAUUAGAUAGAAACCAUUAGGGUUUCUUGGAAAAAAAUGGCUUUCAGCGGCUAUAACAGGGGCCUCUUUUACCCAACCAAGGACAACCCACAUUUCAGAGAGCAAGCUUCCUCUCUCACCUGCAACACCCAACAAAUUCGUGCUUUGUUCAUCCUCCUCCCCAUUUUUCCCCUCAUGGUAGACUGCUCUAGCAUUUGACAAAGUCACUGUCAAGCUGCCCGAAAUAAUACUCAAGCCACUCAUUCCUCUCUUUUUCCUUAUUCUCAGCUAAACCUCUCUGCAAACUCUUCAUCUCCUACCUUAAUAACCCUUCCUCUCCCCCCCCCCCCCCCUCCCCCAAGAACACUUAGUUUUCUCUUCAGUGCUAAACUCAUGACAAUUUUGCUCCCAUGCCACAAGCUUCUCAUGCCAAGCUAGAAAAUUUAUCUGUAAGCUGUUGUUAUUUUCAUUGGUGAACGUAACCAAGGUGUUUCCUAAAGCCAUACUAUCCUUUCGAAGCAUACUUGGGGCUUGAUCUCUGAACUCAGGCUGAAGGGGCAAUUUCAUCCAUUUUGCUAUUUACAACAGCCCAGGCCCAUAGUAGCUGCCGGAACGAAAAAGCCCCUACAACAUGAAAUAACUCUUAUGUCACUGUCGGACAAUGACACAAGAGUUGUUUAAUGUCACUCUAAGUGAGUGACAUAAGAGUUAUUUCAUGUCAUUGUCGAACAAUAACUGGACCUGUUUGUCCAAUUUUAGAGACACUGUACCAUUUUGUCUUCAUGCCCUCCUAUUUGUCCUUAUAUGAUAAAGCCCCUUUUAAUAUAGGUGAUCAUCAUUAGCGCCCCUAUGCUCCCACCUUUAAUUUUUUGGUAGAUAUUAAAAUGAAUGCUUAGAUGUUAACACAUUUGAAGUUUUCUAGAAAAGAGAGUAAGCUUUAACUCUCGCUCUCAUCUCUCAUCUCUUCUUAUCUUUCUCUUCCUAUAUUUUCUUCUUAUCUUCUCUGCAUCUCUAGGUUCGAUUAGUGAACCCAUGUUAAUGGUGGUUCGAUGGUUGUGGUUGUGGUGGUUGAUAGAUUCACCGAUCAAAUUCGGAAGCAAGAGUAAGGGCACACUGCCUUAACCAACUGGGUUAACCCAACAAAAUUUUUAACACUAAAACUUAUGCUUAUUGGACGGAACUAAUUUUUAGGGUCACCAUUAUUUAUCAUGGCUACAAUACUACUACAUUUUUAUAUGCCUAAGCCCUAAUGUCGUAUAUCUUCCACACGUAUGCCAUGUGACAACGUGAUGAUUAUUAACAUUGUAGAAGAGAUAAUUACUAAUUAUAAUAUGGUAAUUGAUGGGGAAGUAGGAAUUUAUAAGUUAUAGUACAAAAUGAAGAGGUUUUUUUGUUGGAACUAUGAUACAGAUUUUGUGUUCUUAAGAUGUUGGGGAUUUUGAUUUUAUUAUUAAAUUUGGUAAAAUUUAGUGAAUUGGAUGAACUAUAAGGAAGAUUUUUUGAGAUUUUGCUGUGUAAUUGAUAUUAGGAUUGAAAUUGGAGGAGGAAAGCAUGGAAUUUGACUGGGAAUUCACUGAAUUCGCACCAGGGACCUGUUUGCAAAGUAUUAUGCAGUUUUUGGGGCAGUUUUAUAAUUUCUUGAAGUGUAAGCAUCAAAAGCUUGGGUACAUAUUUCUAAUUUUCAGAAAUGUUGAGACAUUAAGGUAAGUUCGGUAAAGCAAACGUCCUUAAUGGAGUGGAAUAGAGUUAAAGCGGAACAUAUGGAAACGUAGAAAUAAAGAAAUUGUAUAGAAUUUAGUUACUUAUGUACGGGACAAAUGGUAACACUUUUUGUUGUUGUACUAGGGACUCCAAUUAUCGUGAUACUUAUGAUUGAUCGUGGCAUUAGUGAGGUAUAUCUUACACUUGCAUUGAAAUUGAGGUAGGUAAUAUAUUGAAAAGGAUCUUUUAUGUAGUCGAGUCACUCAAAAAAUAAGCUCCUAAUAAUUUAUUCACUCAAAAAAGAUAAUCAAACAUUAUAGAAACUUGGAUGAUACAAUUAUUCUUAAUAAAAUCAAAGUCUCAGUAUAACUAUUAAACUGAGAUCCAUGAAAGAGAAAGUAAAUUUCAAUAUUUAUUUACAAGGAGGCAUAUAAGCAGGUGCUGGGAGCAUGCUGGUUUCAGUGGUGUGUCCAUUUGUCACAAUGAGUACAGUGGCCAUUCCCCAGCUGGCAUGCCUUUCCAAAUGACAGUGCAUAAACCAUACUCCUGAAAAUAAUCAUCAAAUAAUUCAUUUAAAUAGUUAGUUAACCUAGCUCCAUGGUUGCUCUAUCUUAAUUAAUUUGCCUAAUUACAUACAUUGUACACAUGGCAUGUUAGAUGUAUAUUAUUAUUAUUUGUCAGAGUUUGGAAAGGAGAGGAGAGUGGUGUCAUUGAGAUUCGAACCUGACACCACUUAUCUGCAGACAAAUGCUCUUAUCACUGAGCUAUGAACCCAAUCCCAUGACAAGUACAGUAAUUAGGUGGCUAUAGAAGUAGAACUUACCAGGAUUAUCAGCCUUAAAUCUGACGGUUGCCCAUCCAUUCUUUGGUACACCAAUGGUGUUUACUUCAGGUGGAUCAACCAAAUUGUAGGUCUUAGGGGCCUGAUUAGGGUCGAAAUUCCCAGAACCAGUUCCAACCAAAUAAAAGCUGAAACCAUGGAGAUGCAUCGGAUGGUUCUCAGCGGCAAUCAUGUUGGUCCCUUGAUAGAUUAUCUCAACUUCUUCACCAUAUUUAAUCAUUCUCACCUUCGUUCCAAAGUAAGGAUAUAUUGUGUCGUUUCGCACGUGUCCCGUGAAGUUGAAAAUAUAAGGUUUGUGUGGGAAAUUAGCUGAGUAAACUCCAUUAAUUGACCUGUACAUAGGCAAUAAGGUCAUUUAAGUUAGAUAUUUUUUUAAUUAAAAAAAAGUUCUAGUUUUGCAAAAAAAGAACAAGUAAUAAGACGUGGAUUAGAGAAGUAAUAAUACUCUCUUGCAUUUGAGUCCAGAGAGUAUAUUAAUUUAAACUAUUAUUUGUAUUUAUAUUAAGUAAAACGCACGCUUUUGGCUCAGUUACCAUUUUACUCUUCUACGCGACUAUUCAUUUCCUUUCAGUGAAGGAACUAGGAUGUAGAAAUAUGGGAUGGGCUGAGUUGGACUGGGGUGAGGUGUUUAGUUGGGAAACGUUAUAUACAAUAAUUAAUUUGAGCAACUAAUUGAAAUUACGUUACGUACCCGUAAUAGGCUUGCAGUAUAUCAAUCGAUGGAGUCACAAAACUGAUGUUGUUUAAGCUUGCAGCAAGUGCAUUGUUAUCUGGCCCAUCACAAGAAGAAUUGGGACAAAUUCUUUCAUUUAUGGAAACAGAGAUGAAGAGCGUGUGUGUGAUGUGUAACGGGACACUAAUGGGGUAGUCUUUGCUUGCCAAGGCCCUCACUUGCGUAGUGAAGUUUGAGGCAGCCGUUCCGUCGGCGAAAUCAGGAAGAAUCGGAGUGGGAAUGGUUGAGGGGGUCGUGCUGCCGUUGUAUUGAAGAAUGGCAGAGGUGGUGCGGUUGUUGAAUGCAACAUCCCCAUCAACAAAAGCAUGGGAAGCUACGUGAUAGUGGCUGGGAGACUGGUUUGCAACUACCAAAAUGUCCAUGGUUUGGCCUGGAGUUAUCAUGAGGUAGGAGGUGGUUAUAGGUUUUAUGUAUGCACCAUCUUGAGCUACCACUGUGAGGUUGUGGUUGGCAAUGGCGAAGAACAUUUCUUCGUUCAACACCGCGUUGACUAAGCGGAGAAGAUACGUCUUGCCAUAAUCAACAACCCAACGAUAUGUUGUUGCUGCAACAGGAAAUCAAUCAGUUGUUAGCAAAUUAAUGAUGUCAAAGUAUGUUAGUUGUUAGAAAUAAACAGUGUUCAUAGUGAAUCAAAUAUGAAUAAAUCAAACAUUAAAGUAGAGUAAUGUUUGAAUGAAAUAAUAAUGUCUUUUGUAAAAUAAUUGUAGUUGAUAUACCUAAUUCCUAAAUUAUAGUUAAAUAUAAUAUUGCCCUUCAUAACUCAGGGUGACCCACCUUUAUCCUAUAACUGAGAUUUUGAGUCCACCUUUACAACUCACCAUUAUGUCGGUUAAAAGUUGUAUUAAAAAUGUUGACAUGAUUUCUCAUAUUAAAAAAAGUUCACAUGACGUGAGCGCACUCAUGAAAUGUGCAACACAUGAGUGCCAUGUGUAUCAAAAAUAAAAUAAAAUAUUUCAUUUUUAAAAAGUUCAAUUUAAGACCCAGCCCCAGCCCCAGCGACUUCCCUCACCGGUACCCUGCUAUAGCCCCACGUGCCCCCGCCCCCCCUCCAACUGAUAACAUCCCCAAAGCACUAUUAAAAUGAGGGCGGACUUAUUGUCCUAUUUAAUUGGUUUAAUACAUGUCGGUGUUAUAUUUUAAUCUUUUACUAAAUGGAAUUCAAAGGAGGCGGACUUGCUGUCCUACUUAGUUUAAUACACAUAGGUGUUAUAUAUUAAUUUUUAAUAAACGGAAUUCAAAUCUGGAAAAUCUAGCAUCAAGAAAAAAAAAAAAUACCACUAAACAGCUAUUUUCAACUUGCUUACUACUUUUCGCAUACACCACAAGUCAAAAAAGUAUGCCGCUUUGCAUGAUGUUCCAUAAGACACCUAGAAGUUUCUUCUUUUACGCGGGAAUGCCAACCCCACUUAGAAAAACAUUCAAUUGCUUUUCUCAUGUCCACAUAUAAUAACAACAGAUAAUCAAAUGAGAUUAGGUUUGGAUAUUUGAUUAUAAUUACCAUUGGAACACGCAUUAACCAAAUCUCCUGGCUCUCCGUUGAUUGUGAAGGCAUCUGAAACAUUUGGAUCGCCACCCGUUGCGAGGGCAUUUUUAAUAAUUUCAUUCACAUCUCCCUUGUACCAGGAUCCUGACAAUGACAAAUGGAAAAUAAUUAUUGAGAUUCGAUGAUGCAACCGUAGAUGUAACACUUUCUGUUUUCAUGUCUGUGGUUGUGGUAUGGCCAGCAGUCCAAGUAAAUUGUUAAUAACUAAUACAUAUAAAUUUUUAUUAAAAUAAAAGUACCUAGAACCAGUGUUUCUUCUCCAUCUGGUUUUGUAAAAGGAUAAGUGGUGUUGAGCUUUGGUAGAAUAAUGAUGGCACCAUAGACUGUGGCACGUGUCCAAUCACUAUGAGCAUGCCACCAUAAUGUUCCUUCUUCGGUGGAGAAGAUAACUUCAUAAGUGAAGUUUGACCCUGCUUGAAUAGGGCACUGUGUUAUGUUCUCUGGUCCAUCAUACCAUGGAUUUCGUGGUUGCUUCACUCCAUGCCUGAAAAUCUUAAACAAGAUUAAAAAGUUUGUUUAAGAUAGAAAAAGACUAAAGACUUCCCUACCCCACUUCCUUCCUCUGGCCUUUUAUUUUUCCAAUCUUUAUAAAGUUAUUCGCACUUUCACUUUCUCUCUCUAAAAGACAAGGACCAGCUAAUAGUCAUGAUCUCUCUUCCUGUAAGUAAGCUAUUGGAAUUGGCCAGAGAGCCCAUCAUAAGAUGGGGAAGAGAAUAUUCCAUUCAAACACACAACUAACGAUCCAUAAUUUUCCACCAAUAAGCUUAAUUAUCUAUCCAGCCUAUCAAGCAGUUUUGGACUAUUGGUCAAUGCCAAAAAAUAAAAAAUAAAAAAUAAAAUCUAGAGCUAAGCUAAUGGGAUUGGUAGUUUUUACCAAUGAAGGGUGACACCGUAUGAGCCUUGGUUGUGGACAUUCACAAAAGCAGUGUCUCCCUUCCGGACGGUGAUGGUCGGCCCCGGCAAAGUCCCAUUCACAGUUAAGAUGGUCUUUGUUUCGCAAAGCCUUGUAAAAUUCAAUUCUGUCAGCUGCAAAACAAAACAAAGCAACGGAUGAUGAUGAACAUUCGAAGGCUGUAAAAAUGGUGUUAGUGUAAUGCAGGAAGCACUUACAACAAAAUCAUAAUAAUGGGUAUUUCCAUUAGCCUUGCAAAGACCCAAGAACAUAAACCCUACACAGGCUAAGACCCAACUCAUUUUCUUAAACUCCAUUUCCAGGUCUUGAACAGAAAAUAUCUUCGCUUCUCCUAGUGUGUUCUUCAGGUUGCCCUCGAAGUGUUGUGCGGUUUUCGGUCUCAAGUAAAGACCUAUUUAUGGACAGACUUCAUGGCAAGUUGCUUCUAUUAUUAAAAAUAAAAUAAAGUCGGUAAAUAAAUAAUAAAAACACGAGGAAAACGAAAAAUAAAUUUAAGUUUUAGUAUAAAAAAAAAUUCCACUUUUAAAAAAGGCUAAUUUUUUUCAAAAAAAAUAGAAAAACUCCUCAAUUUUCAAAUCCAAAACAUGCAAAUGUAAAUAAUUCUUUAAAAAAUUCAAAAUUAAUAAAAACAUUUUUGUUUACUUUGUCUUAUUUUAAAAAUAUUUCUCUCUCGUUUAGUCUUUUCCAAAAUGUCGCUAGCAUGGAAAAGUUGGUCCAGUGCACAACAGAAAUAAGUUCAGGCACUAGUACCGCCGUGUUUUAGAUAAACAACUUCAUUACUAGACAAAGGACAAAAGCCGUUCAUUCAAGACCGCGACAGGAGAGCGUCGACCUUUGCUUAAGUCUGGUAGUAGUCACAUAUCCUGUCAUCAAAGGGGUUUUUGUCGGUAAGAACUGUUCUAGCCACAGUGAUCUGUGCCUCGAUUACCAGUAAAAAUAAUAAAGUAACGUCAAACUAGACUAACUAGAUUGAUAUUAAAACAACUUCCAGAGGCUUGAUCCAUUUUGUAUUCUACACACAUCAUUGGAGUUUGGAAAAGUUACAGAUUAGGUCAUCUCCUAGUGAGGGUUAAAUCCUUAAAUAUAGUUCAAAAUUUCUAAAAUUAAUCUCCAAAAUUGGGCUCAACGGGUUAAAUACUUGGAUGGGGCCCAACUAAUAUCACCUAGUCGUUAGGUGACAUCAGCUAGUUUAUUUUUUUAAUUCAAAAAAAUGAUUGUUUUUUUAAAUUUCAUUCUUUUUCAUAAUUUCUCACAAUCUCUUUAUAAACUAUCCUUUAUCUUUUUCCAUUUAAAUUAAUUUUUAAGAACAAGAAAAAAUAUAAUCAUAAAUCUAUAGGGCUAAUCACGUAGAUGUCAAAAAUCAUAUCCCAAAGUAUUUUUCUCUUUUAAAAUGUAUUUUAAAUAGAAUAUAAAUAGUAGUUUAAUUAAAUUAACUAAUAAAUUUACAUCAUAUACUAAAAAUUAUUAAAAUAUUAAAUUUAGCCAUUUGCUGUUGAAAACGGUUAAAAUAUAGUCCGAAGUUAAAUAUAGCCCUCUCCACCUAGAAAUGGUCUUAGUGGUCUCAAAUAUUCAUGGUAUUUUGGCGGAAGUUUGAUCUACUUUGUACACUACGCACAUCUUACAAAUUUUCAAAAGAUUACGAACGAAUAGUCAUAGAUUCGAAUAAUGAUUGCACUUUGGCAAUUUGUUUAAGAGGAAAGCUCCUUCUCAAUCCAUGUCAGCACGCAAUCUCACUAUUCCACCCAUCUAAUAUGCUUGUCAGCUAUAUAUUAUUUUGACUUCCAUUUUUCCCAUCUUUAUCUCUCUCUUUCGAUUCUCUCUCUCUCCCCUGCAUUAAAUUUUGGAUUUGAUGGUUGAUUAGCGUUUACGUUUAUUAUUGCGUGUAACAAAAUUCACCAAAAUAUUGCCCAAUGAUAAUAAUCAAAGAUAAAAGACAAUCACGUAAAAUCUUUCUUGAAUAAACUACAAAAAUGUUAUUAUGGUAAAACUGAUGAUACGUGAUUAAAAAAAAAUAAAUUUAGGUUUUAGCUAUAAAAAAACUUUCAACCUCACUCAACACGAAAAACCACUAAAUAUUCAAAUUCUUUGACAAGUCGACUUCUAUAUCUGCUUUGAAAUAUUCCAUGCUUUUAUGUUCUAGCAGCAACCUUUUUUUUCUGUGAAGCUCGAUUUUAUGAGGGAAAUUUUUUUAAAGUUGUCCUAAAACAAAACAAAAGACUCCAAAUUAAACAAAUCAAGCAAACCUCGCAAGUCGAAAAGGCUUCAGAAGAAACAAGUUAGGAAUCCGUUAGUGUCGCAUACUAAUUAAGAACCAUAAUAAAAUGUCUCAGGCUCUUAAUUAAUAUCUAAAAAUCCAAAUUUGAUUUGCUUUCUGUUAGCCGCCUUGACAAAUUUGUCAAGGGCUAGAUAUAAUCACAAGGAAGCGUGUGGACCUCGAGUUUUGACAUUUGCUCCAAAUACAGAUUUUGAUUUGAGAUCUCCCACCACGCACUUCUAGACUGCUUAAUUUUUAUUCGCACGCGUAAUGUCACUCCCUUUGGCUUCUGUGCGGCCAUGGCUUAAUUUAAGGUUUUUUUUGUUUUGGGUUGUGUGAUUUAAGAAACGUACUACGCUAAGUUUUGGUGAUUUGAGUUUUUUUGUUGUUUACGCGAAUUUUGUUCGAUUGAGUCUUCUUUUGAUUUUAGUUUUAUUGAUUUACUUUUACCUAUUGGGUUGUUUUUCCUUUCAAAUUUGUAGUUGUUUUGAAAUUGGUUUGUAUAUGUCUUUAAUGUAUUCCUGAAGUUUUUUUAAUGAAUAUCAUUGUUUAACCAAAAAAAAAAAGGUCAUGUAAAACAAUUGUAUUUUAUCCACAAAAGCUAAUGUUCAUUGGAUGGGUUUGUUUUAAAUUUACAACGUUCUUUUUUAGUCAUCAUUAUUUUUUAGUCAUCAUGUUUUAGUCAUCAUUUUUUACCACGUACUAAAUUAUGUGCUUCGAGCUGCCCAUGUGGUGGCAUCUUUUAUUACUAGAAUAGGAGGGAUCCAUAAUUUGAAUAUGUGGUGGCCUGAGUGGAUUUUUGAUAUUUUAGCCUUUGAUGUUAACGUUGCAAUUCGUCUUUGAAUAAAAUUUUCCAUUCUUUGGCCAAAAAAAAGUAUAUAUAUAUAUUUUAUACAAGCAAUAUAUCAUAUAUGCAAAGGCGGAAACAUAAAUUUUUCAGUGGGUGGUGGCUAGUUAAAAUUUUUAGUUUAAAAUCUAAUGAUUUUUUUCAUUUUAAAAACAAAAAUUCUUACCUUUGAAUUUCUUGGCAUUAACCGAAUAAGCUUCACAAAUACAGAGUGCAAAAUAUAAAUAAUUAAGUUUCAUUUAUAUAUUAGUUGUAAACAUAAUAAUAAUAUAAUUAAGUUAACAUAUUGUUCCAUAUUUGAAAGAGAAUACAAAUAAAAUUAAGAAAAUAAUAUUUCCCUAAUGUGUUGUAGUUGAUGAUGAGCCAUAUAAGCUUUUUUUUUUGUUUUUCCUUUUUUUUUCUUAUUCAAAAACCUUUUGCCAAAGGCAACAUAUAAUUUCACCAAAAAAAAAAAAAAGGCAGAGACAAUUUCACCAAAAAAAAAAGGUAGUAGAUUAAAAAAAGACACCAGACUUUGCCAAAAAAAAAAAAAGGUUGCAUAUUUAAGGUUUUCUUUGUUUUGGGAUGUGUGGUUUAAGAUACAGACUAUGCUAGAUUUUGGUGAUUUGAGCCUUUUAGUUGUUUACGUAAUUUUGUUCAAUUUAGUUUUCCUGUCAUUUAAGUUUUAUAAUUUACGCGGAUUCUGUUUAAUUUAGUUUUGCCUAUUGGGUUGUUUUCCCUUUUGGAUUUACAGUCUUGUUGCAAUUGAUUUGUACAUGUUUAACCCAAAAAAGAAAGGUUGUGUAAAACAAUUGUAUUUUAUCAACAAAAGCUAAUGUUUAUUGGAUGGGUUUAUUUUUACAACGUUCUUUUUUUAUUCAUUACUAUUUCCCACGUCUACAACAAUACUAAAUUAUAUACUUUAUAUAUAUAUUAUUAAUUUCUUUUUAUACAAACAAUAUAUCGUAUAUAGAGUAGGGAAUUCGAACAUAAGACAUCAUGCACAAGAAUAACUAUACUCUUAAUCACUUGAGUCAUAAAUCUCUUUACGGAACAUAUACAUUUUUAUAUGGGUGAUGCUAGGGAGACCAACUUUAGAUACCAACUUGUGUACCAACUCUCUAAUAGAGGUGGAGCCCACCAAUACAAUGGGUCUCGAGGCAUAUCAAGGGCCUCUUACACAAGUUGGUAUCUAAAGUUGGUCUCCCUAGCAUUUUCCUUUUUAUAUACCUCAUGUAUGUCUUCCAUAGUUGUGUUGUGCGAUCAAAGUGAUGAGUAAAAAAGAAAAAUUCCUAAUUAUAAUAUUGUACAUUAUUUUAAAGGAGGAAUCGAACUCCAUUAUUUCAAGAUUAAUCAUACUUCAUCUUUUAUUAAAGUACGCACAGUGAUCAACGUGUGAGAAUUGUAUCUUUUAUUAAAGUUUUUCUUUCUUUAUUUUUAUUUUGGGCACAAUCGGAUAGAUCAUCUCAUCAUUCAUGAUUCUGUCCUGGUGGGUCCCAUGCUUUCAAUAACAAACACAUUUUGUUUGGCGUUUAAAAUUCAAAACAAUCUCUUUCAAGGACCACUCUAAGCUGUAAGUUUACAUAAUAGCUAUAGAUAUAUAGAUGAUGGCCCUCUGCUACUAGCUAGCUAAUUGCCCCUUAAAAGUAUCGACCCACUAAUUGUACGAACAAUUAUCACUAACAAAACUUUAAUGUCUUCUCAAUUUACUGUCGACAAUAUUGUCCCAAAAUGAAAACUUGAAGCUUUAAUUAGUGUUUUAAAAACCUUGGCACAUAGAUUAUCCAAGAUGUUACUACUUUUGAUCUUUGUAAAAGGGGUCACGCUAUAUGUUCCUCCUUGUUUUCUCUAAUGACGAAUAAUAAAAAUUAUCCUUCAUAAGGUUAGGGUUCUUUUAAAAAAAACUUUUUACAAUAUUUACUGGUAAUUAAUUUUAAGUUCCAUAUUUUGCACAUAAAAACGCGUGUCGAGAGUAUUCUCCGCUAAUUGAUUUUUUUUUUUUUGAUUGCUAGUUUUAAUUAUAAUUAUAUACUAGCCUCUCCGCAUGCGCUUCCGCGCAUGCGAGAGGUUUUUUUUAAAAAAAAUUUAAAUUUAUUUUAGAAUUAAAAAAAUAAUGGAUAUUUGUGUUCCAUAAAAAUAGGACCCAUUAUCUGAAUUUUCUUUUAAUUUUAAUUUUUUUAAUACGAAAAAUUGUGAAUUUACCAUAUUAUCCUCAUUUAAUUAAUAAUUUCAAUUCUUAAUGUUUGCAUUAACCAAGGGCAUUUUCUGGUAUUUUGAAUGUUUCACCAUUCUCUGCCUUUUGCUUUAUAUAUAUAGAUAAUGUAAUUUGCAUGCAUGCAGCCACUCUAAACAAAAAUCUUGGAGUUCAAGGGGUUUUAACUUACAAAGUACAUCUAAAGUUGAAAAAAUAAAACAUAAAGAUUUUCAACUAAAGACUUGACAGCUUUUGGUUUUAAUAUAAUAAAUACUAGUUCUUUGGCACACGUUUACGUAUGUGCUAAUUGAAUUUUUUUUUUUAAAAAAAUUAAGAAAAUAUAAUAUGGGCGGUUGUGUUUCAUAAAACUAGGAUCUAUUAUUUAAUUUUUUUUUUAUUUUUAAUUUUUUUUUAAUAUGAAAAAAUGUGAAUUUACCAUAUUAUCCUAAUUUAAUUAAUAAUUUUAAUUCUUAAUGUUUGAAUUAACCAAGAGCAUUUUCUGGUAUUUUGAAUGUUUCACCAUUCUCUGUCUUCUGCUUUAUAUCUAUAUAGAUUCAUUAUCUUCUUAGGGUCUCCCUUUCUUCUGCAAUUUCCCCGUACAAAGCUUGAUCAUGCGAAUUGUGAGGCUAAUUAGGCGGAAUAAAUUUCAAUCGUGAGUUGGUAUCUACUUUUGUCAUGAUCGGUGUAAUUAAUUUGGAUUAAUUUGUUAUGUAGUGAGCGUCUUUAAUUUUCUUGAAACUAAAUAUAUAUAUAUAUAUAUAUUGAGGUAACAUGGUCCUCAUUAUCUUCCGACCAAAAAUAAAAUAAAAUAAACAAAUUUGAUGAUAUUUGUUACACAUUUUAUGUUAAAAAUGAUGGAUAUCAUUUGACCACUCAAUUAAAUUAUUGACAUUUAAAUAUUUUCUUAAAGCACUGCAUUCAUUGAUUUUGUUGAUAUCAAUUAGAUGCUUUAAUGAUUUUUAAUUUGUAUGAUAUUUUGCAAGAAUGAUCUCUAAAUGAAUAUAUGAAAAAUAGAUGGUUUGGACCGUUGAAAAAUAUUUCGUAGGGGGAUCAUAAAAGGUGUGCCUCAAACUCUGUAAGUCCUCAAAGAGGCCUUGAUAUGCCUUUGUCUUGGGAUAGGAUAGCAUCCCCUCCUCCUAAACUUUUUGUUACCAAAAACAUGAUGUUUGUUUAAAUUAAUUGACAAUACUUGACUUUCCUUGCACACCAAUGAUUCCCAUAUUAAUUGUAAUUGAUUUCCCUUUUAUUUCUAAUUACCUACCGUAAAUAGAAUUAGGAGUUAUUACUUGGCCUUCAAAAUUUUAUUGUACUAUAAAUAUGACCUCCAAAAAGGAGAAGAAUACAUAGAAAAUUUCUCACAAAUAAUAUUCUCUCAUAGGUUUUCAUAUUCUAGCAUGGUAUCAUAGCCCAACUCACAAUUGGAAGCCCAAACGCAGUUGGAAAGCCUAAAGAGUAUUUCAAAUCUCCUCGUCACAUACGCGUCAUGCAGAAGCUGAGGGGCAUUUGUGGGAGCAUAUAUUUUGGCGACCAAUGAGCGGGUGACACGUGGAAAAGGGAAAUUCCCUAGGUCAAUCAAUUAUCCUAAUUAAAUUCUAUUUAAUUAGGAAAAUUAUAAUUGAUUUAAGAUGAGAAUAUCUCCCUAAAUCAAGGAAGAGAUUUCCACCGAAUCUCCUUGAUUAAUUCCAAUCUCCUAUUUUUGGGUAAGAAUAAACCUAAUUAAAUAAGGAUUAUUCUUCAAACCCUAGCUGACAAGGAGCACUAUAAAUACAUGGCUACAUCACACAUAUGAGGUAAUUUGAUUUUGACACGAGAAAUCUCUCCCUCUCUCACACAAUUCUCUCUCUCUCUCUCUCUCUCUCUCUCUCUCUCUCUCUCACGGCUCCAGCCACCCAGUUCUCUCACUGAGAGAGAAAAUACUUUAGAUAUUGUCAUAUCUUUUUCAAAGUCCAAUCAAACUAACUUAGGCAUCAGAGGGUCUUUGGCCAACACCCCCUAAGUGUGGUCUAUUUAUGACAAGAAUCGCCUCGAAUUCCUCGAAUUCAUGACGAAGCCUGUGAUUUUUCAACCAAAAUGAGGUCGGCUUGAUAGUUUUUGGUUUUAGUAUAAUAAAUAUUCAAUAUCUUCUUAGGGUCUCCCUUUCUUAUACAAUUUCCACGUACAAAGCUUGAUCAUGCGAAUUGUCAGGCUAAUUAGGCUGAAAAAGCUUUGACAAAUGUCAAUCGAUAUAAUUAAUUUGGAUUAAUUUGUAUAGGUGACAUGCUCCUUAUUAUCUUCUGACCAAAAAUAAAAUAAAAUAAACGAAUUCGGAUGAUAUUUGAGAUUUUUUUCACACAUUUUUUGUAAAAAAAUGAUGCAUAUCAUUUGACCACACAAUUAAAUUAUUGAAAUUUAAGUACUUUCUUGAAGCAUUGUGUUCAUUGAUUUUGUUGAUCUCAAUUAAAUGCCUUCAAUAAUUUUCAAUUUGCAUUAUAUUUUGCAAGGUUGAUCUCUAAAUGAAGAUGUGAAAAAUAAAUAGUUUGAACGGUUGAAAAAUAUUUCAUGGGGAAUCCUAAAUGGUGUCCCUCAAACUCUGUAAGUCUUCAAAGAGGCCUUGGUAUGUUCUGGCUCUGGGAUGGCGUAGCCUUCCCUCCCCCUAAACUUUUUGUUACAUAUAUAGAUUUUUAAAAAUAUCAUCAAUGUAGCUCAAUGAAAUUUUGCAAAAGGAAACAUGAUGUUUGCUUAAAUUAAUUGACAAUACUUAAGGAGGAACUCCUCCUUGUUGGCAUGACUUGUGACUUUCCUUGUACACUAAGAAUUCUCAUAUUAAUUGUAAUUGAUUUCCCUUUUAUUUCUGAUUUCCUAUUGUAAAUAGAAUUAUGAGUUAUUACUUUCCUUGGCCUUCAAGGUUUUAUUGUACUAUAAAAAUGACCUCAUAUAAGGAGAAGAAUACAUAGAAAAUUCCCACAAACAAUAUUCUCUCAUAGGUUUUCAUAUUUUGGCAUGGUAUCGGAGCGACGAUCUUGAGAUUGCUGCUAAACUUUAGCCCACCACACGCCGACGCUGCCAUGGGGGAUCAAGAUCCUAUCAUCCCACAUGGAGGUAGUAUCACCGAUUCCUCUGCCACCUAGACCUAGAAACUAGAAGAAUUGAAGACCCACAUGACCCAAUUUUUGAAGAUCCAGAAUCAAACCCCGACAAAGAACCUUGAAGAAUUGACGACCUAGAUGACCUAGUUUUUGAAAAUACAGAACCAAGCCGCCUUAACCCCAAUCUCUACCUCAAUAUUAGAAGAAUUGAUGUCAAGAAUGACCCAGUUACUAAAAAAUACCUCGACCCAGACCUAGACCCAGAGUCCGACUCAUAUUCAUACCCAUAUAGAGACUAAGACUCAUAUCCUGACUCAGAUUCAGACCUAUAUACUAACCAAGACUCAGAUCCCAACCCCGACCCUGAAUCAAACUCACACCCAGAUCCUUACCCAGAUACCGACUCAAACUAUACCAUAUGAAUUUUUCGCUGCACAUAUUAUGACUUCCCGAACAAAGCUCCAAAUAAAUGGAAUAAAUUGCACAUACUGUGGCUAUCCAAGACAUACUCUUGAGAUUUGUUUCAAAUUGAAUGGCUACCCUGAUUGAUGGGAUGAAAUCAAAGAUCGAAGAUGACGUGAAGAUGCAAGGAGUGGUUUUGGUUAUGUAUUCCAUACUUCGAAUACGAGUGAUUCCAUAUGAUAGAUCAUUGACUCUGGGACAAUCAAUCAUAUGACGUUUGAUCCUGAUGAUUUUUUGAGUACUACCUAACCUAGACGAACUAGUAUUGUUAAUGACAAUGGAGUUACUUAUCUUGUGACAGGGGCUGGCACUGUUGCUUCUCAUCCUCUCUGUCCUUGCCGAAUACUUGUUCCAUCUCUAUCCAAUAAUUGAUGCCAGUUGGUCAGGUUACUGAACAAGAGAAUUGUUGUACACUCAUCUAUCCGAUUUUUUGUUUGCUUCAAGAUAUUAACACUAAGGAGAUUAUUGGUCGUGGUACAAAAAGUGGGGGCCUAUAUUAUGUAGAUGACUUCAGCACAAGCAUGGCUAAUAGUGUGAUGUAUUCCUCUGAUAGUAAACAAAGGAAAAUUUGGUUGUGGCACCGUCGUUUGGGAAAUUCAUCCUUUAGUUAUAUGAAGCAUAUGCUACAAGAUUUAUUUUUAGAUUUCAAAGACUCCCAUUUCAAAUGUGACACUUGUAUUUUGACCAAGAGUCACCAUAUGCCUUAUUCGUUGAGUACGAGCAAGUGUACUACUCCGUUUACAUUAAUUCACUCGUAUGUCUAGGGACCUUCCCCUAUUACUGCUCUUUUUGGCGUUUGAUAGUUUGUCACACUCGUCGAUGAUUGUACACGGAUGACAUGACUUUAUUUGUUGAAGAAUAAAAACCAAAUGUUUUCACAGUUUCAGCUCUUCCACAAACAUAUGAAAAAUCAUUUCAAUGCUCAAAUACAGAUUAUUCGCUCCGACAAUGGUGGUGAAUUUGUUAAUCAUGACUUUCAAACUUGCUUCCAACAUCAUGAAAUUAUCCAUGAGACGACUUUUCCUCAAACACCUGAGCACUUCUGAUUGGUGCUGAUGUUCCUCACCAUCACUGGGAUGAUGCUAUAGUCACUGCAGUUUACCUAAUCAACCACAUGCCUUCUAGUGUCUUAAACUUUAAAACUCCCUUACAAGUGCUUGCACAACACGGGCCUCUGCCCUCUAUUUUGGUGCUCACACUCUGAAUCUUUGGAUGUGUAGCCUUCGUUCAUCUCCAGAAAAAUUAGCGCAUCAAACUUGAUCCACGUGCUCUUCGUUGUGUUUUGUGGGAUAUGUCACUCAUCAGAGAGACUAUCGAUGUUAUCAUCCUAUUACCCGGCGUAUCUAUGUCAUUUGGAUGUGGUUUUUUUGAAAUCUGAGAUGUUCUUCCAUGACUCGACAUCCAAUUCUAUGCUUCAGGGGGGGAUAUAGAGUAAAGAGCAUAAUUGGAACAACCUGGAAGACAGAGGAAUUCAUUUCUGCCCAGAAACGAUCAAUUGUCCCGACCCUAACGAUAGAUCGCUUCGAAGUUUGAAGCACGAUGCUCCUCUCGACCAAGAAACGAUCGAUUGCUUCUGAGUCCUAAAGACAAUAUUCCUCUCAUCCAGAAAAUGAUUGAUUGUGCAGACCAUGACGAUCUAUCGCUUUCCACUAGUGAAGAUAUUUCAUAUUUGGGUCCCGCUCCUAAAGACGAUCCAGAAACACCAGCUGAAGACCUCUUCAUCUCAUCCAACACUCCAUACUGACCAAGUUCCUGGGAAUAUCCCUGAGGUAAAUGCUCCUACUACACCUGCAAAUUUGGUUAACAAUUAUAUUGGAUAUAAAUUACCUUUCAGGCAAAAUUGUGGAAAACCACCAAAUCAGUAUUCCCCAGAGAUUGGCCAAACAUCGAAGUAUCUGGUUGCCAAUCAUGUAUCCACUCAAAGACUACUUGAACCACUCAAGGCUUUUGUGCAUCAGUUGUCUACUAUCCAUAUCCCAACCAAGAUAACUGAGACCUUAAAAGACCGUAAGUGGGUUCAAGCUGUAUAGGAAGAGAUCAAGGCCCUCGAAAAGAAUCAGACUUGGACGCUGGAACCUUUACCAUAGGGGAAUAAGACUGUUGGUUGUAGAUGGGUGUUCAUUAUAAAACACAAUGCUUAUGGAUCUAUCGAACGAUACAAGGAAAAGCUUGUGGCAAAGGGGUACACACAAACCUAUAGUAUAGACUAUGAAGAGACCUUUGCUCCAAUAGCAAAUUUAAACACCAUUAGAGUCUUACUGUCUCUUGCAGCUAAUUUGGAUUUACUACACUUGUUUGAUGUAAAAAUUACUUUCCUGCAUGGAGAACUCACAGAGGAGGUAUACAUGGACAUUCCACCUAGAUAUGCCACUUCUACUUAGACUGGAACAAUAUGCAAAACUGAGAAAGGCGCUGUAUGGAUUGGAAUAGUAGCCUCAUGCAUGGUUUGGACGGUUCACCAAGGCAGUAAAGAACAAUGGUUUCAGGCAAAGUAACUUAGAUCAUACUAUGUUCUUGAAACAUUAUAAAGGGAAGGUAACAACUUUAAUAAUCUAUGUUGGCGAUAUGUUUAUUACUGGGAAUGAUGAACAUGAAAUAUCUCAGCUGCAAGGCUAUUUGGCUACUGAAUUUGAGAUGAUGAAUCUAGGUAGACUCAAGUAUUUCUUGGGGAUUGAGGUGGCUUGAUCAAAGCAAGGGAUAUUUCUCUCUCAAAAGGAAUAUGUGCUAGAUUGCAAACCUGUAGACACUCCUAUUAUUCAGAAUCAUCAUCUUGGAGAAUACCCAAAUCAAGUUCCAACGAACGAAGAAAGAUACCAGCAAUUAGUGGAAAGAUUGAUCUAUUUGUCACAUACUUGGCCAAACAUCGCUUAUGCGUUGAGUGUAGUUAGUCAAUUAAUGCACUCUCCAAGUGAAGACCACAUGAAUGCAGUUCUUCAAAUACAUAUGCAGAUUGGGCAAGUAGGUGUAACAGAUAUAAGAUCUACAUCUGGUUACUUCACAUUCGCGGGAGGUAAUUUGGUGACAUGGAGGAGCAAGAAACAGAAGGUAAUAGCUCUAUCUAAUGCAGAAGCCAAGUUUAGAGGUAUGACUAAAGGAAUUUGUGAGCUUCUUUGGUUAAGGAAGUUGCUUACUGAACUUUCGUCCAAAAGAAAAAAUGUUGCUUACUAAACUUGGGUAUGAACCUACAUCGAUAAUGAAUCUCUUUUGUGACAACAAGGCUGCAAAAACUAUUGCACAUAAUCCGAUUCAACAUGAUCGCACCAAACAUGUUAAAGUGGAUUGACACUUCAUCAAGCAAAAGCUUGAGGCUAAAUUGAUUCAGUUCCCUUUCGUGAAGUCUGAGGAUCAAUUAGCAGAUAUUUUGACAAAGGCAAUUUCCGAUAAAGCAUUCCACACAUCACUGGACAAGUUUGGCAUUGGCGACAUCUAUGCACCAACUUGAGGGGGAGUGUUGGCGUGACUUAUGAUUUUCCUUGCACACCACAGAUUCCCAUAUUAACUGUAAUUGAUUUCCUUUUUAUUUUUGCUUUCCUACUGUAAAUAGUAUUAUAAGUUAUAACUUUCCUUGGCCUUCAAGGUUUUAUUGUACUAUAAUUAUAUGACCUCCUACAAGGAGAAAAAUACACAGAAAAUUCCCACAAAUAAUAUUCUCUCGUAGGUUUUCAUAUUUUAGUACUCCUUACCUUCUAUUGUGACUCAACCGCAAAGUGACAUGUGUCCUCUCUUUUUUAAUGGUCAAAACAACUUCUUUUUUUCACUUUUACUCAACCAAAAUUUUUACCAAAAUAGAAAAGAAAAAAAAAGUACCAUUGUUUUUAUUUUCUCACUUGGUAACAUGAUGAUGUGUUGAAAAAGCCUCCAUGAAGAAACUAUGUCUACAAAUGUUGUCAAUGGAAACUUUGGUUGUAGAGGGAUUAUUAAAGUUAGAGUUGGAAAGGGCCACAAAUACUUAAAAUUUUGAUUGAAGAAGGAAAAUUAUUAUUUUAAAAAUGGUUGAGAAAAAUCAAAGUGAAAAAAAAAAGGGGAAAUUUUAUUUUUUUCUGUUUGGGUAAAAAACUAGGGGUUCAAUAAAGUGAAAAAGAAGUUGUUUUGACAUUAAAAAAGAGAGGACACAUGUCACUUUAUGGUUGAGCCACAAUAGAAGGUAAGAAGCGAAGUAUUGUCCCUAAAUUAAUUAGUUGCCAUAGAAAAUUGAUUUUUAUUUAUUUUAAACAAACAACAUUAACUAGUUGGUCUAUCAUUCUUUCUCAUGUUCUUUUCUUGUUAUUUUAAUCUUGUUUGUUCAAUUUCUUUUUUUAAAUACAAAUAAUUUUUUUUCUUACAUGUUUUUGGUUAUUCAUAAACAAAUAUGAUCAAAACUAAUAUAUUUUGUUUUGCCAAAAGUGGAAGAUUUUAUUCAUAUACGACAAGUAACGUUUGCAUCAAUAGUUUCAUCAAGUAAGGUUAUUAGUUUAAUCUCCUUUAAGAAGUGAAGAGGAUUGAAUUUGAAAACUCUUCUAAUAUUGGGUUGGUAGUUUGUCUCUACAUAAAGAGAUUUGAGGAGCCGUACACAUAGAGGUGUCAAACGGACUGUGCUAGGCCGGCCCAUCUUAUUUAAACUCGUGCUUUUAAUGUUUUCGUGUCGGGCCGGACCGGCCCAUUUAAUUUAUCGGGCCGUGUCAUGCCGGCCCAUUUAGUAAAAUCAUUGAUCCCGGUCCGGCCCAAAGUCCAUGUCCAUAUUGAAACGAGCCGGGCUGGGCUCGUGCUCGUGCCAUACUCGAGCCCAAGAACCAAUCUAUUUAAUUUGAAUUUUUUUCACUUGAUUUUUUUUUCCACUAGAUAAUUCAAAUUAUAAACAUUAAAAAUAUAAUUAGAGGCAAUAAAUGAUGAACUAUUUGAAAACAUUAAUCAAUCAAACAUCCGAACAAUAUGAAAUGGCGGAGGGAAAAAAGUGUCCAACUCCACAAAGUCCACUUCAACUUUUCAUCUUUAAACAACUUAUUAUUUUAUAUGUGAAAAAAUGUCUUGCUUUGAUUAGAAGAGAAGCGUAUAUGUCAUAUGUACUGAUUAGAUGUCAAGUCCAAUGUUGUUUAAUUAAUUAAGGACCCAAGUAAUUUCCCUAAAAUGAAAGACAUCAAAUAUAUAUUUAUGAUUAAAAAAAAACAUAGAAACAAUGACAUUAGAUGUCAAAUUAUUGCAUUUUGACUUUUGAGAAAGAAAAAAAUGUUAAGUGGGGCAUGCUUGGGCUCGUGCUUGGGCCAAGCCCGGCCCAUAUCGGGCCAUGGGCCGGCCCGGUCCAUUGGACCUCAUUUUUUGAUCCCGACCCGGCCCAAGUUUUCAUGCCGUGCCGAGCACACCCCAUUAAUAUUCGUGCUCAUGCCGUGCCAUGCCUUAUUUAAAUGGGCUGGGCUCGGGCCGUGCUGGGCCAGCCUGUCCCGUUUGACACCUCUACGUACACAUGUUAAAACUAGAAAAAGAAAAAGUAGAAAGACAUCAAAUAAUCCAACUAGAAACCUAGAAUUAGUGUCAAUUCAUAUAUUUGGGUGCUCAAUGGAAAGAAAAAAAAGGAAGAAGAAAAAUAAACGUGGAAAAUAUUGGGUGAUGAAUAGAAGUAUAAUACCCACUUUGUUUGAAGUUGUCUUGAUGAUGAGAAUCUGAAAAUUUAGGUAAGGUGGAAGUUGAAGAAAAAUAAACAUGGAAAAUAUUGGGUGAUGAAUAGAAGUACCCACCUUAUUUGAAAGUUGUCUUGAGGAUGAGAAUCUGAAAAUUUAGGUAAGGUGGAAGUUGAAGAAAAAUAAAUAGGGAAAAUAUUGGGUGAUGAAUAGAAGUAUAAUACCACCUUGUUUGAAGUUGUCUUGAGGAUGAGAAUCUGAAAAUUUAGGUAAGGUAGAAGUUUUGCCUUCCUCGUGUAAACAAAGUUAUGAGAAAUAGAUACGUUCUGGGAAAUAGAAGCCGGGAGGUUUUAAGAAAUAUGAAUUUAAAAAAAAGAAUAUCAACAGUUGUUGGAUGAACUUAUAAUUAUAAAUUAUUAGUAAGGACAAAUUAGUCAUAAAAAAGGUGCAUUUAAUGCUAGUCUUACUUUCCCAGGGAAAAUAAAACCCAAGGAUGAAUGAGGGUUUCACUUUCCCAUGUGCUAGGCAAUGAUUUCCUAUACUUAGACUUACCAAACAUGUAAAAACAAUUGAUUUUCCAUUUCCAAGCUUCUUUUCCAAUGAAUCAAACGGGGCCUAAGGGGAAUGCUAACAAGCUUUUCUCCAAUUUUUUAAUAAGAAGAUCAUUCAAUUCAAUGUGUUGUCAAAUAUUCCAGCAGACCAUGUGCUUUUCAUGGAAUUAGAGAGAUGCUUUAGUAAUUAGAUAGGUUUUUUUUAAUACAGGCAAUAAUGACUAGACCCGGUGGCAUUGGAUAGAGUUUUAAUUUUACUUUGAAAGAUGAGACAUGGUUGGUCGGUCAUGCCCAUUCUGAUGAAAUUAUCUAUUUAAAAAGAUUACCGAUAUUAAACUUCACAAAUAGUUUAGAGAUCAAUCUCUAGCUUCCACAAACAGAUUAAACACAUUUUUCCAUGGCAUUGAUCCUUCCUAGCAUUCCAAGCCUUACCACCUUUAGCAGCCUCCAAGUCAAGUUGGCUGCAAGCCAAGUGAAAGGUGAUGAGCAUGUUCCAGCUGACACACCUGGGCACCAACUUACCACCCACAUCAGAUCCAUCAUCAACAAACGAGACGAACAUGAACCGUUUUACGUUCUAGAUUGGGGGUUCUUGUCAGCCUCAUGGAAAAAUGGAGCCAUUGCCUUCCCAAUGUUCAGCUCUUCUUUGCUGUCAAGUGUAACCAUGAGCCUGCAUUCAUUGCUGCAUUGGCAACACUUGGUGCAAGCUUUGAUUGUGCCAGCAAGGCCGAGAUUGAGGCCGUCUUUGCUCAUGGUGUAAGCCCCACGAGAAUUGUUUAUGCCAAUCCAUGCAAGGGUGAGUACCAUUUAAGGUACGCAGCUGGAGUCGGGGUCGAUCUUGCGACCUUCGACUCCAUGGACGAAGUUGAUAAGAUCAAAAGGUGCCACCCCAAAUGUUCCUUGUUGCUUCGGAUUGCUGUACCAAAUGACAAGAGCUCGUGGCGUUCAUUCGGGACCAAAUUUGGUGCGUUGCCUGAAGAGGUCGCAUCACUCCUCAGACACGCACACAAACUAGGGUUAAGAGUGGUGGGAAUUUCAUUCCAUAUGGGAUCGAAAGCGUCUGAAUCUCAAGUGUACUGUAGAGCAAUAGCUGCAGCUAGAGCUGCAUUUGAUGUGGCUGAUGAGCUCAAAAUGCCCAAAAUGCAUGUGCUUGAUAUUGGUGGUGGGUUCAAAGCAAAUCAACUGUUUGAUGAAAUAGCCAAGACCAUAAAUGUUGCCAUCAAACACUACUUUUCUGAUCAUCAGUCAGAUUCUGAUCUGAAGGUGAUGGCUGAGCCAGGAAGGUUCUUUGCUGAAACUGCAUUCACAAUGGUUGCAAAUGUGAUGGGGAAGAGAGUGAGGGGAGAGAAAAGAGAGUAUUGGAUUAGUGAUGGAAUUUAUGGGUCAUUUAAUCUUCCAGCAUACGACAAAUCCUCUAUGCAAAUCUCACCGCUCCAAAUUCUAAGUCCUCACCAAAAUCAAGGGACAUAUUCAUCAACAGGUUUUGGGCCGACUUGUGAUUCAUUGGACACAGUUGUUGCUGACUGCAAACUGCCUGAAUUAAAGCUGAAUGAUUAUCUUGUGUUCCACAAUAUGGGCGCCUACACAACUUCUGCUGGAACCAACUUCAACGGCUUCUGCAUUUCUGCUAUUCCCACGUACCUGGCAUUUACAAGUGCUAAUGGUUAAACUAAAUUUUGUUGGGAUUGGUAUGGCUGAUGCUAUUUUCCUGUAAUUUCUUCUUUUAUUCUCUAUUAAAAGAGAAAAAACUGUUAGAAGUGAGGAGUGGAAAAUAAGUUUUUUGGACUAGUUUCAAAAACAAAAAUUAAAGUAUUGUGUGAUCUCUCUCAUUUUUUUACUUUAAAUCUUGUUUGGCCGUUUCGUGUGAUCGAAAAAUUAUUAUAAUAUGGGUAGAUGAUAUGGUUCAUAUUUCUUACUUUUAGUAUAAAUAAAUAUUUACUUAUAUUAUAAUAUGUGGAUAACUUAUAUUACGUGUCUGUAUUCUAGUACUAUCCUAUACACGUAGGGCUCGUUUGGUACGUCAUAUUGUAUUGACUAAUUUCUAUAAGAUAGUAUUAAUCUGUUUCAGAAAGUACUGACUGUUUAUCCAUUAUAUUAUAAGACGUUUUAGUAUUGUUCCAAAUAAAUAAUCUAACUAAGUUAUACUGUGUUUGGUGUUUCGUCAUACUAUUUUUUUUUAAUUCUUUGAUAAUUUGACAGUUGCAGGGAUGAUGAAUUGAUAAUGUAACCAAUAAAAGACGACAAGAGAAUAUCCAGCUAACAGACUACAACUCAACAAAAUGGGCAAUCAAGAGCACAUGUUUAACAAAAAAGAACUUGUGACCAAGAAAUCAGUAACACCAAGGGCAUCUGAGGGCAAGAAAACUCGUUCUAGGUACUACAAAUUUCAAGUUUCCAAUCUCACAAUGGAACUUCAAAGAGUAUUGUGCUUUAUAAGAGAUAUAGGUGCAACAAAUUGUACAUGUUUGGUAUGCCUCACUGGACUGGAUUGGGUUAAAUAGCACUAGAAACCCUUGUUUGGUAAGAGACAGGACUAACUUAAAUGAGACUGUAUAGUCCAAUAGUGAAAAAAAACGCGUCACUCGCUCGUCUAAUACAGUGAGCCUGAAAAGUGGUUCUCUAAAUAGCACCCUCAUUAAAUAGAACACGUGAGUCCGACGCUUCUCCUUAAAAAAUAUCAUAAUUUUAUUUGUUUUCUUUUAAUUAUUGUUUAAGAUCUUUGAAUGAGUUUUUUUUUUUUUUUUUUUUUGCAGCAGUUAUUUAUUUUAGAUAAAAAUCCUUAACUAAAUUUAAAUAUUAAAAUAAUUAUUUUGAUAUUGCAUUUGGAAAAUCAAACUAUACAAAUGUUUGAUAUUUUUUUUGAUAUUGAAACAAGCUUAAUAAUUCAUGAUGUGAUGAUUUCUUUAUCGCAAUCAAUUUUUACCUUGUCCAAUUAUAUUUUUCAAUUUGAAGUCAAAAGCCAAAUAUAUAAAAAUUAGACAUAAAUAUAUAAUUUAAUUAUUUUUUUACUUGGUCCCUUAAAAACCUAGAAUUAUAUUGAGUAAGCUUAGCUCCUUUAACAAUGUUUCCACCAACUAAGAUUAAUCUUGAGAAGCCAAAAAAUAAAUAUCAUAAUUUUAUUCUUCAUUAAAAAAAAAAAAGAAUUUUAUUUGUUUUCUUUUUAUUAUUGUUUUAAAUCUUUUUUGUUGUUGUUUUUGUUGCCAUAUAUUGUUAUAAAUCUUUGAAUUGGGUUUCUUUUUAGCAUUUAUUUAGCUUUUAGGUCAAAAACCCUAAUUAAAUUUAAAUAUUAUAAGAAUUAUUUUUUAGUCCGACACAGCACCAAACAUAGGUCUUCACUAUUUUUACAAUCCAGCUUCUUACUUCGGCACAGCACCAAACGUAGGUUAGUACUUAAUCCAGCUUAGGCCAAUCCGAGCUAAUCCGAGACAGUCCAAGGAUUUAGUUCAAUCUAUGAUAGUCCGCCGUGCCAAACGACCCCGUAGAGAGAUGUGCAACAGUUUGCAUUAUAUUUCUAACACUUGAAAGAAAAAAGACAAUUAAAAAAAAAGAAACACGGAAAAACAAGAAUCAAUAACACGUACAAAUUAAUAAUUCCCAUUCAAAUGGAUAUCAGCAGAGAAGUUGUUUGCAACUAAUCCCAGUUUCCAUGCUUCGUAAAUUAAACAUUUGAUUUUAAAAAAAAUGUCAAAAAGGAAAAACUGAUGACUUAAUUUCUACAAAAAUUUAAUAAAAUAGGAAGUAUAUAAAGAAAGAAAAGAUGAAGACAUAAGAAGAGAGAAGAAGCAUAUUAUUGGAGAAGUAUGAGAGAGAGAGAGAGAGAUAUAUAUAUAUAUAUAUAUAUAUGAACAGUGACGGACCCAGUAUCCGAACGUCGUAGGGUCAUAGUGUAAAUGUUCCAAAGAAAAUUUAAGAAUGGGUUAUUUUUCUUAUCUAUUUUUUCUCUUCCAAAUUUCAUUCAUUUCUUGGACAAAUAUACUGUGAAUGAUUUCGAUUUUUCAUUUUUUUAUGUAUGUUUUUGAGUAAUUUCAAUUCGUAAAAUUUCAAGCCAAAAUUUUAUUGUUUAGACUUUUUUGAAUAUUGGUUUUAGCACUGUUAGAAAAACAAGCCAAAAUUUUAUUGGGUCAGAUAUUUUGCCUGCACAUCUGGUUCCAAUCUGUUGGUUACUGCAUUUUGUUCUAAUUACAAUGAAGAAAAACAAGUUUUUUUUUUUUAUUUGUUUGUGAGGAGAAAUUCUUAAGUGUUAAAUAGUGGUGAUAAAACCAUGUUGUGGUCAUCCUUAGAUAAAAUUACAAGUAAAGCUCAGCAUUCAUGGAUUCUAAUUUCUAAGCCAGUCAUUGGAAUUUGGGAGGAAGAAAUAAUAAUAAAUGGAACAAAGUUGACUGACUGAUUCCAACAACAAAACAAGUUAAAAAGAUUCAAAAGAAAACGCACCAAGUAGGGGUCGAACCUACGACUCUCUGCUUAGGAAACAGACGUGGGAAAAUGGAGGGAUAUGGAAGGGUAUUUUAUUUAAAAAAUUUUCCUAGGGCAAAACGACGUCGUUUUACCUAGGGUGUUUUAAAAAAAACAGAAGCUUGUUGCGCUGCUUCUUCUUCCUCAUUUGCACAGCUUCCUCCCUCUUCCUCUCAGGCAAAAUAUCAAGCACUUGGAAGGCAGUUCAAAGGGUCACACAGCCAGCUCAAGUGGACUUCCAAACCUAUUUCCAUGGCUUCCAUGGGGUCAUUUGACCCCAGUGACCCCACUGUGGGUUCGUCCAUAACUAGGAGAAGAGUGAAGAGAACAACCACUGGAUAAGAUAGUGGAGAAGAACCUUAGGUAGAAGAAGAUAAAAAUAGCAUCUCUGAUUUUUCACGUAGAACGUGCGUUCUUUUUCUCUAGCCUUAUAAUUAAGCAUAUAUUAUCUAAACUGAGGUGUGUGAGUUGUAUUCUUUAGUCAAGUAAGGAGAGUAUUAAAAGCCCAACCUAUUUAAAAUAGUCAGGUAAUUAUACAACUUGACACUAAAUAACUAACAUGGACUAUUUACUCUUAUCGAAAGUCUAAUACAGUAAACCCACUUAAUUUGCUGCACUGCUCUAAUUUACUUGUUAUUGUGCUAGUACCUUGACAUUCACUAUUUUAUUUUAAAUCUUUAUUCGUAGUAGUUCCUUAAUUGUGUGAUCGACAAUUUGUAUAUAACCUUUUAUACAGUACAAAAUAUUACUUCAAAUCGUGCUCUACGUACUUUAAUUCGUAAUAGAUCGCAUUCAAGUUGGACAGCAAAAUUGGUGGACUCAAAUGCCCGAGCCCACGUGCCCACAAAGAGAGCGACCAACAAGGCUUGCCCAAAAUCAAAUGCAUCAAUCCCUGUCAGCUAGGGGUGGGCAUACAAACCGUUGAACUGGAAAAUCGAACCAAGUCGAAUCGAAAAAAAUUGAAAAAAUUGAGUUGACCAAAAAAGGUCAAACUCGAACCAAAACCGAAUCGAACUAAUUUGGAUUGGUUUUUUUUUUUUUUUUUUUUUUUUUUUUGAGGACCUUUUCUAUUGAAAGGGGCGAUAACAUAUUAAACUCACACACACAACACGGAUGCUAAGACUCGAACCCAGAACCUUGCCUGAGGGAGUAAAUUCUUCAAAUCACUAUACUAAUGGGUCCUUUGCAAUUCUAAUUUUAACUUUAUAAGAAUCAAUCCAAACCAAAUUGGAAUGGUUAUUUAAAUUAAUCAAUUAAUUAUAUUUUUAGCCCACUUUUCUCCACCUUUAGCCCAAUGUUCUCUCAAUAAAGCCCAACUUUAUAUUAAAAAAUCCUAAAGCCUAACAAUACUAUGCAUAUAGCCUAGACCCAAUUAAUAACCCUACUUUCUAACUCUUAAUAACUCAUUUUCUUUACUCAAACUCCCAUCUUUCCUUCAUCUCUCUUUUUUUUUUUUUUUUUUUUCUUUUUUCUUCUUCUUCUUUUCUCUCUUCUCUGUGCCGACACACUCUCUCUCUCUCUCUCCUCAAUUUUUUUUUCUAUCCCUCUCUUCUUCUUCCUUUUCUCUCCUCCUCUUUCUUCUUCUUCUUCCUCUUUCUGGUUCCCAUUUUCUCUCUCUUUUUGUAUUUUGUUUUAGUUUUAUUGUUUUCUGCUUCUCUCUUCCCUCUUUUCCCUUUCUCUCUUCCUCUUUCUUCUUGCUCUUUCUGGUUCGGAUUUUUUUUCUCUCUUUCUCUAUUUUUUUAAUGCUUCUCUCUUCCCUCUUGCUAUGGAACUUUCUUCAUAUGCUGGUUAUGAGGAUCCAAGGACUAUCAAGCAUCAGAGUCUAAUGCAAGACUAUGAAAAGCUGCACGAUGAAAAGAGAAGAUAUAACCAGUUUGCUGGUCUUUUGUUAUAAAUCAAAUAAAACAAUUUCCAAUUCUUUUCUUUCCUCUUUGUGGGAUUUUAGUCCAUCAAUUCUUUUGUACAUAUUUCUGUAUAAUAUGUGAGAGAUGUAAUUUUGGGGGGUUUACUUAGGGAAGCCAAUACAGAGUGAUGUGUAAAACUUUUCAUGAUAUGCUGAAAUUUUUUUGUAGGUCUCUUUAGAUACAUUGUUUAUUUGGAUUUUGUUUAUGUGGCUGCUGAGAGAUCAGAGAAUAAAAAGGAUAAAUCAAAUAUUUUGAAAGAAAAAAACUCAGUUGGGCUUGUUAGCCGAUUCAAAUCGGGAAAAUCAAAACCUAACCAGAUAUGAAUCGAUCUGGGUUGGUUCGGUUGAGUAAUUAACUUUUCAUUAGAAUCGGAUAAAAUCUGUCCGAAUGAAUAGUACUGUUCUGGAUAUGAAUUUGACUGAGAAUCAGGCCGAACAAUACCGUGCCCAGCACUAUUGCCACCUACCUUAGACCAACUCUCUCCAACCCGAGGUCUAAAACCCAAAUAGAUUUAGCAAGGAGACUAUAAUGAAGAGUAAAAAUAAGGGAUUAUAAUGAGGGCUUCCUUAAUAGUUGUUCGAUUUAUUAGACUAAACCGCCUCAUUGUUGUAACAUCAACAUAGCCCCUCAUUAUAGAAGCUAGAUGUAGUGUUAGUUUUGUUGCCCUCUUGAGUUUGGUGUUUUGGGUGUCUAAUGAAGUUGUUCUUUGAUUAAAAAAGAAUAAUACAACGUCUCAAAUUGAAAUCCAACGAUCAAAAUAACAAAAUAAAAUAUCUUACCCCAAAUUCUAUAAAUACGCAUCUAUUUAUAAAAUAAUUAACCAAAAAUCCAUUUCUUUCUCAUAUCUUUUUUACAUAAGCGAUAUUUAGGGGAUAACAUUUUUUCGCAUGGGUUUGUGUGGCUUGCCCCUAAUGCUAUUUUAAUCACGUACCCAUAUCCUCCCUUGUUUAGAGCAUAUAUGUGUGCAUGUUGUUUUAGUAGAUCCAAUUUCUUUGGAAUCAUAGUUUUUCAUUAAGAUUUAUACUCUUAACAUUAUAGUUUUGUAGGUAUUAAUUUGGCUAACUAAUUCUUAUUUUAUAUGAAUGAAAAUAGAAUUGAUUUAUACUAGAUUCAUAACACACUUCUUUUUGGUUCAAAAAGCUUUUUUUUAUUGAUACUUUUGUAAUAGGGCACAUCGGGAAAUCGAUCCCCAACGAAGGUGAGAAUAAGGAAUUCCUGAUUUGAAUAAUAUGCGGACAGAGCCGAGGAUGAAGGAAAAGCUAACCCAACCCCAAUUCACCACAUUACGUGUGAGAACCUUUUUUUUUAAUAAAAAAAACCACUAUAUAUUUUAUUAUUUUAAAGAAAUAUUCAUAUUACAUAUUAAUUAUUUAUUAUGAAGACCUAAAUGUUAUAAAAUAUUAAGCCUAGUAUGAGAUUAUUCUUUUAGGUGAAAGAUGACAUCAUUCUUGUUUUCCACGUGUAGAGACUUGCAAUUGGUUUUAAUCAAAUCAUCAUUGCCAUGUCACCUUGCACGUGAUAUCAUUGGUCAAAGGGGAUGAGUCACAUUAUUCCCUUACUUUUCUGUCUUAUUUUUUGGUGGUUUAAAAUAUUAUAUAUAUAUAUAUAUAAAUAUUAGGCUUUUUUUAAUCACAAAACGUCCCUGACGUUUGAAAAAUUAUCAGAUUGCAUCCUUAAAGUUUUUUUGUAUCACUCAUGGUCCUUAACGUUAAUAUAGGUGCUCUUAAAUAGUCCAACUGUCAAAAAAACUGUUAAAUUCAGGGAUAUAAUCAUCAAAUCAAUCUAAAAUUAUAAUAUAUACAUAUAUAUUAUGUCUAGAAACUUGUAACCAUAACCCGGAUCGGAGAAAUACAAAAAAUCAGGAAAUUUGGAACAUCCGUCGCAAUUGGCCAGAGCCUAAGGAAGUCUGAAGUUGAUCUGGAAAUUUGAUUUUUAGUGACGAAAAAUAUGAAGAACACAGUCGCAGAAAAUGUUUAGCCACAAAAAAUCUGAUGAACAUCCGUCGCUAAAAACUUUUGGUGACGAAAAAUCUUCAAAUUUUUGGGCAAAACAGCAGUUGGGUUUUUUGGGUUUUAGGUCCUUUUUUGAGCUUCAAAUCGUCCUAAAAUAUAAUGUAGGCCAACUGAGACCCCUAAACCUGGUCCAAAUUCAUUCUAGAUAUGUCAAUGAAACAGAGAGUGAGAAUUUAUUUACGUUGGAUGACUGCCAAAACCUUUGAAAGUAAUAAUAUGUUGCACUUUGAAGUAUGAAAUUUUGCCACUACAGAAUGAUAUGAUGCUAUUUUUAUUUUUCUAGUAUGAUAUUUUAUUUGGUAGUCAUGUUUUGCUUUUGAUUUGAUAUAUGUUUUCUUUUUAUAUACAUCUUAGGCAUCCAUUGAUGCGAUCAAAGAGGCUAAUGGUCUUACAGGGGAUACAAUCUAUGCUGGCAAGAAGCUUAUCAUUCCAUGAAUAUGUUCCAUCUGUGUUGUUUUCGCAUAACUCAUUUUAAGAAAUUUUAGAGAAGCAAUGCAGUUUCUCUUGCAAUCUCGAGUCUCUUCACUUAAAAGCAAAGAGCACGCAUGGCCUUGUAGUUUCGACAUUUCUUGUUUUGAUUAUUGGUUUGGCUGUACUGGAGUUGUAAGUAGUUUUCAGAACGACAUAUUGUGUUGGAUAUCUAAAUAUAAUUGAUUUGGCGAUUAUAUCCCUGGAUUUAACAUUUUUUUGACAGAGGGACUAUUUAAAAGCACCCAUAUUAAAGUUAGGGACCAUGAGUGAUACAAAAAAAUUUUAAGGAUGCAAUCUGAUAGUUUUGCAAACGUUAGGGAUUUUUUGUGAUAAAAAGCCUAAGUAUUAUUUGGUUGCAUCCGUAGCCUCUCCUAUAAGUAUCAUCCUUUCUUACUCCAAUCAUUCAUUUCAACUCUUUAGAAUAGAUUUCUAACAUAAAGUAGUGUUUAAGAGAGAGAGAGAGAGAGAGAGAGAGAGAGAGAGAGAGAGAGAGAGAGAGAGAGAAGGAAGAAAAAGAAACGAGAUGAAGUGUCUUUGUCUUGCAAUAUUUCAACUUAUCAUGGUGAGUGGGUUAUGUAAUGUGUUCUAAAAGUUCUUAUUUUAUGAUAAAUGUGAAAAUAAAGGAUUUAUUUUAUUACAAAUCUCGCUCUACUUUCAAGUCAAGCAUGUCUAAUUUGUGCAAUAUUCACACAAUAUAUAUUAUUUGGAGUUUUUGUGAAGUACGUACUAUUCAUGGAACAUGAAAACUUCAAUGAUGGGGUAUCCGAAGGAUAAAUGUAUUAGACAGAGACAUAGGGUAGUGAGGCCGAUAGGGGUCACGUGAUGGAUACAAUUUGUGAAGGAUAACCAAGAUAUGAAGUGAUGAUGUGAUAUAAUUUGGAUUGUGUAUAUUUUUAUUAUAAUUUCUAGAGUGUGUAAAAUGACAUUGCUUGACUGGCAUAUUACAUAAUCUACUCACUGAGCGGUGGUUUUCUCAUCCCUCACCUAUUUUAUUUUUCAGAUCAAUUAGUGGGCAAGACAAAGAUGAAAUCAGAGAAGUUGGAUUAGUUUAUAGUGAUAAAGUUAUAUUUAUAUCUUGUACACUUGUAAGAUUAUUAUUAUCUUUUAUAUAACGGAAAUGUAUUUUAACCAAAUUUUCAGUCUUUUUAUUUUAUUUCAUUCAGUUCACGCACCGUGAUUCUGGAAUAUUCUUUAUUUCCGGAUCAAGACGUGACAUUACUAUCUCUAUUAAUAUUGAGAGAGGGAGGAUUUUGAACACAUAUGGAUAAUUGCUCUAAACCACUUAAGCCACAAGCUCCUUCCUGUAUUCAUUCACGAGUUUCAACUUCAUAUUUUGUUGUACUCAUUUUUAUGCAAUAAAUUAUUAUUAUUUUUAAAUGAUAAUUUUUAAGUUAAAUUAUGGGCCAAAUAAUUUCAAUUUAUAGAUUUUAAUGUUUACAUAUAAAAUUGAUGCAAGAAAUUGUGUUCAUUAUAAAUUUCCUAAGAAGUAUACUUUUUUAAUUUUUUUUAUUUUAUUUUAUUUUAUUUUUUCAGAAAGAGAUAUCAUUCAUAAACCAAAAUAGGUAUACAUAGAUAAGCACAAAUGCAAUGGCCUCGUUAAAACCUUCAUAGGAAAACCACAAGGGACAAACCCCAGCAUAAGAAAGAGUACCACACAUGCCAUUGACUAACAAAAGAGUCCAAUUCAAGGCCACUUUGAACCUUUACAAAGAACCAGAAUGGGAAAAACUACUUGAAACCGACACAGUAGGCCCCAUAAUAGAGUACAUCAAUGCAUCCCAACUGUCAAAAGAAGCCUUCUAUGAUAACUCAUAGUCCUUUGUACAUCCUAAGAGUUGUAUAGCAUACCAAGGGUCAGAGACACAACAAAACACAUCAAGAAAGUGUAGGAAACCUUUAGAAAAUCAUGAGUUUCAUUUGAACAUCAACAUAGAUAAAUAAAAUCACGGCAACGAAAGCUUAAGCAUGCAUCUAUGAGUUCAAAAACAAAAACUUUUCCCAUAAAUCUUUUAAGCCAAGUGAUAGUUGUAUUUUUUAUUAUAGAACAUACUUCUAAGAAAAUUGGAAGGAAGAGUUACCCUUGGUGCGUGCUUUUAAUCCUAUGAUCGAAUUCCACCAGAGUUGUUAAAGCUUAAAUGGCUCCUUCAAAAUCUCCACCUUGUUGUUCAAGCUUGAAUGACUCCUUCAAAAAACUCCAACUUGAGAGGUUCUCCAAAAGUCACCAAAGUAGGUAACCUCUAAAUUUCUUCCCAAUUAGAGCUUGAGAAGAAGAUGAUGAGCUUAGUGAGAGGAUGAUGCUAGUAAUCCUUCACAAGGUAGUAUGAAAUAUUUUGAGAGAGUUUUUGGAAGACUAAAGCUUUUUUUCUCUCUCUUGUUUUUCACUAAUGACCCUUUAGGGUUCAAAAAAACGAUUGUCAUCUUUUACUUGAGUCAACAAGUUGACUCUAGCAACCAAAGGCCAUACGAAUGCCCAUCCCUUGGAAUUGGGCCUCUUAGGCUCAAUUUCAUUUAAGUUUUCAUACAACCCAAUCUCCAUGUCCAAUAGGAUAAAGCCUAAUGGGCCUAGAGUUCAACAUUCCCAUUAAUUUUGCCUUAACCAAUUAACUACGCUUAAUUGAUCUCCUCAAUUCAUCAUCUCCAUAACGGUUUCUCAAAACCCAAGUUUAAUGGUGUGCUAUCCAUUAGGUUUUAAUUAGUAAGGUCGUGGGUAAUUUGAACUCUUCGUAAUUGAUUGUGAAUUAAAACUCCUUUUUAAUUCUUCCUAUUAGUUAGGAUCAUAAGUCCUUUGGGAUUCCACCAUCCAUGAGUGACACCUAGCAGUAUGUCAUGGAUAUCCAACCUAAGUAGAAUAAGCAGAGAACCUAUUCAGUUGGAAUUACAAUGCAAUACGGGCCUUUCCUAUUACAAUACUCUUAAUCUCAUUACUAGGGCAUGGUGCAUAUCAAACCCUUAAUGAGAUUGUCACGUCUUAUAUGAUUUGUAUAAGUAUGACUAGAACAUCUUUCUAGGUCAUAUCGAAUACUCUGAUAAGAGAUUUGCUUAAUCAUAUCUUCCGAGUAUUCUCCCUCUUUUAUUGAAGGAUAGAGAUUCCAUGUUGUACACUCACAUGUCUCUAUGAGUCAAUCGAGAACCCCAACAAUGCUUGUAUCACAUCCAUGAUUACGACAUGUCUUUAUAGCAUCAUCUAAGAUCCACAACCUUCCCAUAAGACAACCAUGGUGCCUCAGGUCUAAGGACUAAUUUGCAUUAUUGCAACUUGGAGUUUCUUGUUUGACAUAUAAGUAAAAUUUCCAUGCAAGAAGCUCUCGUUUGAUCGCGUUCAGUGAACUCAUUCUCUAUUGAGCACCCACACACUUGUCUUAGUGUCGCCACACAAAUGACUUGAGACCAGUCAUCCUCCCAAUCGAGAAGACAUAGCAUGUACCGGUCUUUUCGGAUUGUCAGUACCCAUUUGACAAUCCUAUGAGGAUAAUAGAGGAAAAGUCUCCUAAAUCAAACUUCCUUAGAUUACUUUCUCUCUAUCUCACACCCUUGGACUUUUCGUUUAAGCAUGUGUAACUAUUAAUGAGACAUUUACUAAUAACCAAUAAACUUGGCCUUUAAGAGAAUUAAACAUAAGUCUAAUACAUGAAAUAUCCUUAAAGAUUACAACAUAUGAUUGGCUUUUAGAGCAUAUUUCCAACAGAAAGAACACAAAGACGACAUCAAAGAAGAACCCCAUAAGAGCACACCAACUCAUCCCAGAAUCUAAUAAAGAAAACUUCCUAUGGCCAACGAUAGUUCUUCGGACGUCGCAUAGGUGAGAUAAUUUGCAAAGAGUCAAACAAUCAAAGGAAAAAAAGAGAGGCUAUGAACAAACUAGGAAAAUGAAUGAAGAAACCCUCAAGGAGCACACCACCGCAUCCCAAAGUUUUCAAAGGAAAACUCCUAUAAAAGUACCAUAAUCCUUUGGGCAACGCAAGAAUUGAGAAGUAUGUAGAGAGGCAGACGAAAAAGGGAGACACCACACUAAAACAAAAACCUAGCCUCGUCCACUUAACCUGAAAAAGCUAGACUUUAGGUAACAAAGAAGUCGUCGAAUGCCAAGCUUACGAAUGCUCCAACUGUGCACUAAGUGUGGACCUUAGGAGAUCCUACAAGACUAGUCUCCUUAGCCUUUCAGAACGGGUACAACUAAAAAAUAUGUUAUUACCAGUUGAGUCCACAACACGAACGAUUACAUCACUGUCAGUAGACAUAUCCCCUGUAAUCUUACGCUUCACACUGAUAUUUACAGACGCACUUUGUGAACCCUCUUCCUCGCUUUUGGAUUUGCCACGACCCUUCUUCUAAAGACCCUCAGAAUGCUGGAUAAUAGGCAUUAGGAUCAGAUAGGGACGGACCCACAAUAUCUCGAAAAUUAGCCAAGACUGUAUGGGCACCCAUAGAUGUUGGGUUCUUGCAAAUAUACCUCUUUUAAGGGAAUAUCCAUGAGGAUAACCCCCAACUCCGAUGCGGACGAGACCAGUGGAGGUGGUACCAGGGAGUGAACAUCGUCAUCAGAUAGCCCAGUCUAUCGGUAUAGAGACUCUACAGCCUCCAACACUUGGUGACGGCAUGGCAAGGUUAGAGGUAAACAUAAUCUUCAAGCUCAUUCCUAUCUGAGCAACAAGAUCAUCAAUCUUAAUCCUCAAGCUCAUUCCUAUCUGAGCAACUAGAUCACCAAGAUUGAUCAUUAGAACGGCCCCGAUCACCUGACCCAUAUAUGUUCUAGAAACCUUCAUGGCGUAGAGAAUUACCAAUAAACCUAUAAGGAAGGGAAAUUGCCGAGGAGCGAUAUGCCAGUGUGCCAAUUGUUUUACCUCAUAAUUUUGUAUCACAUUCCAAAAUUGAGUAAGUAAACUCGGAGUGAGAGUCCCAUAGGUGGUUUAAUAUUUUUGAAUACGCACCUGAGUAGGAUGGCCAAUUCUCUCACAGGAAAAGCAAUAUUCAGAAAGGUACUCAUAUUUGAACUCCACCAAUUUCUCCCCAACCUCCGAAAAAUUAAUCGGUGUCUGAUGAAUGAGGGGCAGGGUGACAAAAAACCCCACACGGAUACAAAUAAAGCCACCUACAUAAUCAGUGCAUAAUUACAUAUCAUUUUGCACCCUUCUAGCUUAUGAUUUGGUUAUGUUUUUUAGUUUAACUUGUGCUUUUAACCCUCUUUUAUCUUUGUUUCAAUGUAUUGAGCUUUGGGACUCAUUUGAUGCAUUUUGGAAUCAAGUUAGCUCAAAUUUGUGUUUACAGAUCAAUCAACUUCACGGACUGGACAAUACGUGCUCAGUAAGAACCAAAUAAUGAGCCAUAUAUCAUUGGAAAUAUGUGGACGUCUAGUUUUUGGAUCAUUCUACGGUCCAUGAUUCUGAGUCUUCUAGAGGAAGGUAUGCAAGUUUUGGCAACCGAAGGUGAAAUUCUGCAGGAUCUGCGUUACUGUGCCAAAAAUGACAUUUGAAGGUCUUUCCGAUUUUUACUUGAGCUUAGCUACAUAUGGUUGGAAAGAUCAGAUAAAGAGCUUCAAGACCUAUAUUUUUUCAUAAUUGUAUCAAUGAAGUAACAAGCCCAAAACCAGCCUACAAUCAAACUAAAAUGCAUUGUCAUGCAUGACAUGUGCAUGAGAUAAUUGUUUUUGGUGGGGAAGUUAGGUAAAGUUGGUGAAGUGGGUGUUGUAGGUAGAAGCAAAACUCAAUUCAGAUUUUUACUUCCCUUAGGCCUAUAAAUAGUGAGGUUCCCUAAGAUAAACUCAAAACCCUUUUGCUAAAUUUUCCUUUAUGUUAUUCUGAGUUGUACUUUAUUUUUCAUUGUAAUGUAAUUUCUUAUUUUCAGUUUUCAAGUUUGAUUAAUUUCCAAGUUUCAAUUACGAUUCUUGUUCUUAUUCAUUAUGCUUAUAAGUUAAUAUGCUUGUUUGAAUGAUUGAUCACCAUUGAAACUAGUAUGUUAGCUAUCUUGGUAUGAAUUAAGAGUAGACCCCAUAUGCUUUAAUUUGAAUUGAACUAUGAAUAGGAAAAAUAUGUAUGGACAUUCGACAAUAGGGAUUAGAUACAUACUUGGUUGUUUAAAACAUUCUUCUAUGCUUAAUGGAUUUCUAAUGCUUAAUUUAGGUUCGACAACAGAGGAUCAAAUUAGGGAAUUAGGAAUACAAGGUUAGGACCAGACACAAUGGCUUAUUCAGACUUUAGCUAGAAUCAAUCCAUGAAUCUGAAUUGAACUUGUUAACUAAUUUGCUUGAGUUAAUUAUUUUUAUCUUUUAUUUACGUGUUUACUUUCGUCGUUUAAGUUUAGUUUCUGUUUUCCUUACCUAAUCAAAACACCUAAUUUAUAUUUUGUACAGGGAAUCGAAUUGAAUCAAUCUAUCAUCAAUCCUCAUGGGAUCGACCUCGCACUUACACAUGCUAUACUACCCAAAGGCUCAUGCACUUUACGAGUAUCACAAGUUGAGGAUGCAGCUGAAUCAAUUUUGGUGCAACUGAACCCAUAACAAUAGUGCCAUCUCUGUUAUCCACCCACAAAACAUCCCCCAGUGCGACACCAAUGGCCUGGGCAAUGACUACCGUCAUAAGAAAGCCAGGUACACCAUGUAAUUUUACCCAGAAAGUUCCAUGCAUCAAUGGCAUAGAGUGCAUACUACCAUCAUCCGGGAUCUCCGCUAGCAAAAUCAAGGAACGACGAUAUGCCUAAGGUUUAGUGUCAAGAACACUUCUCUGAUCUCGAGCAUCGACAAAGCUCAUCUAGAACCUGUUAGAAUCUAUUUCCUUGAUUCAUACAUCCUCAAUACCAUUCUAUAGUUGCGAAUAAGUUUUGAUAAAGCCAUCAUGAUUGACGGGACUUUAGCCACGAGGCUAUAGGUAAAACCAAGAAAACUAUCAGAGACUGUCGAAGAACCAAUAACCACGCCAAUCUGUUCCCUUGGCAUAAGAAUAAAGUAACUCCCAAAGGAGGGCUCAAUGUCGUCGAUGAACACAUCCCGAUCACAAGGAGGAGAACGGCGCGCAAACGCCACUGAUGGAAGUCUUAGCCACACGACCCUAAUCGCACUAGAAUCCAAACGAGACAGACCCUAGUUGCACACAGGAAAGGGAGGAGCGAUUGGUGCAACCAAGACAUAGGCGGUGACACUAGGACGGAGAACGUCGGAACCCUAGCCAUCACACCCCAAGUCUUUGAGUGAACCAAAGCUACGUUGAACCAAACUUGAACUGCACGAGACACGGAGGGCCAAAGCAGAGGGAGUCCCGACCCAAUUUUAAUUAUCCAUUUAAAUUAUUUAAUUUAAUUAGUUGUGAAAUUUUAAUUUUUGCCCUCGGGGGUUGGGUUAUUUUGGUCACUUUUAAUUCGGUAGGAUUUUGAGAAAAAAUGGUACCAUUGCGUAGAGCGUGUCGAUACGAGUUCGUAGACAUAUAGUGGGCUCAAAUCGGAGUUAUAACGAAGAAGUUACGAUCAACGAAAGUACAGUGGCACAACCAUUAAUAUUUAGAAGUUGGAUUUUAAAAACACCAUAUUUUUCUUCUCUCUCUCUCUCUCUCUCCCCGACCUCACCACUCUCUCCUCGCGAAUAAUGAACGGCCGGCCAUUGUUUGGCCGGCAACCGUGCUCCACCGUCCACCUUCGGCCACAAGGCCGGUACCAAAAAGACCACCUCAACUUCCUCUCUCCGUCCCACUCAAUCCCUACUAUAGCCGCGGUUGAUAUCCCCAGGAAAUUGCAAAAAACCUUCUAGAAUUGCUUCGAAUUUUUCGUCGUCAUUUUCGAAGAUUUCGGCCAUCAUUUUUGUCGAUCUAGUUGAUGAUUAGGUUGAUUAGGAACGAUUUUUGAGUUUUGAAACUUGAUUUACACUCCAAAGUUUUAGCCGGUUUUUGGGUCGAGUUUCUGGCAAGUUCUGGCCACUUUUUGGAUAUGGCCCAAGAACAAAUGUUGCUCCACUAGUUGUCCUGGUCACGUAGGUAUAGGUAUUGAUUGGUGGUUUUAGAAUUUUUCGUUCGCCGAAAUUUUCUCAAGCCACCCAUGCGUAGGCCAUGUUUGGGUGGCCCAUUUGGUCCUAAAAUGUUUUCCAUGUCUUCCUAAGCACGAUGGUAUACUCGAGUUUGAAUUUGGUUAUCGUUUGACUGUCAAUCGGAUUUAAGCAUAUUAGACGUUAUCCGGGUUCGAUAUGUUCAAAUUGUUGGAUCAACUCCAUUUCCAAAUAUGUUGAUUUAGGUACCUCUAGGAUCGUGUAGGAAUUCAAGAAUCGAUCAUAGGAGUCUCGGAUGCUCUGAUUCAAUGAUUCAAAGAUUGCAUAAAACGGUGACCAUCUGAUCGUACAAUCGAGAACGAUCCGACCGCUUGAUCUGGACUAAACUUGUAGGACAUGUUUAGUAAACUUUGUUGAACCCGUAGGAACUUUCGGAUUGGAAAUCAGAGGUCGUGGGCCCAAGUGCUCGGUUGACCAAAUUUGAGAAGUUUGACCUCUCGGUUGACCGAGCAUCUUCCGAGGUUAUUUCACCUUUCGAAACGCGUAGUUGGACCUUAGGAACUCCUCGUUCAUCAUACACACACACACUUUGAAUCUACAAAAGAAAAUUAGGAGUUUGUUUUUAAUGUUCUAGUUCGAAGUAUUGUAAUUAAUAUGGUCCUCUUAUUCUUCAAUAGGAACUCCGGCUCCUCGUACAGAACAGGCAGGAUUCUCUGAAGGUCAAGCAGCUUUGAAUUAUCUGUGAGUGGACUUUGUUUUGAAAUAGCAUUUCAACGAUUAAAUUUCUAUUCAAAAUGGAUUAUUCUGACUAUGAAGUUAUUAUAUAUAUAUUAAUUAUGGAAUUUCGGCUAUUUUGAUAUUUGAGUUUUAUAGUUAUUUUGAAUAUGGAUUAUGCGUGUUGAACAAUUGUUAUUCACUCUGUGAUUAAAUAAUUGGGCAAAUGAUUAAUAUGUGUUGGGGUACUUUGUUGAUUGUUGUAUGAAUAUGUGAUUGCACCAUGCUAAGUACCUUCCCCUGGUUACUAUACCCGCACGUGGUGUUUGAUUAUUCAACUCGAUUUCCGAUCCGAAAGUUUGUACGGGUUCAACAAGGUUUAAUAUACAUGUCCUGCAAGUUUGGUCUGAAUUGAACGGUCGGAUCACUGACGAUCGCAUGAUCGGACGGUUAUCGUUUAAAGCAAACUUUAAGUCAUUGAAUUGGAGCAUCCAGGACUCCGAUUUACAAUCCACGAGUUCUUACACGAUCCUAGAGAUGACUAGAUCAACAUAUGUAAAAAUGGAGUCAAUCCAACGGUCCGAACAUAUCGAACCCGGAUAACGCCUAAUAUGUGAUAUCCAAUCGAAAGUUAAAUGAAAACCAAAUUCAUAUCCGAGCAUACUAUCGUGCUCAGGAUGACACGGAAAUCAUACCAUCCACAAAGUGGCCCACACACCGCCACACACCCCUGCAAUGCGUGAGUGCACAGAAUAAAUUUCGGUGAUCGGAAAAUCUCCAGACUGCCGGUCAAGACUUGUACUUACAUGAUCAGGACAAUGAGUGGAGCAGCUUUUGUUCUUGAACCAAGGCUAAAAAGUGACCAGAAAUUGUCAGAAUCAUGAGCCGAAAUCGGCCAAAAUUUUAAGCUAGAACACAUUGAGAGGAUGAAAAAACAUACCUAGAUUGAAGAAAUUGGGAGCCGGAAUUGCCCGAACGAACUCCAGGAAGUUAUGGGUAAAACUGGCCGAAUUUUGUGAUAAUCCGGAGAAACGCAGCAGCAGUGGCGGCUGGGAAGGGUCGGGAUGGACCGAGGGGAGUGGCUCGGUUAGUUUGGUUCCGAUCUCGUGGCGGCGGCAACCACAAAACCAGCCGGCUGUUUUCGAAGAGGGGGUCUGCUGCUCCAACCAGAGAGAGAGAGAGAGAGAGAGGGAUUUCAUAUUUUUAAAACCCAAUUUUGAAAUAUUUAUGGUUUUGCCAUUAUACUUCUUUUGAUCGUAACUUCUUCGUUACAACUCCGAUUUGAGCCCACUACAUGUCUACGAACUCAUCUCGGCACGAUUUAUAUCAUAGAACCAUUCAUUUCCCCAAAAUCCUUCUAGAUUAAAAAGUGACCAAAAUACCCCUAGUCUCGGGGCAAAAUUGUAAUUUCAAAAUUUAUUAAAUUAAUUCAAUUGACGAAUAAUUUAAAUUUGGGUCAGGAUGUUACAUUUUCAAGUUGCUUGAUUUCUUGAAAAGAUAUAUAUUAUAUUUAUGUUUCUAGAAUAAGUUAUCAAUCAGGAUAUUAUUUUCCUGAUAUAAUUUUAAUUAGGAUUUUUAUUAUUUUCUUAUUAGUCAAGUUUCAGGAAUAUUCUGGAACCUAGGAUUUCUUUGUUUUCUAUUUAAGUUGUAUUAAUCAGUUUUAUCAUGUUAUUGAUCAAAUUUAGAUAUUUUCUUUAUUUUCUUGUGGAUUCCAGUUGCUGAUGAAUUUCAAUUUAUCUUUUUGGGUUUAGACGUUUGUCGAUCUGUAAACUCGUGCUUCCGCGCUGCAUUAUAUAUAUAUAUAUAUAUAUGAGUAAAUUACCAUACACCCCAACCCUCGAAUUAGGACCCAAUCGAACUUAAACCCCCUAACUAAAAAGUCACCCAAUUGAACACCCGAUUAAUUAAAAUGGCCAAUUUAGCCAUUGCCAAUAUGUUUUGUGAAUUUUAUUCAAUUUUUCGUUAACUAUAAAAGGAAAGUUGCAAUUUCCAGUAAAAUAAAUAAUAAAAAAGAAAAAUAAUAAAAAAGAAAAACAUUUAUAAAAAUUAAAAAAUCAGCCUCAUCCAUCACUACUCUCUCUCUCUCUCUCUCUCUCUCUCUCUCUCUCUCUCUAAAUUGAUGAGUCGAUGUUUAGUUGAAGAAGCCCAAACAAUCAGCGGCAAUGGAGAUGUGUCUCUGAGAGGGAGCUAGAUUGAAGCUUUGUCUGUAAAUUUGGAAAUUUUGGAGGAGGAGAGAGAGUUGUCGGAAAAUAUGUGCGUCACUUGAAAUUCUGAGUUUUAGAGGGCUGGGUAAUCUGGGUUUGGAGGGGCUGGGUUUUGGAGGGAGGAGGCUGGGGGUGGGGCUGGGUAAUGAGAGAUGGUGGUGGUUAUGGUGGUAUAGUUGUAGAUCUGAGAUACUGCUGUUAUUGGUUAAUUAUGUUGCGGAUAAUUCUCUUGGGAAGAAUUGAAUGCGCCCAUAAGCAUUUACUUCUUGAUCUUUCAGCUAGGUAGCUCUAGCAAGCUACUUUGUUCAAGAAUUUUGGCUGAGUGUUAGAGUUGAGAGGGGAAGAGACGGGGAGAGAGAAAGCCACCUUUUUUUCCUUUCAUUUUCUAUUUUCUAACUAUUUUAUUUUAUAAUAAUAAUGAUAAUAAUAAUAAUAAUAGUAAUAAUAAUCAAAUAUUAAGUGACGUGGAUGACAUGUAAUUUUUUAGACGGAAAAAUGGACGAAAUUCAAAAAACUUAACAGCAAUGGCUAAAUUAGCGAUUUUAAUUCAUUCGAGAGCUAAAUUAGCUGAUUUUUUUUUUAAUUUCAGGGAUUUAAUUUAUACAAAGGUCAUAUUUCACAAGGUAAAACGGCUGAAAAUCUUAUAUAUAUAUACAGUCCCGAUCUCUUGGACCACAGGAGUCCAAAAGAUUUGUGGUCACUCACCGUUGGAUGUAAAUUCAACGGUUCACUCAAUCUUGAACUCCUUUUAAGAAACUUUUUUGAACCAUUAGAUUAAUAUCCAACGGUGAAUGACCAUAAUCUCUUGGACUCCUGUGGUCCAAGAGAUCAGGAUAUAUGACAGAAAUCCGUACUACAACUUAUCUACAAAAUCACUACGCUUGGCAUUGAACUUGCAGAAUUAUUCGACCAAAACAAAUUUGAAGAAUUUGUUGACUUGGCUUGAUCACAUGAAUGGUUGCCCAAUCCAUUGAUCUUUUUUAAUAAAAAAAGAAAAAGAAAAAAAUUAUUAAAUUUUUUAUAAAAAGAGAAAGAAAUUUAAUUAAGUUGGUACAAUCUGGGGCAUCAAAGAUGGAAAGACAUUGGGUUCAAAAGCUACCAACUUAAUUUGAAUUGUGCAAACUAGAAGUAUAUGAUAGAGAGAGCACACACAGAACUUACACACUAUAAUAAUAUGUUUGAUUGCAUAAACGACCAUCUUAACCAAUUAAUAUUCGAUCAUAAUAAUUUUUAGGUAGUGAAAAACAUAAUGCCAACUUAAUACUUCCAAUAAGGCAUAGCAAUCGUUCCUUCCUUGGCCUUUUCUGCUUUUCACAUAUGAGUUUUUUUUCUUCUCUUAACUGUUGUUGUACCAGAACUGUUUCUGAAGAUAAUCAACAACCUUGUUGUCCACUUGGAAGGCCUUGGCUAGAACAUCAGGAUUGAUGGGAGGCUUGGAGCCAAAAACUGCAUUUGCAAUGGUGAUAACGCCUGGGUUCUGGCUGCUAAGAGCGGCAAGGGCUACAGCGUUGACGUGUCCCACAUUGAGUUGGAAGUGAAUUAGACCAAUUGGGAACACAAACACAUCUCCCUUGUUCAAUACUUUAGUGAAUAGGCGAUUGCCAUCACCGUUGGAUGUAACGAAACCAACAUAGAGUGUACCUUCCACGACUACAAGGAUUUCAGUGCCACGAGGGUGAGUAUGAGGAGGGUUUAGGCCAUUUGGUCCAAAGUCUAUGCGAGCCAGGGAUAUGCCGAGAGUGUUCAAUCCGGCUAUUUGGUCCACGCUCGCAGGUGUCACCGUCGAACCAACCGGAUUUUGUGUGCUUCUUGGAAUUUGAAAUCCGGAGAGGAAGAAAUCAUUCGCAUUGGCAAGCUUAGGAUCCUUGCAGAAUUUCCCAUUCACAAACACCGCUAUCCCAUUUAGAAUCACUGAUCAUACAAAAAAAAAAAAAAAAGUAAUUAAACUUUAGUAUUAGAGCUAUUUGGAUCACAUAUACUUUCUCCUUUGUAACAUAAGUUAAAUCCACAUAAGUGGAACCUAUUUGAUCUGUUAAGAGGUGCUCAUCACGUUGGUCAGUAAAUGUGGUACAGAUAACAUGAUCCAAAUAUCUAUAAAGAUAAGUAAAUAAAUAGAUUAUUGUUCAUGCAUGAUAAGCCAUGCGAAAGCAUAUAGUUAACAGCAAAACAAUCUUCAUAAUAUUCUUAAAGCCUUACCAAAAUAAUUAAUGAGGAAAUAAUAGUAGGGUAAAAUAUAACAUAUAUAGUGCAUAUUAAUGUAUAUACCAGGAGAUUUGGUGUCAUUGAUUGCUACACAGAAGUCCUGAAGAGGACUGGGAUCAGAGGCUGAGGCAAGGAAGGUUGCAAAUGCCAAUAUGGCAAGAGUGCUUAUGAGAAAAAGAACAACUUUCAUCGUAGUUGGCUUAGAGAGUUGGUUUCAGGGUGGGAUGAAAAUCCUUCAUGGGAUAUAAGUCUAUUUAUAGAUUGGAGAGAAUGAACUAGGCUUGUCCUCGUACAGAUAUAAUUCUUCUUGUGGAAGCAGGUAAUUAAAGACUUGAAUAUAAUAUUUAGAAGCAGGUCAAGACUUGGAACUGGAUAAAAGCUUUUUUGUAUUUUUUAUGUCAAAGAAAAAACCAUGUACGAGGUCAGGUGAGGAAGAACAGAAUAUAUAUAAUCAUGAUGACAAAGACCAGGUACUAGGAGUUGUACCAAAAAGAAAGAGUUGUUAAGGGAGAUAAUUAUUUUAAAAUUUUUAGGUGGUAUUUAACCAAUGGAGAUGUUCGUUGUGCUAUAUCUAAGAACCCCUAAAUAAAACCAAAUGGAAUUGUUCAAUGUUUUGUGCUAUAUGGAUUCCUUCUACCAAAGAGAGAGAAAUUCAUGUUUCUCAUGAACAUUGAUGGUGACAAUUUGUCUCCAUAUAAAGUAUAACAGUGCCCCAAAUUGCUCCUGUCAUUUCCACCUGCACCGUAGAAACUUGAGUCCAUGUCUUUUUCUUCUUUUCCAUUUUCCACCUUCUAGCUAGUUUGAAGCUGGUCUUGCUCUCUCUUCACUAUUCUGCGAUUUGGAGUUAAUUUGAUGGCUAAAAUUCUCGCUUGCAUAACAGAUAUGGGCUUAGCCAAAUUGGUUAGAGUGAAUUUACUCCUCAUUCUGCACUCGAGUUCAAAUCUUCAUCUCUAUAGUUUAGAUUAAAUUAAAGUAAAAUAUUAUAUGAAUAAAUUUAAAACAAUUCCGCUUGUAGACUUAAAAUGCCAGUUAGCACUCCCCAACCCCAACCCCAACCCUAAUUUCCCUCUACCUGAACAAUACUAUAUAACCCUAGCUUGAGGGGUGAGGAGGUCACUGUUUCUCCUCCCCACUCCUCUCUUUCUCCCUCACUCUCCUCUCCCCUCUCCUUUCUUCCCCUAAUAGUGAGUAGAAGAUCAUUCUCUUGGGUCCGAUUUUCAGGGCCCUUCCCUCUUCCUUCCGACAUUUCCCUGUUCUUUGUCUUUAAGGGUUUUUUUUUUUUUUUUUUUUGGGUCAAAAAUAUUUCCUAAGUUUGUGUUGUGUUUUGUGGGCUUGUUGCCUUCGUGUGAGUUUUAUAACUCUACUGGGCUCUAUGCCCUUUGUGUUGUAUUUGGUUGAGCUCAUAUUAUGGGCUCACUUUAGUGUAACUAGAUUUGACCUUGUAUUUAAUGAAACGUGAUUUCAACCCAAAAAAAAACAAAUAAAGCUUAAAAUGCAUCCUUCGGGCUAAGAUCCAAAAUGCAGGCCCAUAAAGUGUAACAAAGAUAGAUGGCUGAGAAUAAAAAGGAAGCGAAGUUAUAACCGGGUUGGAAUAGUGUCCCAGUGGGUAGGAAAUGAGGCACAUGGCCCCUUAAAUUUUUAUUUUUAUUUUUAAGCUUCAAAUUUGAGGAAAAAAAAUAGGGCCUAAAAUAUACACUAAAACUCUAUAAAAACAACUAACAUUCCAAUGGGUCUACAGUAACAGAAAAAACCAUUGAAUAUCUUACAUUUUACAACACUAACAUCGCAAUGUUAUAAACACAUAUCAAAUUUCUCACAACAAAACAUAGCCCAAAACAAGCCCAAUUUACUUUUUACUAAAAUCAAAAUGAGGCAAAGAUCGGCUUAAUCAAGUUGGCUGGUGCACUUGAGUUUGAAUCCUCCUUUUCGUAAUUUAGAUUAAUUUAAAGUAGAUUAUCAUUUGUAUAAAAAAUGGCAAAAAGUCAUUUUUGAUCUUUGUAGUUUGUCACUUUUAUCAUUUUGGUCCCCGUUAUUUCAAUUUUGUCAAUUUUGUUUAUGUGAUUUCAAUUUGAAGCAAUUCAAGGACAAUUCUCAAUUUAUAUCAAAUUUUUUUAACUUCUCUUAGUUGUAGAGGAGCAAUUCGGUCAACAAAUAAUUAAAAAAUUAAGACAUUAACAAAAAAAUUCUUAAAAUUGAAAAAAAAAAAAAAAAUUUCCCACCGCACAUACACAUUCCCCACCCCUCCUCUCUACAAAGACACACCAAACCCUCCUACUCCUCCCUACCGCCUUGUCCAUCAAAUCCAGAGCGUUGUCACCAGCUAAAAUAUCGUCAUGGUCCAGCUGCUUAAACAAUGACAAAUUGAGAUUUUAGGGUUUUGGUUGGUGAAUGAUUUAAGUUUUGUGAGAUUGAUGAAAUGAGAAAUUGGGAAAGACCCCAAACACAUUUCAAAGGCUUUUGCUUGCUUAAACAGUUUUCGGGAUUUUCGCAAUGGCCGCCGAACAGGUUUCGGGGACAGCUGGCAUCAAGAGAAUGAGGUUCGAGACUCAGUUGGACUUCCUUUAUAGCACGGCUUUGGGUCAUGGGCAUGAAGCUUCCAUGUCCCUUAGUCCGUUGGGGAUAAGAAGGGCAAGCUUGAGGGAGGAGAUUGAUACUUCCACGCCUUUCGAGUCGAUUGAAGAGGCUGUGACCCAUUUUGGUGGUUGCGCAUCUUGAAGCCACAUGGACCUAGUAAAGUUUAUUUUGUGGUGUUAUUCUGUAGGCUUUCAAAUUAGAUUUGCCGAACUUUUUGAAUAGAGAAGACUUUGUAAAGUGAGACUUUGGUAUGUAGGAGAUAGUGGAAUUACCCAUUGGAGCAAAACCUUACCAGAUUUGGCGAAGUUAAUCUCAACAGACUGCACGGCGCGCUACCAUGGAUCGGAUAAGAGGGCGGCGGAGGGUGUGGGAGUGAAGGAGGAGGUGCGCUACCAUGGAUCGGAUAAGAGGGCGGCGGAGGGUGUGGGAGUGAAGGAGGAGGUAGGGACGGAUCCAUGAUUUUUUAAAUGAAUUGGACUGGAUUUACCUUAUAAAGAAAAAUGAUAACAACGGACUGCACGAUGAAUUUAAUUGAUAACAAAAAAAUGAUACACCUAAUUAAUGAGGACAUAAUGAGCCAUAUACCCUUUAAAAUGCAUCUAAUACAUAAGAUAGAAAGAUAGUAAUAAAUAAAUAAACAUGCAAUGCAAAUACAAAAUAAAAUUAUUUAAGUUGCAUUCUUCGAAUCUUUAAAGAAUUAAAAUUAUUCAAGUUGCAUUCUUCGAAUCUUUAAAGAAUUAAAAUUAUUCAUUAUUCAUUCAUUAUUGGUAUUAUCAGUUUUUUAUUUAUUUUUUAUUUUUUUAUUGGUUAUGUGUUAAUACUACAUCACAUUUAUAAAAAACUUGUCUUUGAAAAAAAAAAAACUUGAAAAAAAUCCAUACGAGCUAUAACCCAUUGUAGAGGCUUUUGCGUUCUAGCAGCUGCAAAUGAGCCUGGGCUGCUGUAAAGAGCAAAUGGAUGAAGUUGUCCUUGUGCAUGAGUUCAAGAAUCAAGCUCCAAGAGUGCUUCAAAAAGUUCGUACAGCCUUAGGAAGCACUUUGGUUCCAUUCAUCAACAAGAUAGACAACUGUUAUAGAUCAAUAUUAUGGCUUGGCUUGAGGAGCUUGUGGCAUGGGAGCUAAGCCUCCAUGAGUUUAGCAAUAGAGAGAGAAAUCUUGGAUUUCUUAUGGGAAACAGAGAUUCAGAGAAAAGAGGGAGGGAAAUUUGGGAAGAUUUGAUGAAGGAAAAGAGGGUGAGAUAGGGAUAAAAGAAUGAGUGGCUUGAAUAGAUUUUCCAUCAGAUUGACGAUUGCUUGGUCGUGCUCUAGAUGGUUGUUUUGUUGGGUAGGAGGUGCCUCCUUUUAUAGGCACUGAAAGCCUCUUUUGGCCCAGGAACCCUAGCUAGCUUUCCCCAAAUUUUUCCAAGUCUUCUCCUCCAUUUCUCUUUACUUCCUUCGAUUCAACCCUCUUUGGUGAAAAUUCCUUAAUCCAACCACACUGGGGUAGAGCUUUUUAGGGGUUUUCCUGCAGCUGACUCCUUCCAUCCUAGGUGAGGGACCUCUUGCUUUUCCUCCUUAUUUUCCUACCACAGCUUACAGAGGAAAGAAUGGGUAAGGGUGCUAGUCUAAAAGGUGUCUUACUUCCAGCAGCCCAUGCACAUGGGUUUCGCUUGGUUUUAAUGAUAGCUUGGUUUUGAUUUGGUUUUAAUAGGGUGUUGGGGGUAUUUUGGAAGGUGUUGGAUAUUUUUAUAAGAUGUUGGGCUAUCUCCCUAAGGUGUUAGACUACUUCUCUAAGGUCAUGCGUCAUUUCUCUAAGGAGUUGGACAUUUUCUCUCUCAUGCAUGCCUAUGUGAUUGGGCUUAAGAAAUGGGCCUGAGUUUUGGUGCUCCCAAGCAGCUCAAAUCUUCCACUCCUUGGGCCUCAUGAACACUCAUAACCAUCCAUACCAUAACCCGCUCAGCAAGCUCUAGGCAUUCGCGCGGUUUGGGCCCACUUAAGCACAUAGCGUGGCUUGGUGCCAAAAUAAAGGUUUUUUUCGCUCAACGUAUCAUGUUAUUUGGCAUGUUUGUGCUCAAGCUUUUUUUGUAUUGUAAUGGGCUAUGGCUGGGCUAAACGGUGCUUGACGGGACAAUAAGCGCGGGUUCAUGAAACUAGUACAUUUUACAGGCUUGUUACGACUUCCCUGCAUGGCGGGUUGUGUAUUUGCUUGGCGCGGCACAUGGAUCAUGACUUUUGCAAGUGCAUACGACAAAUUCUUGCGUACUCCAGUUGGGCUCCUUUCUCAGUUAAUUGUUGUACUGGACUAGAAAUAUAUUUUGGCCCAGCCUUAGAUUUUUUAGGCAUCGACAUUAGCCCCUUGAUUAUUGGGGCCAUGAAUGGGUAUUGAAAUGGUCUGAAUAAUCAAACCCAACUAAAAAUCGAAUUCAUGGUGGUGACGUGACCUUUCCCCUCCUUUUUUUUUCCUUUUUUUUUUCUCCUUAUGCGUGAAAAGGGUAAGUCCCUCUCUACAUCCUUUUUUUUUUUUUUUGCUUUCUUCAGUAAACCUAGAGCGAGAGAGAACGACAAUAAAGAAAUAACAGGAGCACCCGUUUGAGGCCAUUGGAAGCCCACACUAAUCUCACACCCCGUCGCUCAUUGUGUGAAGAACUUGCUCACAGCCACUGGAAGGAAUCCCAAAUUUCUAUCCCCUUUUGGUCCGAUUGAAGUUGUCUCGGGGGAGCUCUUUUCUGUUUUCCUUUCUUUUGAAUACUAGCUCCUCCGGUCUUUUUGUCAUCGUUGUAUGCGUCGAUGCCGUGGUUGCACGUAGAACUGGCAAUAUUGUACACAACCCGUUAACAUGACACGAAUUCGUACGAAAAAUUUAGUAUUUGUGUCUAAGUUAUUGUGCCAUGUUGAGAUCUUGUUGACCCGUUACUCAUUCGUGAACACACGAACCAAACCGUUAAGUGAAGGUAAUUUUGUAAUUUUCAAUUCUAAAAAAUCCCUCCUAACCCUAGCAUCUCUUCAUUCCGCAUCGUCUCUACGUCUCCUCUUUGCAGCUUUCUCUCCCUCAAGUCUUCAUCUUCUCCUUCUUCUUGGAAUCUCUCUCUCGAUUUCUCUCUUUCAAAAACCUCUGUCAACAACCUCAUCUUCUUCUUCGUCCUCUUGUCAUGGAUUACCCAUUUUAGACUUUUCAGUUUCUUAACAGUAGGCUUCCUUCCAGGCCUUAGAGGAGUUAAACUAUUCAACAAUAGGCUCCCUAGUUCAAUCCAUCUUUCAUUGGGUUUUUUUCUUCAGGCCGUGGGGAAAAAUAACAUAAUGGAUGGGGGGAGCGAAUGGGUCUCUCUAUGUUUGUGGGUUUUUUUUUUGUACUAUUGCCAAAUCAUUCUCAGAGAAUGAAGAAAAAAAAUAAAGAAAGAGGGGAGAGAGAGAGAGAGAGAGAGAGAGAGAGACAGACAGACAGACAGACAGAGAGAGAAAGAAAGAAUGGGGAAAGCUACGAACAGUGCGGAGAGAGAAAGCUCCAAUCCAUUCACCCCACCAUCCAGCUUUCAAUCUCAACGAUCACCUAUAAUCUCCCCUUCCUUCCUUUCAUAACUCUCUUUUUCUUUUUCCUCCUUAAUUUCUUCUCUCUUGUUAGUGGCUGUUUAAUGGAAUGUAUUUGGCUCAAAAAAGAAAUACCAGCUUCAAAGCAUGAUGGUUUUUUAUUUUUAUUUUUAUUUUUUUUACUUUUCAUUUUUUAAAAUUUAAAAUUUUUAUUUUUUAUUAUUCUUAACGGAUGAAACGAGUCGUGUCGUGUGAUUCGCGAAUUGUAACCGGUCGUGUUCAUGUUUGAUACUUUUCACCCGUUUUCUUAACAGGUCGUGUCUUGUCAUCCGUUAAGAAAAGCGGGUUGACACGAACAUUGCAAACAUGACACGAAUGCCAGGUCUAGCCGCUAGAAGGGGAGGUCACACGAGUGUCUCCUGGUUAUCCCCUUUUGACUGGAAGAGAACCGUGAGGGAGAGCUGCGGUAAGCAUCGCCCCCUCUUCGUUCCUUUUUUUUUUUUUUUUUGCUUGUAAGGAAUUAUAUGAAGAAGAAGAUUGAAGUUUCAUGGUUCUUCUUCCUUGUUCCCUGCUGUUGUGCACUGUUUUGCUAUUGUAUGUGCGUGUGUUUUUUUUUUUCUUGAAAUGUAAGAUCCCACAUCAACCAACAGAGAGGGGGUGAUGUGCCUUAUAUGUGCACACCCGCAUCCAUCUAGCACAAGGCCUUUUGGGAGCUCACUGGCUUCGGAGUCGUAGAAACUCCGAAGUUAAGCGAGUUGGGGGCCAGAGCAAUCCCAGAAUGGGUGACCCACUGGGAAGUUGGUCGUGAGCUCCCAAAAAUAAAACCGUGAGGGUCAGAGAGGGGGGCCCAAAGCGGACAAUAUCGUGCUACGGCUGAGUUGAUCCCGGGAUGUGACAUGAAAUAAGAUAAUAUCCACCAAUUUGGGAACAUUAGACACUCACUGAGUAAUAGCUUGUCUUGAUUGAGUGAAAAACCUGUAGAAGAUGCUUAGGUAAGGUUAGAAGAGGACAAAAGUAUGGCAUCAUCUCUGUCAUAUGCUUGAUUUUUUUGAACCCAUGUCUGUAGGGUGAAUGACUUUGCUUUUUCAUCUAAAACAAUAGCCAAUUUGUGGUCUCGUGACAUUAAGGAAAUUAGCUUUGCUGUGUGGAUUUCCAUGAUGCUGACGAAAUUGUUUUACAGGCUUGUCCUUUUCUCUUUGCUAGGUUGAUUGUCUUGCGAUUUGUGUUGGCUUCAAGUCCAACUUAGAAAUCUAGCACCAUCCUAUUCUAACAUUUAUCCUUAUUUCGCCUUGCAGGUCGCAUUUCUUUGGUGUGGGGGACUAGCUUUCGAAACCGCAGGGUGUAUAGUUCUUUAGGACAGUUGACCACAUUUGGGCUUGAGUUGUACCCUUUUUUUUUUUUUUUUGUUUGGAGAGCCUAAAGCUCAUGUUGUUGGAACCUUGAAACAUAGCAUUGUUACAUACUUUUUGCCAAAAUUUUGAUUUAGAAUACUUGAGAUAUUAAGUCUCGGCUUGUUUUAUACGCUUUGUUUGAUUGGAAAUGAUGGAAUGCAUUGAGAUAAUGUGCUCGAGCUUGUUUUGUACACUUCGCUUGGUUGGAAAUGAUGAAACGCAUGAAUUGCUUGAGAUUUUAAUAGGUUGGAUUGUGGUAAGUGCAAGGUACAUGCUGUCGAAAUUUUGGCAGAAUCCUUAAACAAAGCCUCGAUGCACUGUUUUAAUGCUUUUUGAAAGACCUCCUUAGAUAUUUAAUCAUGCAUACCCCUCUUAUCAUUCUUUAGAGAAGCCAAGUCGACACAUGUUUUUGAAGAGAUUCUCGUGAAAUCCGAGACUUUAGUUGCCGUAAAGCUUUGAGCAUGCACCCAAUUAUUUUCUUGUUCUAGCACCCCAAAGCGUACACAUUUUGUUGUACAUUUCUUCCUAAUAGCUUGGUCUUGCUCACCCCAUGUAAUUUUUUUUUGGCACGGUGCUUGUUAUCAGUUUGGGAUCCCAUUUGAGUGACUUCGCUUGUAUACUUACUACUGAAUGACGUUUUUCUUCUUCUUCUCUUUUUUUUUUUUUUUUUGGGAAAUUUGCUUACGGUUUUUUCUUAUACAUAUACACACAUAUACUUUUUCUUUUUUCAACGAAAAGGAACUUCGAAAUAAAGAAAGGGAAAAGCUUUAGGGACUGAUUUUUUCAAAGUACACCUUCAUUUGCAUUGCAAAGUCCAUUUAACACCUUGGCAUGAUGGUGCUUUUUACAAAAGUUUUUCCAAAAGCAUAAGGUAAGAAUAUAGAAGGAGCUCAUAUCUAAAACGGAAAGAAAAGCAAUAACAAAAGGAUAGAAUGCAAGGUUAAUUUAGCAGUAGUAAGGCUUGAGUCACUUCCUGUUGAUGGGAUCCAUUAGCAUGCCUUCCUUGAUAGAGACCAAACGGUAGUAGCCACUGUUGUAAGCUUCUUAGACUGCGAACGGGCCUUUCAUGUCUUCGUCAGUGGAGGCAACAACAUUUUCAUUUUCCAAAAACAACCUUUGUAGUUGGGCAGUAAAGCAAUGAGGGCCAUACUAUACAGAGAUGUUCUUAAGGGCUACGACAGCUGUUUACCUUGCUUGUGGUCCAAAGCCAAGUUGGUCGAAGAGUGACUUGAACUUUGGAUUCCUUGAAAAACCUGUGAAGUGGUAGGCCCCUGCUUCAUACCUAGGUAACGCUCCAUCACACUCGUUUCAGCUUCUGUGAGAUUAUGGAACAUUACUCCGGCUGUUUCUUGAUAAUCUUACUGGCCAAAUGGAGCCCCCAAGUGGCGUUCUUCCGACAUGUCCAAUGUGAAUACUUCGUUGUUGGAACCAUCCUUUCAUCCAUCAAUAAGUGGCCAUGAGGUGUUAUAGCUCGAGGGUUUUGAAUAUUUAUGCCAGUAGGGUUUCUCCAUGUUUCCGCAAGGCUCCUAAAUAGCCUCCGGUGGCUUUAGGUCAUUCUUCCAUGGGUGGCACAACUCAUCAUCAUCAAGCAAGUCAUCAAAGCAUGUAAUGACGGCGGCUAUCUCCUUUCCUCUACACUUCGAUAAGCGAUCUUCGUCAAUAGCCUGCUUCUUGGAGAAUUGCUUAAGAGUUUCAUUAUGUAUCUUGGCGUGCAAGAUUUUCCUCAAAGUUUGGCAGGCAGUGGUUGGAUGUCCCACAAACUAGUGGUAAUGGCAGUACCUCGAAUCACCCUUUUCUUCUAUGGGUAAAAGUAACUUUAUUUGCUACGUCCGGUCUCAUAAUUGGGGGCAGCUCGAGUUCUAGUUCUUUACAAGACAAAUGGGAACUGUAGCUAAUAAGUGUGCCCUAAGUGUAAUCCUACUUAAGUGGAAUCCUACUUAUACUAUUUCUACUAUAUUAGCAUGUUAGUUUCCAAGUUAUUAAUAGCUAGGUAGCUAAGCCAAUAGUAGUUUAGUUCUAGUCGGGACAUGACGCUACAUGGGAGGUUUGAUUACACCAUCAACAAACAUUGUAUCAAGAAUGACGUGGAACUCUUCAUCUUUGCACGGUAGUGGCGGGGUACGUCUCCUUGUCUUUUCUUUUGUGUGAAUUGUAGUCACUAGAUGAUUUGUCAUCCAUAGCUAACAUCUAUUGUGCUUCAUUCUUUUCACUCCUCCAAACAUUCUGUCCAGUUGGUUUGACUGACAUGCUUGUUUUCCUCACUGUUUCCAACAGUCGAGAAAAUUGACUAAUGCUAAUAUUCUGCAGAUAAACUCUGUACUCUGCCACAAUGUUACUUAUGUAGAUCUCUACAAGUGCUUCCUCAUCUUUCUCAUCACAACAAUCCAAAGCCAAGUCUCGGAAUUAGCCCACGAACUCCACAUGGUCCUCCAAAUGCCUUUGGCAAGUGUUGUUGAGUUGAGUCGUAGCGACCGUUUCUUCAUGCUGAAAGUACUUCUUAUAGAACCUUCCUGCCAAGUCCUCCCAAGAGCGGACAGAGUCUAGUGCCAGUGUUGUGUACCACGUAUAUGCACGGUCAGUAAGGCUUUUUGAAAAUUUUCGGAGACGGAGGUUAUGAUCACCGACGUGUGGUCCCAAAGCGUCAAUGAAACAGCUGACAUGCUCCUUUGGGCUUCAUUUCCUUCGGUCAAAAAGGAUAAAUCUUGGUGUCACAUAGCCUUCAGAGUAUGACUACUAGAGUAGAUUUGAUGGAUAUGGUGGUUGAGGGACAUAUUUCCAAUCUUCCUGGCUUCGGUUUAGUUCCUUUUCCAGUAUAGCAAUGACAUAUUCCUAGGUGACAAAAGACGGCCUCUUUUGCUCAGAACUUUUUUCGGCAGUAGCGUUCUCUCGUGUUCUUUGCUUAGCUUGGAGACUGAACUUUUUAGUUCCUUGAUUGUGUCCACAAUCUCCUUCUGGGUUUGCCCCAUAGCAUAAUUGGCUGCAAUGAGAUCUGUGAGGCUAUAAGCUUCCUCGCUUGCAGGCCCCUCUUCUCUACCGUAGGCUUUUUGCUUUAACUCUGAGUCACCGUGGUCCGACUCGUCUUGGGAAGCCAUGGUAUUGCUUCUGGUCUUCUUCUUUAGAGGCAUUGGUGAAGAUAGUGGUCUGAUCCCCAGUAAAGCCACCAAUUUAUGUAGGAUUUUUCAUUCCAACAGCUGCAAAUGGGCCUAGGGUGCUGUAAAGAGCAAAUGGAUGAAGUUGAUCCUGUUCCUGAGUUCAAGAAUCAGACCCCAAGAGUGCUUCAAAAAGUUCAUGGAGCCUUAGGAAGCACUUUGAUUCCUUUCAUUAACAAGACAGACAAUUGUUACAGAUCAAUAUUAUGGCUUGGCUUGAGGAGCUUGUGGCAUAAGAGCUAAGCCUUUAUGAGUUUAGCAAUAGAGAGAGAAAGCUUAGAUUUCUUAUGGGAGACAGAGGUUCAAAACAAGGGGAGAGGGAAAUUUGGGAAGAUUUGAUGAGGGAAGAAAGGAAGAUAUGGGGAUAAAAGAAUGGGUGGCUUGAGUAGAUUUUCCAGCAGCCAGACGAUUGCUUGGUCGUGCUCUGGAUGGUUGUUUUGCUGGGUAGGAGUUGCCUCUUUUUAUAGGCGUUGGAAGCCUCUCCUAGCCCAGGAACGUUAGUUGGGUUUCCCCAAAUUUUGCCCAGUCUUUUCCUCCAUUUCUCUUCACUUCCUUCGAUUCAAUCCUCUUUGGUGAAAAUUCCUUAAUCCAAGCACAUUGAAGCAAAGCUUUUUGGGUCUCCAAGGUUUUCUUGCAGCUGACUUCUUCCAUCCUGGGUGAGGCGCCUCUUGCUUUUUCUCCUUAUUUUCCUACCAAAUCUUGCAGAGGAAAGAAUGGGUAAGGGUGCUAGUCUAAAAGGUGCCUUACAUCCAGCAGCCCGUGCACAUGGGUUUCACUUGGUUUUAAUAGGGUGCUGGGGUAUUUUCCAAAGUGAUGGAUAUUUUUCUAAGGUGCUGGGCUAUUUCUCUAAGGUGUUGGACUACUUCUUUAAGGUCAUGGCCCAUUUCUCUAAGGUGUUGGACAGUUUCUCUCUCAUGCUUGCCUAUGCGAUUGGCCUCAAGAAAUGGGCUUGAGUUUUGGUGCUCCCAAGCAUCCCAAAACUUCCACUCCUUUGACUAUCAAUGGGUCUCAUGAACAUUCGUAACCAUCCAUACCACAACCCACUCAGCAAGCCCCAAGCAUUCGCUUGGCUUGAGCCCACUUAAAGCUUGUAGCGUGGCUUGGUGCCAGAAUAAAGAUUUUUUUCUCUCGGCGUUGCGUGUUAUUUGGCGUGUUUGUGCUCAAGCUUUUCCCGUAUUGUAAUGGGCUGCGGCCGGGCUAAACGGUGCUUGACGGGACAAUAAGCGCUGGUUCAUGGAACCAGUACAUUUUACAGGCUUGUUACGACCUCCCUGUGUGGCUGGCUGCGUAUUUGCUUGGCGCGGCACGUGGACCAUGACUUGUGCGAGUACAUACGACAAAUUCUUGCCUACUCUAGUCGGGCUCCUUUCUCGGUUAAGUGUUGUACUGGACUAGAAAUAUAUUUGGGUCCAGCCUUAUAUAUUUUGGGCCUCAACACCCUAUAACCCCCAACAUAUAUUCAUCCUUGUUUAAGAGUGAAAUUUACUAUUCAAUGAACUAUGAUAUGAUGACUUAACGAGUGUGGUAUUUCUAUAUUUCGUACUAAGUAUGAGAACAUACCAUUAAAAAAUCGGACACCAAUAUUAAAGAUUUUAGUGAAAAAUUAGUAAAAUAAUACCGUGUCAUUUUGUAGUAAUGUAGUGAAAAAUACUACUAAACUAUAAUCUAAUAUAAUUGGUAAAAAAAUUAGUAAUGUUGUAGGAACUGAAAUCAUUUCCAAAACUUUGGAUCAUAUUAUUCCACUUUCAUGUCAUUUCGUAACCAAUUUUGUGUUGAUAUCUCUGGUAUUAUUGUUGAAAGUUUGUAGGGCUACUUCUUUAGUGGCAACCCAUCUCCGUAAUUUGGUCUGCCAUUCCUUAGGGCAGACAAGUCUUUCUCAUAUCCCAAAAAAUUAAAAGAACAACUUGAAUUGAUUGAUUUCGUAAUAGGUUAGCAAAAAAUAUAUAUUUGGUUUUGGUGAAACUUAAGAAUUUUAUUUUAUUCUUAUUAAAAAAAUAAAAAAAAAUAAAAAACAAGAAAACAAGAAGAAAAAGUAAGGGACUUGUAGCAAUCAAGUGGAUAACAACAUUUACCAUCAUAACCGAGAUCCUCAGUUCGAUUCUCUCAUCUCUCAAUAUCCUUUGUAAAAACAGAAAAAGCAUAAGAUUCUCAAUUAAUUAACCUCAAAUUCUUUUGGUCGAUCUUCAACAUGCAUGUAUUUUUUCUGGUUGUGGUCCACUAUUAUUUAUGAUAAUACUUGUAAGAUUCUCAAUUCACCUUCUCGAAUUCUUUCCAAGGUUAAAUUUGACAUAUAACUUGAUACUUCUUGAUAUGGUCUAAUUUGCCCCUUCUAUUUCUUUUAUUCUCGUUGUCUGCCUUGAUUUGAUCUGAUAUGUGUGAUUUACUUUCCCUUUUCCUCUGCCCUAUGUCAGAUUUAUCUAGGUUAUAAGCUUUAGUUAAUUUAAUGUUGUGACUUUCUACUUUUAAGUUGAAUUUUUUAAAUCAUGUUCCAAUUUCAAUCCCCGUCUCUAACGGUUUCCUAGACCGAAUAAGCUUUUCUGUACACUAUAUAAGGACAUGGAUAUUUACCUUAUGAAUCACACAAAUCAAACCUAGCUAGUUUUUCUUUUUCUUGGGUUGGUGCAUGCACUUUCAGGGUUCGUAAAGCCAAGGUGACGAUCAAUCCAAAAGAACAAAAAACGUGAUGGCCAAGACAAUCAACAGAGAAGAGCUGGGCAAGGUUGAGAUUAUAUUAGACCAAGAAUUAGAGAAAGCAAAAGGUGAGAUCGGUGUUGGGGACGCUAUAUACUUGGAGAAGCUAUUAUCCGAAAUCAGGGAUAAGUGUGACCAGGGAUUGCAGAACCUCAAAGCCAAACAGAGCGAGUACAAGUUAUGGGCGGACAUGUUGGAGCAGGAGUUUCAGCUGAAGUUGAAAAAGAAGAAGGAAAAGUUUGAGGAGAGGAUGAAGAGAGAGAAGGAGAAGCACAGAGAAGAGAAGGAAAAGUGGGAGGAAGAGAGAAGUUUAUUGAACGCAAAGUAUGAGGCGAUGCGGUGGACUUAAGCUGGGUUUAUUGUGGGUUAUAUAUUUUGAUUAUUUUGAUUAUGUAUUACUCUUUUUCCUUAUUGUUAAUCAGAAGAGUUAUCAAUUAAGUUUUGGCCCUGUUGUUCUUGUUCUUCUGAAAAUUAGCACCAUCAACAUUUGUUUUUGCUAUAGGAACAGGAUGCUCUACUUGUGUUUUGAUGCUUGUAUAAUGCUUAUGUCCAAAACAAUGUUCUUUUUGUGAGUUCAAUGGUGUUCUGAAUUUUUUUUUCCCGUUUUACAAGCGAUAUUUUAAAGCGAAGAAGAUUCGAACUUGGAUUCAACUAUAUCACGGACGGACCUAGAAUUUUAAAAUUGGGCUCUACAUACACAUUUGCAACUAAAGCAAUUAUUAAUCAACAACCCACAAAAUAUAAUAAAUCACCAAGAUGUUUACGCGAAAAAAAAAAAAUCACUGUUAAGGUUGAAGAUUUACUUGGUUAAAUGACACAGAAAUGGGCUUGAAAUAGAAUAGGUUUUAAUUGGUGUUGCAAAGUGGCUGCUUUUUAGGUUUUUGUUAGUUCAAGUGAUUCGGCCAGGAUUAGUAUAUAUGUUAUGUCUUAUGUAGAUGAGAUGAUGGUUCCUAUACAAGACUAUUCUGGAAUAGUCAAAGAGAAUUCAAAUUCUAUUCUUAUUCUUUCCUGAUUGAUUGUUUUGGCUUAUCUUUUUUCUGAGUAAGGAGUAUUGAAGAUUCUAUUAGCAAAAUAAAAACCCACCUGGACUAUAUAGUCCAGGUAAGUCCCUUCAUAGGUCCUUCUCUGGGUGGAGGAUGAAGUCAUCCUGGGGCUGAGCGUUGGGUUGGAGUUGUGAGGAGAAUGGGAGAGAGGUUUUAUUUUUAUUUUAAAAUUAUUAUUUUUUAAUUUAUAUUUCGAUUACUUUUUUUUAGAAGGAAUGCAUUUUUUUAGUAAUUUGUGGAUUAAAUUGCCCCUCCACAACUAACAGAAGUAAAAAAAAAUUUGACAGAAAUUGAGAAUUGUACUUGAAUUGCUUCAAAUUGAAACCACAAAGGUAAAAUUGACUAAAUUGAAAUAACAUGGACUAAAGUGAUAAAAAUAAUAAAUUACAAGAACCAAAAAUAAAUUUUUGCCUAAAAAAUUUCCCAAAAUUAUAUCAUUCCACUUUUUACGAAAAAAACGCUGCAAAAACAAAAAAAUUAAACACCCACACCCAAGGCAUCGUCCAUGAUGCAUUGCCUUCCCAUAUCGAGCUCUGAGAAAUCAAAUGGCCAAAACAAACCACCAUAACCGCUGCAAACCUCCACAAACUUCCACUAACCACUAUUCAUUCGAAUCUGCAUCAACAACAUAAAAUCACCACGAAGCAACAACACUAAAUCACGAAGCAAAAGCAUUUCAAGAAACCUACCUAGCUUUGACAACAAAGGUAUAAUCUGAAAACCAUAUACUAUUUUUUUUUUCUUUGAAAUAUGUCUUAGAUUCAAGUUACUAACAUGCAAUAACAGUUAAGCAUACUAAAGAAACCGAUGAAUAUGCAAAGAAAAUCAUCAUUUAGGCAUUUGGUAUCCUAUUUAAAUAGGGAACUCAAAAACCUUGAUUUUUCAUAAAAACAAGUCGUUCUUAAAUCUAUUUUUAUGAUUCAAAAACUUGUUUGGUAUGCAACUUGAAAACUAUUUUCAAAUCUUAAAAAUUUGAGAACUUGUGGGUUGUUAGAACAAAACUGAAAAAACAUAUAUUUUUUGUUCUUAAUAAUUGGGGUGUUUUUUUAGUUGUUCUUGAGUUUGAGUUUUUAAAAAUAGAGCACCAAACAGGUUUUCUUUGUUUUGGACUCAAAUUCUGUUUUUGAGUUUAAAAAGUUGGAUUCAAGUUAAAGACUCGACCACUUUUAAGAUAAACCCACUUUUUACAAUUUUAAAAUUGUCUCCAAGUAAAAACGAAAUCGUCAAGAGAUAGUUGAUCCGGGGGGGUUUGCCUCUAUAUCUUGUUGGAUCUUUGGGGUUAUUCGACUUUUGGUGGAUGUAUGUCGAUCUACUUUUCUUUUGCAGAUAUAUUGCCUCAAAUCUGGGUAGCUUUGGUUGUUCCUCAUCUUACGAGGGUGCUCUUUGAGGUAUUGUAGCUUGGUCAUGGUAGAUCCACUACUCAUUAAUGCAUUGAGAUCUUGGAGUAAUUAGGUGGCGCUCUCUAUGUCAUGUCCCAAAGGAAGAUUAGCAGUCAUUGGUUUUCCUUUUGUUGGCAUUGUUUUAGCUUUUUUGUAUUGGUUUAGUUUGUUAAAUAAAGUCAGGAAACUUUAUCAGUUUUUGUGUUUUUUCUCUCUUGAUUUCAAAAACUUGGUUGAGUUUGUUGUGUGUUCUUAGUCUCUUUAGGAGAGUUAUGCCAGUUAGCUGCUAGUUUUUGUCAUUGAUGUCAUUGGACUGUAUUCGAAAAAAUUAUGGCAAUUGAAAAGGGUUAUAGGAAAGUGAUUUUCGAGUGAGAUUCUCUCCAGAUCAUUUCAAAUUUUCGGCUAACUCAGGAUCUUUAACUCAGUUCCACUAGGGAAGUUUUAGUUCACACUCAACCUUCUGGGGAAAAUAAUGAAAAAGAAAAGAUUUUAUAAUGGAUUGGAGAGUUCAGAUGAUGCUUACAUAGUUUCAAGAUCUUUGACUCAGUUCCACUAUUUGGUGUUUCAGUAAUCUACCCUUUGUAAGGGGCUAUUAGGGUUGUUUAAUACGAUUGAAGUCAAGUGAGGAAGAAAAUAUAUGUAUAAUAAUGAUGACAAAGAACAGGUAUUAAACCAAGAAGAGUUAGUUGAGUUGGUAAGGGUUAUGUAUUGUGUCUAUUAGUGUUUGAGUCUCGUUACCAACCAUCCUCGUUGGUGUGCGAUCUAUAAUUUCCUACAUAAAUCCAUAUUGAUAGCAGCUGGCAGUUAGGUGUCACGCGUAAGACCUUCCAGCUUGAAGUUGUAGAUUUGAUGAGAGUAGCCAAUUUCCCCCUAAACUUUAUUUCAAAAAAGAAAAAAAGAAAAAGAAAAAAAGAACAAGUAUUAAGAGUUGUUCCAAAAACCAGGGUUGGUUUAAACCAUUAUGAGUAGUUUGUUUUGUUUGGGGUUUUAUCCCCUCAUUUCAACACCAACAACAACAACAACAAAGCAGGGUCGGUCUAAAUUACAUAUUUCUAUCACCUAAGAAUUGGUGUUUUGUUAUUAUUUAUAAUCAACUAAUCAUUAGAAUUUUUUGAGAAAAUAUUUAUCCAAGGAUAGACUUUGACUAAUACCUUCUUCCUUUUCUUUCUUUUUUUUGUUGUCUUUUUAGAUUUUCAGAGAGUUGUUUUUUUAUAAUAAAUACAAGCAACAACAAUAAAAAUCAACUAAAAAUAUGGUCAAUCAGCACGCAACGCAAGUAUGAAAGAUUGGAAAACCUACCCGUUCUCUUGUUGUGCUCGCUUGGCAAUACCCGAAUGAAGUGAUUAAAAUCGAUAUCGACGAGUGCAGAAAAGAUGAGGAUGGAUGCAUUGCUGGUGGUGGUGUACUAAGAGAUAGUUCUGGAUAGUGGAUUAGAGGCUUUGCUGUUAAUCUUGGUGUAGGAUAAGUCUUGGAAGCUGAGUUAUGGGGCAUCUAUCUUGGACUGAAAAUUGCCUGGGAUAUGGGUUGCAGUGCAGUUGUGCUUGAGUUUGACUCAGCAAUUGCGGUACACCUGCUUAAUAAAGAUGUGGAAGACUUUCAUCCUCUUGUUACUAUGUUGUGGGGAUGCCAAGACUAUAUAGACAAAAACUGAGUAUGUUCCAUUCAUCAUGUAUAUCGUGAGUGCAAUAUGGUGGCAAAUAGAUUAGCUAAAUUAGGUUCAUGUCUUGAGUUGGGUCUGUCAUCAUGUCUUGAGUUAGAUCCUCCUUAUAUUAUUAGGUCUUUUCUUAAUGAAGAUUUACUUGGAGUAUGUAGGCCUCGAGCCAUUGUUUAAUUUCUCUGUUGGGUGUUAGCCCCGUUUCUUCACCGAAAAAAAGAAAGAUUGGAACUUUAACAAUAAUUUAACUAAUGAACAAAGACCAAUAAAACCUAGGUUGUGAACUUUUUGUUCAAAUAAUUAAAACUUAAAACUUCGAUUUUCCAAUUGCAAGUAACAAGAAUUCCUGCCAAGUGAAAAUUAACUUGAGUCAAUUAAUUCUUUAAAGUCGUCAACGGAGAGUUGACCAAGGUAACCUCAAUUCCAACCCUCUAAACAUCCAAAGCCACAUAAAUAUUAAAUAAUAAACAAAACUAACAAAGUAAAUCGACAAAACUAAACUAAGCAUACAUUGUGACGUCCCUAAAAACUUGUUAAAGAUUGGCUCACCAUUGAUGUGGGGAAGUAAACAAGUAGAAGAAAACAACAAAAGGAGGUUGCUAGAUCAUCAUGAUGCAAUUGCAGGGAGACCGGUCCGCAAUUGCCAACUAACCGGUUGGUAUUCUCGAGAGAGCGCCAUUGCCAGGCUACUGGUCAGCAAUUGCUCGCCAACCGAUCGGUUUUCGCAGAUUUUGCUGACCUGUUGCGUUUUAAGCCUAUUUUGAUAGGGUUUUAGUUGUUUUUUUGUUUCCUAAUUAAAGUACACUUGUAACCCAAGUCCUACAGGAUAUAAAUAGGACUUUGGGGCAAGGUUAAUUCUAACAGCGAGAGGGAAUUACCAAAAGGUGAGAGUUUACGAAGGCAUCAAAAGGUUUGAGGAAGGGUGUAUGUUUCAUGUUUAUAAAUGUUAUUGUUCAAGGACUCAAAAUAAAAGAAAAUAUUGCCUUUCAUGCUUAUAUCCAAACGAUUUUAGUCCUUCAGUUUCGAGGGCCCCCAAACUCCAUGAAAACCCAAUUUUUUCUUAUGUAUCAACUACAAUAUUAGUUAUAGUAUAGCUCUAUAUAAUCUUGCAUUUAUGGUACUGGCCCUCCCCACAUAUUAGCUUCUAGCUCCGCCACUGCCUCUCUCUCUCUCUUGACUGGAAAAUAGGACAGCCACAUUCCCAAUUUCACAGCGAUGUUCCGUCACCAUAACGACCUUAAGCGAUAUUGGGAAAGGGUUUGAGAAAUGAUGAGAGAGAGAUUAAGGCCUAGGGUUUAGAAAUGGGCAAAGGGGGUUCUUCUUGUAACCAAAGUUGUUCUUUUUGACCAGUGAGAUUUCUUAAGGUGAUCACCAAAGACGUCAAUAUAAAUUGUCAAACCUCGUUAAAUUGUUUUGUUCUCGUGGUUUGCUUUAUUUUGCGUGUUGUGUUGGUUUAUCAAUUUUUGCUAGUUUAGGUGUGUGUGCUUAUCACAGUCCAUUGCUAACAAGAUCUCGGCGUGUUUUUACACUAGUCGAAAGCUCCUAUGGUUGAAUAGAGUUUUUAUAUGCUUUCAGAUAUUUAGAUUUUAUUUUCAUUUGCUCAAGUUAUUUACCUACCAAUAUUAACAUUUGUCAUUAAAUUUUGAUUCAGACUAGAUUUAUGCUCUAUAACCAGUUCAUCGUACUUCAUUGUUUUCAUUCUUUAAUAUAGUUUAGUUCAUGUUUUUAUAUUGCACUAGAUAUAAAUUGUGAAUCCAUUUCGCCAUUGAAGGCGUAGAAAAAGAUCGAAAAUGAACAAAUUCAUUUCUCAAAGCACAGUGGCUUGGUUUGAAGUCAGGUUCCUGAAAUCG
Molecule: long non-coding RNA, 118760 nt
Filed under: Prunus persica (peach)
Lineage: Eukaryota; Viridiplantae; Streptophyta; Magnoliopsida; Rosales; Rosaceae
Description: long non-coding RNA (PPER_LNC007846)
Source: RNAcentral